RNAcentral lists this long non-coding RNA (133991 nucleotides) under Malus domestica (apple). Its description in RNAcentral is "long non-coding RNA (MDOM_LNC015851)". Lineage: Eukaryota; Viridiplantae; Streptophyta; Magnoliopsida; Rosales; Rosaceae. The record is from RNAcentral.
UAGUGUUCAAGCUUCCACCUUUGCGGUAAACUUAAGUGGUGGCUUCAAGAAAUGGAUAAUCAGUGUAACCAAUGACGGGAUCAGGUAUGUAGAAUGUCUCUCUGUUGUACUUGUUUAGAGGAGCAUUAAGUUCAAAUCUCUUUGGCAAAUCUGGAUUCGCCAAGAAAAUACGGCCAUAAGCAAUAAGAUCUGCACUGCCCUUGGCCACAGCACUGUUUCCAUCUUCCCUAUCAUAACCACCAGCAGCAAUGAAGGUACCAUGGAAAGACUUUCUCAUGGGAAGAAGACUCUGGUGGGUUUCAUCUUUUUCCCCCAUUGUCUUCAUCCUCGGCUCAACCAUGUGGCAGUACACGAUUCCAUAUUUGUUCAAGGCAUUGGCCAUAUAGAGGCCUAAUUCUUUUGGAUUUGAAUCCCCUGAGUCCAUAUAGUCAGCAAAUGGAGAUAAUCUAAUUCCAACUUUAUCUGCUCCUAUUUCGUUAGCGACAGCUUCAACAACUUCCAGAGGAAGGCGGCAACGAUUCUCUAGAGAUCCACCAUAUUGGUCUGUUCGAUCAUUCACAUGAUCUUUCAGAAACUGAUCAAGAAGGUAGCCAUGCGCCCCAUGAAUUUCAACUCCAUCGAAGCCUAUAUAGCAGAUUAACAAUUUCAACAUACUGACGGUAUUAGAACCUUAAGCAUUGUAGCUGAAUUACCAAACAAAUAAUAUAAAGACAAACUACCGGCUUCAAUAGAAUUCCUUGCAUAAGCUUUGAAGCAAAUUGAGUUGUUGUAAAUUUUCUUUCAUUUUAACGUAAAGACAAAUUACCAGCUUCAAUAGAAUUCCUUGCAGCAAGUCUAAAAUCAUUGACAAUUUGUGGAAUUUCAUCUGUCCUUAAUCGUCUUGGAGGCGUGAAUUCAGAGGCAUCGAUGCCAUUUAAUCGUAUCGGCUUGUCAGUAGAAGAUAUUGGAGCUUGCCCAUUUGGUUGAUAACCUGUAAGCAAGGAGAGAAAGAAUUACAACCUGAAGUCUAACGACAGUAACUAACAUCCACAGCAGCACUCUUUUAAGUGGGAAUCCUUUGUUACAAAUUACUAUAACCACACGUGCUAUAUACUAGUUCUGAAUUCUGAGUUAUGUUAACAUCAAACUUAUUCCCAUCCAAUAAUAAUAAUAACAAUGCUUCCGAAACAGCAAAGUCAUAACAAGUCCAACUCGGAACUUAACAAGUCCAAGUUUUAUCGUCAUUUUGAGCAACAAUGUUGUCAUUUAUAAUCACUCGCUCGUUCUGAUGCAUAUACCAUUAUGUUAUACAUCAAACUUCUUAAUCGGUCUAAUUAUUCACUCAUGUUAACAAAGCAUUCUAUGGUAAAAGUGAGGUCAUAAAGGUGUAAGUCAGAAACGCACCGCUAUUAGAAACCCUUCCAACAUGCCAAAUCUGACAGAAGAAGAGGCCACCUUUAGCAUGAACAGCAUCAACAAUGGGUUUCCAGGCUUCAACUUGCUCCUUUGUCCAUAUACCAGGUGUGUUCGGGUACCUUCGUAUAUUAAAGAACCAAAAAUUUCAUCAAACUUUGAAACGAAAGAAGCACCCUCAAAUGCUUGUUAGUCUAUGAAUCUACUGUUGUUGAAAUUACCCUUGAGCUGUGUUGGAAACUCCAGUGGCUUCAGCUAUGAGAAGACCCCCGUUCGAAGUUCUCUGAGAGUAAUAUAAGAUAGCAUGUGGUUGAGGAACAUUGUUGUAUGAUCUCUGUCUGGUCAAUGGUGCUAAAACAAUUCUGGAAAGGAAAAAGCAAUUGUAAAUUAUAAAUACAGAGUGAUCAAGAUGGAAUGUGGCUGAGGAACAUUAUCGAAUGAUCUGUAUCUAGUCAUCAACGGUGAAAAUACAAUUCUAAACAGGAAAAACAUAUAAUAAACCAUAAAUACAACCUUCAGACUUUGUAGGAAGCAUUAGUUUGCUAAGGCUCCUUCAUAACAAAUUCGUUUUUAGUUUUCUUGUUUUAGUUAAAAAGGAGAAACGAGGGAGGAAGAAGGAAUUUGGGGCGAAAAUGUAUGAAAUAAAAAGUCGAAUUGUAGAUUAUCUGAAUUUGCUAAGGCUCCUUCAUAACAAAUUCGCUUUUAGUUUUCUUGUUUUACUUAAAAAGGAGAAACGAGGGAGGAAUAAGGAAUUUGGGACGAAAAUGUGUGAAAUAAAAACUCUAAUUGUAGACUAUCUGAAUUUGCUUUAUGUUCUUCAUUUUCGGUAUCAUUCCAUGCACAUUUGGUCCCUCAUCCAUCCCUUCCCCUUCCCCUUCCUCCUCCUCCUCCUCUUCUAUCAUGCAUUUUCUCUUUUACUUAAAAUUAAAAACUAAAAAUCAAAUACGAAAUCGUUACCAAACACAACCUAAACAAAGCAAUGUCUUACGAAGUGACCAUGGCCGAAAGGACACAUACUUUUAACAAUCUAUUGCAUCUAUUUUCAACAAUUAAUCAAUGAAAUAACUCAAGUGUACUGUUGUUUUGAUUUAAUUUGUAACAUCUGUACUAUUUUAUAGACAAAGAUACAGUUACUCUUUUUUUUUUUUUAGGUAAACUGGAAUUACACCAGGGCAAAGCCAGAGUACAACAGGAAAACCCACACAGAGGACUAACAUAGCUAAAACCAUUGAAACGACAAACAACAGAAUGAUCCAGGGCCAAGGACCAACACUAGUUCCGACAUUAUGUCACCCUUAAUCAUUCCAACAUAGACUCAACUUAGUGUGGGCAAGGUAGACCAUCCUUGUUCAACUUCUUGUCUCCUUCCCAACAUCUGUACUAUUUUAUACCAACAUGAUUCUCUCCAGAUUCUUUUGGUGAGAAUCUUGUCUGUUCAUCAUAAAUCGUGCGAUCAGUUUUUGUCAACUACUGUUCGUGUUUUAUUUUAAAUAAAAAUAUUUAAAAUAAUUUUUGACCGCACGAUGUACGAUGAACAGACAGGAUAACGGAUUUCCAAGAUUCUCACAAAGAGAAUCCGACGAGUAUCCGGAAUCUAUUUUAUAGACAAAGAUACAGUUACAAACAGUCCUUGUCUCCUUCCCCAAAUCAUUCUUCGUUUUUGUAUAGCUAUAUUUGACACACACACAUAAUAAACCACACAGUACGCUAAACUUGAAUAUAGACAAGCAGUAAUUUCAUCUUCUAUUUUUCUUGUUAGCCAAUAGCCAUCUGCAGACCUAGCUACUCUCUGAAUCCAAGUUCGGAUCUCCUCUCAUAGUUUUUACAACAUUAUAUUAAAAUAACGCCCGAAUAAAAUAAAUUAAACAAUUACACGACAGAGAAAUUUAAGAAGUAAACAAAUAGGAACAAUGUAUGAAAGUUUUAAGUACCUAUGAGAAAGAUUGAAGUUUCCCAAUUUGUAGGGAGUGAGGAGAGGAAUUGUGGGAGGUUGAGCAGCAGCAGACAUCUCAGAAUUCGAGUCGGUCGUCUACCACCUGAUCUUGCACUUGGCGUUUUAUACUGGAUUCUGGGAUGAAGGAAGGAAGGAAUGAAUGAAAACAGGACCCAAUUGGGUCUUUUAUACGUUCGGUAGGAGCUUAAAAGUCCGCCCUGCAGCUUUCCUCCACAAAAGUCAGAGAAGGCCGGGUCCCACAUCUCCCCUCCCUUGUGUGGUGGUGGCGGCGGCGGACGUCGGUGGGUGGAUGAUGGAUCUCUCCAAAGCAUUAAUUAAAUCGAUUAGGUGAAGAGAGGUAGGAAGGUUUGAUGAGGUCUGUAAUUACGUUUACGUGGGUUGAAAAUAAACCAGUUUUAUGAGGUCUGUAAUUACGUUUGCGUGGGUUGAAAGUUCACCAGUUUUCCCCAUGAAAAAGGACGUCUACGCACGUUCAUUUCGAUUUUGCUUUUUCAUCCUGCAUUAUUAGGCCAUGGUUAGAAAAAAUAUAUUAUAAUUUUGUAAAAAAAUUAAUUUUAAAUUAAUAGUGUCAGAUCAUAUUUAUAUACUAUCGCUAACCAAAUGAGCUAAACAUAGCCUCAUCAAUUUCCGAUGGAUAGCUAGACUAAAAUUCUAUGGAGCUCAUCAAGCCAUCAUUUGGCUAAAGGGGCAUUGGGCUGGCCAAAUGUAGCCCCCCUUCUUAGCCCUUUUUGGAGCCCAGCUCCUCUACUGCACUAUUUGAGUCAAAUUCAAUAACUAUGUUUGAAAACAUUUAAUGGAAGUUUAAUUAAAUUAAUCAAUAAAUUUAAUAUAUAAACUUAAAACUAAGUAAUUAUUGAGAGGGUUAUGUUUAGCCACUUCAGUGACGGUAUAAGUAUGAUGCGAUAUUGUUCAGUCAUUUCGGUUAAUGAUGGCCUACGGUUAGAAUUUUGAGGAUAUGUGAGACUAAAUGCAUGUUAGUUACAAAAUUAUGUUUGUUUAGAUCACUUGAAAUAUUUGACAACUUAAUAAAGAAAAACCAACUUAAAAUCCAUGAAUUAGAAAACUCAUUUUCUUUUUUGGUUUUAUUAAGUUGUCAAAUAUUUAAGCUUUUGAAUACAAACUAAUAUAAUCUUGUGGCUAAUAUACAUUUGGUCCUCACAAAUCUUUAAAAUGAAGACCUUACUUGAUCAAUGAAUUUAUGACAAAUUAAAUAGUCUAAAAAUAAAAGGCUCGAAUUAGGGCUAGGUUCAGUUCAAAUCAGUUCAAUUUUUUUUUCAGUUUGGGUUUUUUUUGGUUCCAAUUCGGUUUUUUUCGUGAUUUUUUUUAAAUCUUUUUUUUUUUGUCAAAAAUAUAAAGAAGAGUAAUUUUACUUUUUUUUUUUUCCGAUGAACUAAGAAAUUAAAGAAGGAACUUGAAUUAAAACUAGGGCAACUCGCAAUGAUGGCUGCAUCAACAAAUCAUCCAUAUCUACAAUACGAACAGAAACCUUUGUAAAUCAUAAAGUCCUUAAUGCUGAAUCCUUUAAGAACCAAGACUUGAAAACCCUAAAUCUGCAAUACAAACCCACAAGUAACAAACAAACCCACAACACAAAAAUCGACCAAAUCUGCAAUACAAACCAAACUCCCUCCAUGGCGCCAUGUCGCUGCCUCCGUUUUCCGGCCAAACCAAGGCGAUUUAACAUAAAAAAAAAAGGUACCAUUCUCUUCGUCUCAUCUAGAAGUAUGAUUUUUGUUUUUGAAUCACUUGAUUUCGUUGAGUAUUCAAGAAGUUAUGAACGUUUAAAGUUUACUCAGUUUCUGGCGAGUUUUCAAGUUUUCUAUCUUAUUCUACACUUUCCUAUCUUCAUUUUGAUAUUUUAUGGGUCGAAUUUGGUUAAGAAACGAUUGAGUUAUAAAGCUUUGAAAAUUGCCCAAGAACUCCGGGACACUUAACGGAGUUUUUAACGGAAUGACCAAAAUGAUGGAUGGUGGACAAUCUCAAGGACCACUUUUAUCGAUUUGAAAUGUUAGGGACCAAGGUGAUGAGUUAUGCAAAUCUCAGGGACUAUUUUGACUAUUUAGCCUUUUUUUUUUCAUAAACGAAAAUAAUUUUUUUUAAUGAAGAUAGAAAAGUGUAGAAUAAGAUUAUACCUAUUUGGAAGCCCAAUGGCUGCCGGAGAUAGCCGGAAAAUAGCCUCAAAGUUGACUGGUCCGAGGGAAAAUUGGAAAACUCGCCGGAAACUGGGUAAACUUUAAACGUUCAACUUCUUCAAUACUCAACUAAAUCAAGUGAUUCAAAAACAAAAAUCAUACUUCUCGAUGAGACGAAGAGAAUGGUACCUUUUAAGACGGUUAAAUCGCGGUGGUUUGGCCAUAAAAAGGCUCAAAAGUGUCUAACUCGAGACCAAGACAGCCACUUUGGAACCGUUUUCCGGGCAAACCACGGUGAUUUAGCCGUCAAAAUAGGUACCAUUCUCUUAUUAUCGUUGAGAAGUAUGAUUUUAGUUUUGAAUAACUUGAUUUCGUUGAGUAUUGAAGAAGUUAUGAACAUUUAAAGUUUACUCAGUUUUUGGCGAGUUUUCCAGUUUUCCUUCGGACCAGUCAACUUUGAGGCUAUUUUCUUGCUAUCUCCGGCAGCCAUUGGGCCUCCAAAUAGGUAUAAUCUUAUUCUACACUUUCCUAUCUUCAUUUUGAUAUAUUAUGGGUCGAAUUUGGUUAAGAAACGUUUGAGUUAUGAAGCUUUAAAAAUUGUCCAAAUUUCCAGCCAAGAACUCCAGGACACUUAACGGAGUUUUUAACUAAAUGACCAAAAUGAUGGAUGGUGGACAAUCUCAAGGACUAAUUUUAUCGAUUUGAAAUGUUAGGGACCAAAGUGAUGAGUUAUGCAAAUCUUAGGGACCAUUUUGGCUAUUUAGCCCAAAAAAAAUUGCAAACUUUAAAUGAUAAUAGAACAAAGUAAUACUAAUUUAUAAUAAAGAAGUCAGGUUGUUAAUAGAUGAAUUUGAUUGAAUUUUUAUUGUGUUAGGAAGUGUUAGGAGGAGGAUACAAUUAUCUUACUAGACUACGACACUUGUACAUCAUUAGCAUCGCAAGUACUCAUUUUCCAAAUGUGCAUUACAUUUGAUUUUAAAAAUUUGGUAUUCCUACCAUUAUCCUGAAAACAUAUAUAUUCACAUAUAAACUUUGUUCUUAUUGUGAGGAAACUCCAAAUGUUGAAGCCAUAUUCUUUAAUUGGUCUAUGAUUGAGGAGUGACCGUUGAAAUGUGUAGACUUCAAAAGGAUGUCUAACCUAAUAAUAGUGGUAAUUGUGGUUGAAUCUGAAAUAUUUGACUGCAAAUUCACCGGUUCUUUAGACCUUUCUGAUUCUCUUCGUUAUCUUUACUGGCAUGAUAUCCACUGAAAUCUUUACCGUAAAAUUUUACUCUAGAAAAUCUGGUUGAGCUUCAUAUGCCCGUAUGCAAUUUUAACAUUGAUUGUAUCAACAAGAAAGAUGUAAGACAAUGAAAGCUACAAUGAGGGAUUAUCCAUUCUAUAUAUGAAAAUCAAUCUUAAAAUGGAUGUUAAAAAAUUGAAAGCUACAAUGAGGGAUUAUCCAUUCUAGUCCUUCUCCAAAUGAUAGGAUUGUGAGGGAUAAGUUUGUUUCAUUCCAAUCCCCUUUGAAUUUUAAGAGUUACCUAUUACUUUAGUCUAAAGUAGGGGGAGGUGGCAUUGUGCAAUUUUGGGGUACAUUUCAGUUUACUUACGAAAUUGCCAUUGAGUCUCUCUGUUCCCUCAUUUAACGUUAUUUGCAAAAUUGCCAUUGGGCUUCAGAAAGGGUUUUGGGUCUUUGGGCUGGAAUUUCCGUCCAGAUUGGAAUUUUCGAUUAUUCGAUCCACGCGUUGAUCAUCGCUGGAUCGCCAGCUGUGUGGUAUUUGGUGAGGGGAUGGGUUACGUGUCCAUCAUUGUCGGAAGGUUUCCUUCGACUGCAACUUCUCGACUUUUCGUUCUGUUUCAACUUCUCUCUCACAAGCCUCUGCUUCAGUCGCUCUUGAUCUUCGCCUUUUCUAAGGCGUUUGAGGGACAAAAACCGAAAGCCAAACCACCACCACAAACGAAGUCACAAAUAGGGAUGGGCAACGGUUAUGGCGGACGGGUAACCGCGAUUAUUUACCCAUAACCAUUUAUACUUAUAUCCGCAUAAUUGUUUACCCGUUGGGUAAUUGCCCAAACAGUUAUACCCAUACUCAUAACCAUUUAUAAACGGUUAACCAUACCCAUAACAGCAUACCCAUUUAACCAUAACCGUUUAAUACCAGUUUACUCAUUUACUCUUUUUAACCUGUUUAAUUUUUAUUUAUUUUUUAUCAUUACCUCUUUUUUCACCCUUCUACAUGUUUUUUAACAACUUGAAAAUUAAAAAAAAAAUGUCAUAAUUUUUUUUUGGCAAUUAAACACCGUUAUAAGCACAUUCAUCUUACAUUUCCGUAUUAAAAUUUUUUAAAUCCUUAUCUCAUUCUAAUAAUUGAAAUAAUUUCCGGCAAAGACACAACGGUGUGCACUCGUACGUGGAUUAUUUAUAUGCUCAGCAAGCACCCUUAUAUGCAAGAAAAGGUUGUAACGGAAGUUUGAGAAGCAGCAAAUCUGAAAGAUGACUCAAGCAUUGUUGAACUUGCAGACAAUCUUAAUGAAGAUGCCCUUAAUAAAAUGCAGUAUGUCUUAGUAGCUUUGACUGAGACACAAAGGCUCUACCCUGUAAUUCCACUGGAAAUUUGACUAACAUCUUAACUAAAUCUAAUGCAUGCAUACUGCAAGGGAAAUGAUUUCAGUGCGCUCCCAUUUAUUUUUCUCACUUAAAUUUCUUUUGAUUUAUUCAAUUUAAGAAUAGAAAUACUCCAUGGAUCAUCGUUUAUUACUUUUUAAUUAAUUAAAACACUGCUAUAUAAACCACAUUAUAGUCAAUAGUAUUGAUCUAAGUUUUGUUUGAUAGAGAACAUGAUUUGUGUUAAUUUUAUAUAUAUAAAAUAAAUAGAUAAACGGUUACUCAUUUAUAACCAUGAUUAAUACUCAUAAUCAACUAUUUAUAUUUUACGGAUGAACGAUUAUACCUAUAACCGUUUAUUUAUUUAAACGGUUACCCAAAUGAUCGUGUAACCGCGGAUCAUCCCUAGUUACGAACGCCACUCUCACUCACCCUCCACCGUUACACACGCACCCAAUCAUAAUUCUGAAAUCCAAACACAACCCAGAUGUUAAUCCUUCAGAGAAUGGCAAUGGCCACUUCUUCUUCCUUCCUCUUAAUCCCUCUCCUCAAUACUCUUCUUUGCUUUCCCCAGUUAAACACCAAGCUCCGAGUUCAGGUCUCUGUCCUUGUACGGCGGUAGAACUGGAGACUCCACCUCCUCGGCGAUGGCCACAGAGGCUCAGGUCUCGACCCAAGACGACAAAUUGAAGGAUGCCCAGAUGGAGGUAGCUGAUAAACCUGAGACAGUCGUGCUUCCAACCAACGAGUCCUCCGAAAGCCUCAUCAUAAUUCGACACACGGUAUUUAUUGAAAUUUCAUUGCUUUGGAUUGGAUUUAUGAUUGUUUUAUGUUAAAUUGAAGUAGGGUGCUUUCCUGUUGAAUUUUUUGAAUUUUUAGAUUCUUAGGAGCUUCCCCUUUUUGAAAGUUUGAUGCUUUUAAUUAACUAUUUUCAAUUCUGCGUUACUAAUUGUCACCUGAUUCUAUUGUGAAGAAUGAGGAAGUGAGGAUGAAGAAAAUAAGAACCUAACUUUUCGGUAAUUUGAAAUUUGAUCGAAUAGGACAUGGAAAAAUGGGUGUACAUCAGUAGAUAAGCUGGGAAAAUUUUCAAGACUUGGAUUGUCUGCCCUCUAAUUUUGGUGCCCUCCCAGUGCCCUCUUGUUUUUGUGGUCAUGGUUAAGCCACAUCAACAUUUUAUAGUACUAUUUCUUUUUGUUUUAUUAUUUUUAUAAAAAAAUGAUAUAAAAUAUUGACGUGGCUUAACCGUGACCACACAAAACAGGAGGGCACCGAAAUGGGAGGGCAGACAAUCCAAGUCCAAAUUUUCAUCCUGUUUUUGGGAAUGUGAGAAGAUACAUGGGUUUCUGUAUUUUGAUAAAGUGUUGAGGUCGAGCUAUGUUCAUUUUUUUCUAAAUUUCCAUGUAGUUUGGUAUUAAUGGCGUCUUUUCCGCUGUUAUGGUGAUGAACUAUUUAUGUGUUUGACUGCAGUGUGCACACGUGAUGGCCCUGGCUGUUCAAAAGCUCUUCCCGGAUGCAAAAGUGACAAUUGGUCAGUGGAUAGAAAAUGGGUUCUAUUAUGAUUUUGAUAUGGAGCCUUUGACAGACAAAGAGUUGAAGAGAAUCAAGAAGGAGAUGGUAAGUGGAAUUUCUUUAUAAGUUAUCAUGUUUGUAUCAAAGUUUUGGAACCAUGAAACUAUUGAAAACUAUUCAUGAUCAUUUCUUUUGUGAUUUGUAGGAUCUCAUCAUUGGUAGAAACUUACCACUCAUAAGAGAAGAAGUUUCAAGAUAUGCUCACAAAAGAAUAACUGCGCUCAACGAAGCAUACAAAUUGGAAAUUUUGGAUAGUAUUAAAGAAGAUCCCAUUACCAUAUAUCAUAUUGGUAAGGGUUUCACUAUUUUCAGGCUCAAUAUAGUUUGGAAGGUGAUGAUUUAAUGUGCAGGAACUGUGCGUAAAUGAUAUUUUUAUUAGCUACACAAGUGAAAUGUACAGUGUUUGUGUCGAGUCUUAAGAUGGAAAUUUAAGGGAAUAAAAAAGAGAGGGCGGGGGUGUGCUCAGGGAAAACAAUGUUGUUGGUGCUCUUUAAAAAUGAGUUAUUGAUAUGCAAAUUGAAAAGGAGACUAAUUUGAAGGUGGGAGGAACCUUUUGGUCAAGCUAACCAAUUAUACUUAUGUUUAUACAUAUGCAUGCUUGUACUGGGAUUUGAUUGUGUUUUGAACUAGCAUCCUGUCAUAUUAGACUGUCUUUAUGUCAUAAUUCCUCAUAGUAUGCCGAAUUCUUCUUAUGUGAUGAAUGGUAGGAAGCAUGUGCAGGGCCCCAUGUUGAAAAAACUGGAAAUAUUAACGGAAAAGCUGUCGAACUUGAGUCUAUUGCUGGUGCUUGCUGGAGAGGAGAUGAAAAAAACCAAUGCUGCAGAGGAUCUAUGGCACUGCAUGGGAGAGUGAAGAUCAAUUGAAGGCAUAUCUUCAUUUCAAAGAGGAAGCUAAACGUCGAGAUCACAGGGGCUUUGAUCAAGUUCUUGACCUGUUUUCUAUACAGGUACUCAGAAUUGCCCUGAAUCUCUUUCUGCUGCUUACGCAGAUUUAUCAGUUAGCAAUCCCAUUAUUUGUAAUUAUGAGGAUUCUUGCAUUAACUCUGCCUGUGUAAGUUUAUCUUACAUUGCCGGUCCCAAGUCCGGGUAAAGGAGGAGGGGGAGGGCGUCAGGUAGUCGACAGCCGGCACUCCACAGUUACGUCGAAUCCUUAUGAAAAUGAAUCCAGAACGAAAUCGCGCUAAAGCUAGGGCGUCACCCGUAAGUGGCGCGCUGUGUGGCCCGAGCACAGUGAUAAGUGAGCAAGGGUCGCUGUAUCUCCAUCGGCACCCGGAUGCAGUGUUAAAUGAGCAAGGGGGCCAUAGAAACUUCUUUUCGAACGACUCCACUCAAAGUUGUUUGGGAGCAUAUACUCCUAUCAACUUUACACAGGACACACAAAAGAAGUACUUUGAUCCUAUUGGACGGGGGAGGGUGAAGAAGCUAGGACAAAAGGGUAGAGUUCAAGAGAGUAGAAUGCGUUUAGGAACGUGGAAUAUAGAAACCUUAACGGGAAAAUCUAUAGAAGUAGUGGAAGUUAUGGUGAGGAGAAGGAUAAAUAUUAUGUGCCUACAAGAAACUAAGUGGGUUGGUCUUAAGGCAAAGGAUCUAGAAAACUUAGGGUUUAAACUUUGGUAUUCGGGCACAAGUAGAACGAGAAACGGUGUUGGCAUCAUCUGUGGACAAGACCUUGACACAAGAUGUUGUAGAUGUCAAGAGGGUAGGAGAUAGAAUCAUGGCAAUCAAGAUUGUAAUAGGACAAGAACUCAUCAAUGUCAUUAGUGCGUACGCACCUCAAGUAGGGUUGGAUACGAGUUCGAAGGAGAAAUUUUGGGAAUACCUUGGAGACUUGGUGCUGGGAAUACCUUGGAGACUUGGUGCAAGGAAUUGCCCAGACGGAGAAGUUAUUUAUAGAGGAGAUUUAAAUGGACACGUGGGCAGGGAGACAGGCAACUAUAGAGGUUUUCAUGGUGGCCAUGGUUUUGGGGAGAGAAACGAGGAUGGGGAAGCUAUCUUGGAUUUUGCAAUGGCAUAUGAUCUCUUCUUAGCCAACACAUUCUUUAAGAAGAGAGAAGAACAUGUGAUCACCUACAAGAGUGGGUUGUCAAAAACACAAAUAGAUUUUCUUCUAAUGAGGAUAUGAGAUCGUAUAACUUGUAAGGAUUGCAAAGUUAUACCGGGAGAGAGCUUGGCUAAUUAACAUCGCUUGUUGGUGAUGGAUGUACAUAUCAAAAGAGUGAGAAAAAAGAACAAGACUUGGAAGUGCCCAAGGCCUAGAUGGUGGAAUCUAAAAGGAGAAAAACAAGCCAUUUUCAAAGAGAAAGUAAUCACCCAGUGUGGGUGGGAUAGAGAGGGGGAAGCUAGCUAAAUGUGGGAUUCCAUGGCUAGUUGUAUCCGAAAAGUAGCAAAAGAGGUAUUAGGAGAGUCCAAGGGCUUUGCCCCACACCAAAAGGAAUCUUGGUGGUGGAAUGAGGAGGUACAAACAAAGGUGAAGGCUAAGAAGGAAUGUUGUAAAGCCUUAUACAAGGACAGGACCGAUGAAAAUAGUGAAAGGUAUAGAAGAGCGAAGCAAGAGGCUAAGAAAGCUGUGAGAGAAGCUAAGUUAGCGGCUUAUGACGACAUGUAUAAGCGACUAGAUACCAAAGAAGGAGAGUUGGAUAUCUAUAAACUAGCUAGAGCAAGGGAAAAGAAGAUAAGGGACCUAAACCAAGUGAGGUGCAUCAAGGAUGAGGAUGGAAAGGUUCUUGCUACAGAGAAUGCGGUCAAAGACAGAUGGAGAGGUUAUUUUCAUAAUCUUUUCAAUGAAGGACAUGAAAGGAGUACUUCUUUAGGGGAGUUGAGUAAUUCAGAAGAGUGUAGAAACUACUCAUUUUAUCGUCGAAUCAGGAAGGAAAAAGUGGUUGUAGCUUUGAAGAAAAUGAAGCAUAGAAAAACAGUGGGCCCAGAUGAUAUAUCGAUCGAAGUGUGGAAAGUCUUGGGAGAGACAAGUAUAGCAUGGCUCACUGACCUUUUCAAUAGGAUUUUGAAAACGAAGAAGAUGCCAACUGAGUGGUGAAAGAGCACUUUGGUGCCUAUAUACAAGAAUAAGGGCGACGUACAAAAUUGCAUGAAUUAUAGGGGUAUUAAGCUAAUGAGCCAUACAAUGAAGCUCUGGGAGAGAGUCAUUGAGCAUAGAUUGAGGUAAGAGACACGGGUUUCGGACAACCAAUUCGGGUUCAUGCCAGGGCGCUCAACCAUGGAGGCAAUCUAUCUCUUACGAAGAUUGAUGGAAAGAUAUAGAGAUGGGAAAAAGGAUUUACACAUGGUCUUUAUAGAUUUGGAAAAAGCUUAUGAUAGGGUCCCAAGAGACAUUCUUUGGAGGAUUUUAGAGAAGGAAGAAGUACGAGCAGCAUAUAUCCAAGCUAUAAAGGAUAUGUAUGAAGGAGCAAAGACUGCCGUAAGAACUCAUGAAUGACAAACCGAAAGCUUCUCCAUAACUGUAGGAUUACAUCAAGGCUCAUCCUUAAGUCCUUACCUUUUUGCGUUGGUAAUGGAUGAGUUAACAGGACAUAUUCAAGAUGAUAUUCCUUGGUGUAUGCUUUCCGCAGAUGAUAUAGUGUUGAUAGAUGAAACUCAGGAAGGGGUAAAUGCGAAGCUUAACCUUUGGAGAGAAAUGUUGGAAUCUAAAGGUCUUCGCCUAAGCCGAUCAAAGAAAGAAUAUAUGGAGUGCAAGUUCAGUGCAAAUGGAGGCCAAAAUGAGUUAGGGGUGAGGAUCGGAGAUCAGGAAAUACCAAAGAGCGAUCGUUUUCGCUACUUAGGAUCUAUCUUGCAAAAGAACGGAGAAUUAGAUGGAGAUCUCAACCAUAGAAUACAAGCUGGAUGGAUGAAGUGGAAGAGUGCAUCCGGCGUGUUGUGUGACCGUCGUAUGCCACUGAAGCUCAAGGAAAAAUUUUAUAGGACAACAAUAAGGUCGGCGAUGCUGUAUGGCACAGAAUGUUGGGCGGUGAAGCAUCAACACGUACACAAAAUGGGUGUAGCGGAGAUGAGGAUGCUUCGUUGGAUGUGUGGGCACACGAGAAAUGAUAAGAUUAGGAAUGAGGAUAUCCGAGGUAAAGUAGGAGUAGCCGAAAUUGUACGAAAAUUGAGAGAAAAUUGGUUACAGUGGUUUGGACAUGUGCAAAGAAGGCCUACUGACGCUCCGGUUAGAAUAUGCGACUACAGGACAGAGGUUUAGGGCCGAAGGGGUAGAGGAAGACCUAGGAAAACUUUGGAAGAGACUCUAAGAAAAGACUUAGAGUAUUUGGAUCUAACGGAGGACAUGACACAGGACUGAGCACAAUGGCAUUCUAAGAUUCAUAUAGCCGACCCCACUCAGUGAAGAAGGCUUUGGUGUAUUUAACACAAUACGUUGAAAUGAAGCAAAACUUAUUUAUUGAUAUCUCCGAUAAGUUACAAAUAUGUACAUAUACAUGAGUCAAAAUAAACAAACAAGAGGGAGCCUUCACAAAGGUUGCUUAGGAGAAGUCUCAGCAGUUGGUAGAGCCCCAGAAAGAGAAGGCACCGGAGGGGUAUCAUUCGAAGCCUCAGUACUGGACAGAACCCUAGAAGGAGGAGGCAUCGAAGGUUGAUCAUUUGGAGCUUCAGUACGCGGUACAGCCCCAGAAGACGAAGGCAAUAAAUGCCUUUGGAACAAACCCACAAACCGCUGAUGAUCAAGUAAAACCUGACCAUCAGAUUCCUUCAUCUGGUCAAGCUUCCUCUUCAUGUUUGUAGCAUAGUCAUGUGCGAGCCGGUGCAACUGUUUAUUCUCAUGCUUGAGCCCUCUAAUCUCUUAUUUGAAACUCAUCACUUCAGCCGCCAAUGAUUCAACUUGGCAGGUUCGAGCAAAUAGGCGCUGGGCCAUAUUAGACACAGAACCUGCACACUGAACACUUAGAGCCAGAUAAUCCUUAACAGCCAACUCAUCAGACCGUUUGCAAAGUAAUCUGUUAUAUUUGGGAGUGAGAAAGUUCCUGGCCACCACCGCAGCAGUCAUAUCAUUCUUCAUCACGGAAUCCCCAACGGUAAGCGGACCAGUAGGGGAUAAGAAAGAUGGACGCCAUAUGUUGUCUGGAGAAGGCGUGGCUGCCUCUUCAACGAGGUUCAAGUCAAAACGACGGUCGGAGGGGCCAGAAAUUUUCAAAGGUGUUGAAGAGAGAAGUGGUCGGACAAAUCAAGAUCUUAGAAGUGCAAGAAUGGAGCUUCUACUGGUGAAGAUUCAAGUGUGCUUUGGAACUUAAUGUCAGCCUCUAUAAAAAUCUGCACUCGACGGAGCUUCAGAAAUCGAAGAGGCGCCUGCCCAGAAAUCGAAGAGGCAUUUGCUUUCUCAAAAGUUGGGCUGCUCAAAGACCACGAGGGUCGAUCUCAGAAAUCGAAGAGGCGUUUGCUUUCUCAAAAGCUGGGCUGCUCAAAGACCACGAAGGCCGAUCUCAGAAAUCGAAGAGGCACUUGCUUUCUCAAAAGCUGGGUUGCUUAGAGACCACGAAGGCCGAUCUCAGAAAUCGAAGAGGCACCUGCUUUUUUCAGCCUUGUCAGCACCUGUCACAUGCACACUCAGCUUUGCUGAAAUUACGGGCAUUCUGUUGAAUAUUUCUGGUGAAGUAGAAAGCACGUGAAUCUUAUUGUUCAAUCAUCCACUUUCCACACGCACCAUCAGCUCAUGGGUACCAUAGAUAACUUUGCCAAAGAUCUCUGACAAAGUUUAGACACGUGAAGCUUGCAGCUCCCACUACAUCGCUAUGAUCAAGAAGGGUAAAAGAAUAGCAAAGAAACAGCACUAACAAAGUUUAGAUACAUAAAUUUUGAAGGUCUAGCUACCAUAUUAUUACCUACAAGGGUAAAGGAACAGCACCGCUGCUGGAUAAUCGGAAAGUCCUUGUAUGUCAACCUAUGUGCUCUGUGGCAAGGUAGACUAGCAAACAUGCCCAAACUUUACUUACAUUCGAGAAAACACUCCCAACAAGAUUGCUUGCUCCAAAAUCGAAGAGGCACCGUCCUCUGAAUCUCGAGAGCCAGACUCCCAACAUGAUUACUUUCUCAAAAUUGAAGAGACACCGCUCUCCGAAUCUCGAGAGCUAGACUCCCAGCAGGAUUGCUCUCUCAAAAAUCGAAGAGGCACCGUUUUCCGAAUCUCGAGAGCCAGAUCUCCGACAAGAUUACUUGUACGAAAACCGAAAAGGCACCGCUUUCUCAACUUCAAGAGCCAGAUCUCCUUGGAUAAAGCUUGUCUGUAAUCUUCACACGCAACAUCAGCUUUCCAGAUACCACAGACCACUUUUUCAAAGUGCUCUGACACACGUGAAGCUAGCAACUCCCACUACCGUGCUAUGACCAAGCAGGGUAAAGGAAUAGUAUUACUACUUGUUGUUAGGGAAACUCCUAUAUAUGUCGACCUCCAUCCUCAACGGACAGGCAGACCUGCAAAAAUGCUCAACACUUCCUCAUAUCCGAGAGGGCACUCCCAACGAAGCCUCUCGAAAUACUCAGCUUUCUUUCCCCCCGAUAAUACCUCUGCAAACAAGCUACACCAGAGCAAGAAUAUCUCAUAUCAUCAGGGUUAAAAGCAAGAGUAUCCCAUAUCAUGCUUUUUCCCUGUCUUUUCCUUUGGCCUUGUUCUUACCUGCAAGACAAGGAGAAAGAGAGCAAUCAGUCAGCACUUGGAAUCAAGCUUCCAGUCAGGAACUGACUGCCUGGAACCCCUUACCUGAUUACUUACCUGGCAUUGCUCUCGAGUACCCAUCUUCAAAAUCUUAUGCUUCCAGAGAAGAUACCACAUCUGCCUGAGGAACAGAUAGGGAAAGUGAGAAGGAUACAAGGAAGCAUGUGGAGACAAACGUAACAGAACACGUGCCGAUACAUCCACUACUUUGUCAACAGCAAAAGUAUCUCAUAUCAGCAGGGUCGAACGUACUCUAGAUUUGAUGGACGUGUUUUGACCCUCAAAUUCUUCAGUCGGCCUUAUACUCUGGAAGAAACCAGAAAAUCCUCCAGCCCAGUUCAAGAAUAAGCCUGUGUAAAGUUACUUAUUCAAAAGCAAAAGUAUCUCAUAUCAUCUAUUCUCCUUUUCUUCUCUUUAUCCUUCAUGCUGCCUGCAAGAUAGGGAGAAUGAGAACAAUCAGCCGGAACUCGAAAUCAAACUUCUGAUCUGGGACUAAUUGCUUGGAGCUCUGAUUGCUUACCUUGUCUGUCACCUUUUUCAGCAUAUCCCCUAGCUCGGUGACUUGGGGGACUCCUACUACAUGGUUUGUAUCGCGCUUGACCAAGCCUGAAACUACAAGUAAGCUUCAAGUGAAUUUGAUACAUUACCUUGUGCAUCUCCACCAGUUAAAGAUACCACCCCUUGAUGGAGGAAGCGUACUUCCAGAGAAGAUGCCACAUCUACCUAUGAGACAGUUAAGGCAAGUGAAGACGAGAGCAUGCACCUAUGUGAUUUGUACUAAAUCAUUCACUUGUACUCACUAAAGGAGAGCUUGAACCUAUGUACUUGCGUAAACUCUUCACAAUUAAUGAGAACUCCUCUACUCCGUGGACGUAGCCAAUCUGGGCGAACCACGUACAUCUUGUGUUUGCUUUCUUGUCUCUAUCCAUUUACAUACUUAUCCACAUUAAUGACCAGAGCAAUCUAGCGAAGAUCACAAACUUAAUACUCUCUGUUGUACCAAAGUCCUCACUGAUUUUGUGCAUCAACAAUCCUUAAGUCUUUACAUUUUUGCGUUGGUAAUGGAUGAGUUAAUAGGACAUAUUCAAGAUGAUAUUCCUUGGUGUAUGCUUUUCGCAGAUGAUAUAGUGUUGAUAGAUGAAACUCAUACGGGGUAAAUGCGAAACUUAACUUUUGGAGAGAAGUGUUGGAAUCUAAAGGUCUUCGCCUAAGCCGAUCAAAGACAGAAUAUAUGAAGUGCAUGUUCAUUACAAAUGGAGGCCAAAAUGAGUUAUGGGUGAGGAUCGGAGAUCAGGAAAUACCAAAGAGCGACCGUUUUCGCUACCUAGGAUCUAUAUUGCAAAAGAAUGGAGAAUUAGAUGGAGAUCUCAACCAUAGAAUACAAGCUGGAUGGAUGAAGUGGAAUAGUGCUUCUGGCGUGUUGUGUAACCGUCGUAGGCCACUAAAGCUCAAGGAAAAAUUUUAUAGGACGGUAAUAAGGCCGACGAUGCUGUAUGGCACAGAAUGUUGGGCAGUGAAGCAUCAACACGUACACAAAAUGGGUUUAGACAUGUACAAAGAAGGCCUACUGACGCUCCGGUUCGAAGAUGGGACUACGAGAUAGAGGUUCAGGGCCGAAGGGGUAGAGGUAAACCUAGGAAAACUUUGGAAGAGACCCUAAGAAAAGACUUAGAGUACUUUGAUCUAACGGAGGAUAUGACACAAAAUUGCGCACAAUGGCGUUCUAGGAUUCAUAUAGCCGACCUCACUUAGUGGGAAAAGGCUUUGUUGUUGUUGUUGUAUGAGGAUUCUUGCAUUGAACAUUUUCAUUGUUGAAUUUUCACAGAAUGAUGCUGGUGGUGGUUUAGUGUUCUGGCAUCCAAAGGGUGCUAUUGUGAGGCAUGUAAUGGAAGAUUUGUGGAAAAAGAUUCACAUAGAACGUGGUUACAAUCUGCUUAUACUCCACAUGUUGCAAAGGCGAACCUUUGGCAGAUAAGUGGUCAUCUGGAUUACUACAAGGAGAAUAUGUAUGAUCAAAUGAAUGUUGAGGAUGAACUUUAUCAGCUUCGACCGAUGAACUGCCCCUAUCAUAUCUUGGUUUACAGAAAGAAGCCUUACUCAUAUCAUGAAUUUCCUAUUCAAGUUGUUGAGUUGGGAACCGUUUAUAGAUACGAAUUAUCUGGAAGCUUGCAUGGUCUUUUUCGUGUAAGAGGUUUUACUCAGGUACAGUGUUAGUAUUUGCAAACUAUUAGUCUAUAAUCCUUGGUGUAUGAAGUGUUUUUUUUUUUUUUAACCUCAGGACUUGUUGCAGGAUGAUGCCCACAUAUUUUUUCAAGAAGAUCAGAUCAAAGAUGAAAUUAAGGGUGUCCUAGAUCUUACCGAAUAACUUUUGUUGCAAUUCGGCUUCAGCAAAUAUGAGGUCAAUCUCUCUUCGAGGCCAGAGAAAGCUGUUGGAGAUGGUGAUAUAUGGGUGAAAGGCAACAUCUGCCCUUACUCCUUAGAGAUGCUUUGGAUGAUAAAGGUUGGAGCUAUCAAAUUGAUGAAGGUGGUGGUGCCUUUUAUGGUCCAAAGAUUGAUCUUAAGAUUGAGGAUGCCCUUGGAAGGAGGUGGCAGUGCUCAACUAUACAAGUUAAUCCUGAACUCAUGACGGGAUAAUUCUAAUGUACGCUUUGUUUUUUAAUUGGUAGUCUCUAUGUCUAUCUCCGUAUCACUUUGUAAAAUGUUCAUUGGAGAUUUGAGCAUCUUUUUUUAAUUGAGCGAAUUACAUGGAUUUGUUUGCUAGAGUAAAGCCACUUAUUAUUGUUAUUUUAAAUUGUUUGAUCUUUUGUACUUCCCAAAUUGUACAAGUUGAUUUUCCAUUAUGGCUUUCGCCAAUACAAGCUCAUGUUUUACCAGUUACUGACUCUCAGGUUUGUAAAGCAGUUGCACGUUUAAUGUUUCAAUUAACUCAAGGACCCUCAACACACCUGCACGACGGUUACCUGGGCUAUGACCCCUGACUCUCCUCCCAGUGAUUCGACUCCUUUGUCGACUCCGAGUCGCUCAAGGACUCCACCACCGAUUCCCCAAUCUUCCACGGCUCCACCAUAGACGACGCUUUCGAACGGCCAGGGCUUUGAUGGAGGGUUUGGCGGGUCCGACGAUCCCAUUUUGCCGGUUCCGUCUGAGAUACUGCCUGAGGAGGGCUUCGCUCUCAGAAAAUGGAGGAGGUAGGAUCUCGAAUUCUAAUUGUUUUCAAUUGAACCGAUAGUUCUGUAUAGCAAUUAAAUUUUGACUCUUUUGUGCAAUUUAGUUGAAAGUUGUUGGUUUUGAUUUGGCUUGAUCUUUCUGUUGAUGAGAAAUUAGGUGGAAAUUGUUGUUUUGAUUUCGAUAGUUUUCAAGAAUUGCAUGCUUAGUGAUCAGCAAUCGUCUGGCUUUAUCGGGUAAGGAGAUAAAGCAAUUAAAUUUCAAAAUUUGGAUUUACAGUUCGUAUUUUGAGCCUGAAUUCAUGAAAACAAACAUAACCCAUUAUUUAUUAGCGAUUAAUGAUCUGAUUAAUUUAGUUUUUAAUCAUAAUCAAUAGCAUGUAGCUUUAAUGGAAGUGGGGUUUGGGAAAUUGGCUAGCACCCAUUUUGCUUUUUGUUUGUCUGCUUUCCAUUUCUCCUCUCUCUUGCCAUCUUCUUUGUAUUUUGGCUACUUCUCUCUCCCGCACUCCCUUUUUAACUCUUGGUUCUGUGGUUCUCCGGCUGCCGUUAGGUUUUUGUGGUCGAACAACGAUGGAAUCCGAGGAUGAUGACUACUACAGCAACGACAAUGACUCCUAGAAAUUUUUAUUUUGAAUUCGGAAUUGGUUUGAUUGAAGCCCCCUAAUUGAUUGUAUUUAGGUUGGAUUUUUAUGCAUCAGGAAUUUCAAUUGAAGCCUCCUAAUUGGAUAAUGUUUUUCCCAUGUUAGGCUUCUCUGAUUGAGGUGAUACAGAUACCAAAUUGGAGCGGUGCUGUUAGUGGAGGAAUCUGGUAGAAACGAUGAGUUUGUAGAUUGAAUUUGUAUAUGAUGAUAAUAAAAAAUGAUAUGUUGUUUUCGUAAUUCUUUUUGCUUUCAAAGUUUAUUGCUUGGUUGUGUUCGUAACCUCUGGGUUCUUACGGUUCUUUGUCUCUCUUACUUCAGAUUCUUUGUGUUUUUUAUCAUUCGUUUGUGAAGAAAUGGGUCGUACGUAGUGGUAAGGCUCUGAGGAAGGCACUUGCCACCAAGGUGCGUUUCGUUUGGGUUUCUGAUGUCUAGAAAAUUAGAAUUGAUAAUUGCAAGCAAUUUUUUCCGAGAAACAAUCAGAUUAUUGAAUCUAAGUUGCUAAUUGUUUUAAUUUUGUAUAUGCUGCAAUUAAAUCAGCACCCGCAACUGAAGGUGUCAAGAAGCCUGACUGCUACCGCCUUGGAAUCGUCAUUUUUCGGUAAGUUUUCAACACAAUAUAGUUCAAAUCCUCUGAAUCAUGUUCUUGAAUUUUACUAUAUGUAUCGUGUUCUUUGCAUUUCGUUAUCUGAAAUUUGUUCUUUGAAUUUGGUUACCAGAAUCGUGCCUAAUGUUUGAUGUGGCCAGUGGCUUUGUAUGGUUGGCUGGUGUGAUUUGGGAGUGUUUUUAGUUAAUGGCAGACAUAGGACAAAGGUGUGGGGCAGCGAAGUCAAGUGGGAUUAGGAAUUUAGGAUAGUAGACUGUUUGCUAAUUUAUGGGAUUAGAAGUCUUCCUUUAUUUUUUCUCUUCAUGUAACAACAACAACAACAACAAAGCCUUUUCCCACUAAGUGGGGUCGGCUAUAUGAAUCCUAGAACGCCAUUACGCUCGGUUUUGCACAUGUCCAAACCCAUUUUGUGUACGUGUUGAUGCUUCACCACCCAACAUUCUGUGCCAUACAUCAUCGCCGGCCUUAUUGCCGUCCUAUAAAAUUUUCCCUUGAACUUCAGUGGCCUACGACGGUCACACAACACGCCGGAUGCACUCUUCCACUUCAUCCAUCCAGCUUGUCUUCUAUGGUUGAGAUCUCCAUCUAAUUCUCCGUUCUUUUGCAAGAUAGAUCCUAGGUAGCGAAAACGGUCGCUCUUUGGUAUUACAUGAUUUUCGAUCCUCGCCCCUAACUCAUUUUGGCCUCCAUUUGCACUGAGCUUGCACUCCAUAUAUUCUAUCUUUGAUCGACUUAGGCGAAGACCUUUAGAUUCCAACACUUGUCUCCAAAGGUUAAGCUUCGCAUUGACCCCUCAUGAGUUUCAUCUAUCAACACUAUAUCAUUUGCGAGAAGCAUACACCAAGGAAUAUCAUCUUGAAUAUGUCCGGUUAACUCAUCCAUUACCAACGUAAAAGGGUAAGGACUUAAGGAUUGUUGAUGCACAAAAUCAGUGAGGACUUUGGUACAACAGAAAGUAUUAAGUUAUUGCUCUGGUCAUUAGUGUGGAUAAGUAUGUAAAAGGAUAGAGAUAGGAAAGCAAACAUAAAAUGUACGUAGUUCACCCAGAAAGUAACUUUCCACAGGCUUAUUCUUGAACUGGGCUGGAGGGAUUUCUGGUUUCCUCCAGAGUAUAAGGCCGAUUGAAGAAUUUGAGGGUCAAAACAAGUCCAUCAAAUCUAGAGUACGUUCGACCCUGCUGAUAUGAGAUACUUUUGCUGUUGACAAAGUAGUGGAUGUAUCGGCACGCGUUCUGUUACGCUUGUCUCCAUAUGCUUCCUUGUAUCCUUCUCACUGUCCUUAUCGGUUCCUCAGGCAGAUGUGGUAUCUUCUCUGGAAGCAUAAGAUGUUGAAGAUGAGUACUCGAGAGCAGUGCCAGGUAAGUAAUCAGGUAAGGGUUCCAGGCAGUCAGUUCCUGACUGGAAGCUUGAUUCCAAGUGCUGACUGAUUGCUCUCUUUCUCCUUGUCUUUUGCAGGUAAGAACAAGGCCAAAGGAAAAGACAGGGAAAAAACAUGAUAUGGGAUACUCUUGCUUUUAACCCUGAUGAUAUGAGAUAUUCUUGCUUUGGUGUAGCUUGUUUGCAGAGGUAUUAUCGGAGGGAAAGAAAGCUGAGUAUUUCGAGAGACUUCUUUGGGAGUGCCCUCUCAGAUAUGAGGAAGGGUUGAGCAUUUUUGCAGGUCUGCCUGUCCGUUGAAGAUGAAGGUCGACAUAUAUAGGAGUCUCCCUAACAACAAGUAGUAAUGCUAUUCCUUUACCUUGCUUGGUCAUAGCACGGUAGUGGGAGCUGCCAGCUUCAUGUGUGUCAGAGCACUUUGAAAAAGUGGUAUGUGGUAUCUGGAAAGCUGAUGUUGCGUGUGAAGAUUAGACACAAGCUUUAUCCAAGGAGAUCUGGCUCUCGAAGUUGAGAAAGCGGUGCCUCUUCGGUUUUCAAACAAGCAAUCCUGCGGGGAUCUGGCUCUCAAUAUUCGGAGAACGGUGCCUCUUCGAUUUUUGAGAGAGCAAUCCUGCUGGGAGUCUGGCUCUCGAGAUUCGGAGAGCGAUGUCUCUUCGAUUUUGAGAAAUUAAUCAUGUUGGGAGUCUGGCUCUCAAGAUUCGGAGAACAGUGCCUCUUCAAUUUUAGAGCAAGCAAUCUUGUUGGGAGUGUUUUCUCGAAUGUGAGUAAAGGCAGGGCAUGUUUGCUAGUCUACCUUGCCACGGAGCACAGAGGUUGACACACAGGGACUUUCUAAUUAUCCAGCAGUGGUGCUGUUCCUUUACCCUUGUGGAUAAUAAUAUGAUAGCUAGACAUUCAAAAUUUAUGUGUCUAAACUUUGUUAGUGCUGUUUCUUUGCUAUUCUUUUACCCUUCUUGAUCAUAGCGAUGUAGUGGGAGCUGCAAGCUUCACGUGUUUAAACUUUGUCAAAGAUCUUUGACAAAGUUAUCUGUGGUACCCCUGAGCUGAUGGUGCGUGUGAAAAGUGGAUGAUUGAAUAGUAAGAUUCAUGUGCUUUUUACUUCACCAGAAAUCUUCAACAGAAUGCCCGUAAUUUCAGCAAAGCUGAGUGUGCAUGUGACAGGUGCUGACAAGGCUGAAAAAAGUAGGUGCCUCUUCGAUUUCUAAGAUCGACCCUCGUGGUCUCUAAGCAACCUAGCUUUUGAGAAAGCAAGCCUCUUCGAUUUCUAAGAUCGGUCUUCGCGGUCUUUUAGCAGCUCAGCUUUUAAGAAAGCAAACGCCUCUUCGAUUUCUGAGAUCGGCCCUCAUGGUCUCUGAGCAGCCUAGCUUUUGAGAAAGCAAACGCCUCUUCGAUUUCUGGGCAGACGCCUCUUCGAUUUUUUAAGCUCCGUCGAGUGCAGAUUUUUAUAGCGGCUGGCAUUAAGUUUCAAAGCACACUUGAAUCUUCACCAGGAGAAGCUCCCUUCUUGCACUUCUAAAAUCUUGAUUUGUCCGACCUCUUCUCUCUUCAACACCUUUGAAAAUGUCUGGCCCAUCCGACCGUCGUUUUGACUUGAACCUUGUUGAAGAGGCAGCCACGCCUUCUCUAGACAACAUAUGGCGCCCAUCCUUCUUAUCCCCUACUGGUCAUCUUACCGUUGGGGAUUCCGUGAUGAAGAAUGAUAUGACCGCUACGGUGGUGACCAUGAACCUUCUCACUCCCAAAGAUAACAGACUAUUUUCCAAACGGUCUAAUGAAUUGGCUGUUAAGGAUUCUCUGGCUCUGAGUAUUCAGUGUGCAGGUUCUGUGUCUAAUAUGGCCCAACGCCUAUUUGCUCUAACCCGCCAAGUUGAAUCAUUGGCAGCUGAAAUGAUGAGUCUCAAACAAGAAAUUAGAGGGCUCAAGCAUGAGAAUAAACAGUUGCACCGGCUCGCACAUAACUAUGCUAUAAACAUGAAGUGGAAGCUUAACCAGAUGAAGGAAUCUGAUGGUCAGGUUUUACUUGAUCAUCAGCGGUUUGUGGGUUUGUUCCAAAGGCAUUUAUUGCCUUCGUCUUCUGGGGCUGUACCGCAUAAUGAAGCUCCAAAUGAUCAACCUCCGAUGCCUCCUCCUUCUAGGGUUCUGUCCAAUACUGAGGCUCCUAAUGAUCCCCCUCCGAUGCCUUCUCUUUCUAGAGCUCUACCAACUGCUGAGACUUCUCCUAAGCAACCUUUAUGAAGGCUCCCUCUUGUUUGUUUAUUUUGACUCAUGUAUAUGUACAUAUUUGUAACUUAUCGGAGAUAUCAAUAACUAAGCUUUGCUUCAUUUCCAACGUAUUGUGUUAAAUACACCAAAGCCUUCUUCAUUGAGUGGAGUCCGCUAUAUGAAUCUUAGAACGCCAUUGUGCUCGGUCCUGUGUCAUGUCCUCCGUUAGAUCCAAAUACUCUAAGUCUUUUCUUAGAGACUCUUCCAAAGUUUUCCUAGGUCUUCCUCUACCCCUUCGGCCCUGAACCUCUGUCCCGUAGUAACAUCUUCUAACCGGAGCGUCAGUAGGCCUUUUUUGCACAUGUCCAAACCACCGUAACCGAUUUUCUCUCAACUUUCCUACAAUUUCGGCUACUCCUACUUUACCUCGGAUAUCCUCAUUCCUAAUCUUAUCCUUUCUCGUGUGCCCACACAUCCAACGAAGCAUCCUCAUCUCCGCUACACCCAUUUUGUGUACGUGUUAAUGCUUCACCGCCCAACAUUCUGUGCCAUACAGCAUCGCCGACCUUAUUGUCGUCCUAUAAAAUUUUCCCUUGAGCUUCAGUGGCAUACGGCGGUCACACAACACGCCGGAUGCACUCUUCCACUUCAUCCAUCUAGCUUGUAUUCUAUGGUUGAGAUCUCCAUCUAAUUCUCCGUUCUUUUGCAAGAUAGAUUCUAAGUAGCGAAAACGAUCGCUCUUUGGUAUUUCCUGAUCUCCGAUCCUCACCCCUAACUCAUUUUGGCCUCCAUUUGCACUAAACUUGCACUUCAUAUAUUCUGUCUUUGAUCGGCUUAGGCGAAGACCUUUAGAUUCCAACAGUUGUCUCCAAAGGUUAAGCUUCGCAUUUACCCCUUCCUGAGUUUCAUCUAUCAAUACUAUAUCGUCUGCGAAAAGCAUACACCAAGGAAUAUCAUCUUGAAUAUGUCAUGUUAACUCAUCCAUUACCAACGCAAAAAGGUAAGGACUUAAGGAUGAGCCUUGAUGUAAUCCUACAAUUAUGGAGAAGCUUUCGGUUUGUCAUUCAUGAGUUCUUACGGCAGUCUUUGCUCCUUCAUACAUAUCCUUUAUAGCUUGGAUAUAUGCUACUCGUACUCCUUCAUUCUCUAAAAUCCUCAAAAGAAUGUCUCUUGGGACCCUAUCAUAAGCUUUUUCCAAAUCUAUAAAGACCAUGUGUAAAUCCUUUUUCCCAUCUCUAUAUCUUUCCAUCAAUCUUCGUAAGAGAUAGAUUGCCUCCAUGGUUGAGCGCCCUGGCAUGAACCCGAAUUGGUUGUCCGAAACCCGUGUCACUUACCUCAAUCUAUGCUCAAUGACUCUCUCCCAAAGCUUCAUUGUAUGACUCAUUAGCUUAAUACCCCUAUAGUUCAUGCAAUUUUGUACGUUGCCCUUAUUCUUGUAGAUAGGCACCAAAGUGCUCUUUCGCCACUCAUUUGGCAUCUUCUUCGUUUUCAAAAUCCUAUUGAAAAGGUCAGUGAGCCAUGCUAUACCUGUCUCUCCCAAGACUUUCCACACUUCGAUCGGUAUAUUGUCUAGGCCCACUGCUUUAUAAUGCUUCAUCUUCUUCAAAGCUACAACCACUUCUUCUUUCCUGAUUCGACGAUAAAAUGAGUAGUUUCUACACUCUUCUGAGUUACUCAACUCCCCUAAAGAAGUACUCCUUUCAUGUCCUUCAUUAAAAAGAUUAUGAAAAUAACCUCUCCAUCUGUCUUUGACCGCGUUCUCUGUAGCAAGAACCUUUCCAUCCUCAUCCUUGAUGCACCUCACUUGGUUUAGGUCCCUUGUCUUCUUUUCCCUUGCUCUAGCUAGUUUAUAGAUAUCUAACUCUCCUUCUUUGGUAUCUAGUCGCUUAUACAUAUCGUCAUAAGCCGCUAACUUAGCUUCUCUCACAACUUUCUUCGCCUCUUGCUUCGCUCUUCUAUACCUUUCACCAUUUUCAUCGGUCAUGUCCUUGUAUAAGGCUUUACAACAUUCCUUCUUAGCCUUCACCUUUGUUUGUACCUCCUCAUUCCACCACCAAGAUUCCUUUUGGUAUGGAGCAAAGCCCUUAGACUCUCCUAAUACCUCUUUUGCUACUUUUCGGAUACAACUAGCCAUGGAAUCCCACCUUUGGCUAGCUUCCCCCUCUCUAUCCCACCCAUACUGGGUGAUUACUUUCUCUUUGAAAAUGACUUGUUUUUCUCCUUUUAGAUUCCACCAUCUAGUCCUUGGGCACUUCCAAGUCUUGUUCUUUUUUUCUCACUCUUUUGAUAUGUACAUCCAUCACCAACAAGCGAUGUUAAUUAGCCAAGCUCUCUCCCGGUAUAACUUUGCAAUCCUUACAAGUUAUACGAUCCCCUUUCCUCAUUAGAAGAAAAUCUAUUUGUGUUUUUGACGACCCACUCUUGUAAGUGAUCACAUGUUCUUCUCUCUUCUUAAAGAAGGUGUUGGCUAAGAAGAGAUCAUAUGCCAUUGCAAAAUCCAAGAUAGCUUCCCCAUCCUCGUUUCUCUCCCCAAAACCAUGGCCACCAUGAAAACCUCCAUAGUUGCCUGUCUCCCUGCCCACGUGUCCAUUUAAAUCUCCUUCUAUAAAUAACUUCUCCGUCUGGGCAAUUCCUUGCACCAAGUCUCCAAGGUCUUCCCAAAAUUUCUCCUUCGAACUCGUAUCAAACCCUACUUGAGGUGCAUACGCACUAAUCACAUUGAUGAGUUCUUGUCCUAUUACAAUCUUGAUUGCCAUGAUUCUAUCUCCUACCCUCUUGACAUUUACAACAUCUUGUGUCAAGGUCUUGUCCACGAUGAUGCCAACACCGUUUCUCGUUCUAUUUGUGCCCGAAUACCAAAGUUUAAACCCUGAGUUUUCUAGAUCCUUUGCCUUAAGACCAACCCACUUAGUUUCUUGUAGGAACAUAAUAUUUAUCCUUCUCUUCACCAUAACUUCCACUACUUCCUUAGAUUUUCCGGUUAAGGUUCCUAUAUUCCACGUUCCUAAAUGCAUUCUGCUAUCUUGAACUCUACCUUUCUGUCCUAGCUUCUUCACCCUCCCCCGUCCAAUAGAAUCAAAGUACUUCUUUUGUGUGUCCUGUGUAAAGUUGAUAGGAGCAUAUGCUCCCAAACAACUUUGAGUGGAGUCGUUCGAAAAGAAGUUUAUAUGGCCCCCUUGCUCAUUUAACACUGCAUCUAGGUGCUGAUGGAGAUACGGCAACCCUUGCUCACUUAUCACUAUGCUCGGGCCACACAACGCGCCAUUUACGGGUGACGCCCUAGCUUUAGCGCGAUUUCGUGCGAUGAAAAAAAAAAGGUGAGUAAUUUUAACUCUAGUUUGAGGUAAUAACAUGUGAAUUUUUCGUAUUACUGGUUUUUCCCUUUCUAUUAAAAACAACCUUUGAUUUCUUUGAUAGUGCGUUUUUCUAUCUGUGCUAUUGUUGAACUCCCCCAGUUAUCAGUUUUGACUCAAAAAAAAUAUUCGAUGAUAACAUGCAUUGAAUAUUGGCUAAAAUUAUAUUGAAAUUUGCUGGCCGAAGCAGAUAUCGUUAAAAGAGCUCUAAGUCACCCUCUGAAAUUAAUUGCCAAAAGUGAUGUUGUAAAUGGAAGAGUUGUUAGUGAGAAGGCAUUUUUUUUCGUUUCACUUUAUAGACUAUGCUCACUAUCUGUUUAAUAUGUUUCAUCGUAUUAAUUAAAGUCUCAUUUCUCAGGUGCUUUCAAGUGACAACCCCAACUAUGGAUGCAUGCUGCCACUGGAAACUAUGAAAAUUUCAUGGUUGCUGGGAUCACUGAUCCAACUAAAGUGGGUUUCUUUAUCAAGUACUUCAUGAAUAGAAUAUUUUGGAGAUCCUAUCGCUGGGACAGAUUGAAGAAGAUGAAGAUCACAAGGGUGGGAUACUGGGGAGGGUGGUAGGGUUAUGAGGAGUGGGCUCUGGUUGGUUUCGAUUUGACCAAUGUCAUGGUUCGAUGGAAUCGAGGUGAUGGGGAUGAUUCAUGAGGUCACAACCACAAGAUGUAGGGCCUACGCGUGGGGUUUAGGGGUUUCACAUAGAGGCUUACAGAGGGAGGGGGUGCACACGUGAAUUGCAGAGGGAGAGGGAGAAAGAGGGGGAGUAGGGUUGCUAUAUUCAAGUUCUCUUUUUUAUUUUUACUUGAAUUUGAUUUGAUUCUUUUUUUUUUUUGCGACAGGUUGAGAAUGCGAAAGCUCAGCUGGAGGUGGAGGUGAGAAUUUUAAUUUAAUUCAUGGUAUAUCUUUUUUUUUUUGUGGGAUUGUGCUGUUUUUGGGAAAACAAUAUUAAAUUGAAGUUUAGAUAUUUCUGUAAUUGGGAUUUAGAGUAAGAGAUGAAGAACUAUAUGUGAUUGCAAAUUUAAAAGUUUAGAACUUUUUUGGUUUGGAAGCUAAUUUUAAAUUCAGCUAGCUGAUUAAUUAAUAGAGAAAUUAUAACGAAUGUGUGAUACGUUUUUCAAUGCGUAUGAGCAGACAUGGGUACUGCUUCAGCGGCAGCAGCUGCUAUAUGAUGGUAGAUGAGGAAUUCUGAGAUGCUGAGUGCUCUUAGUGUCAGAGAUGAAGACUUGAUAAUGAUCGUUCCAAUUCUGCCUCAAGGUAUACUUGAUAAUGUUGUCCUUUAUGUGCAAUUCACUGUAUGAUGCUCGUUCCUUUAAUGAGCCUGUCAAUAUAUUUCAAUGCACCCACCAAUUGGUUUUAUCAUCAUACAUCAUUCGUGAGAAAUGGGAUGGUGAGUUUCUCAAUACAGUUUUAAUUUUUGUGCGAAUAAUGUUUGUAAAAAGUCUGUUUUUAUUUAGUUCAUUGCAGAUUCUUAUUCUUUUAUUUAGUUCACGAUUCAUGCUUUUAAAGAUAAGAAGUGCAAGGCUCUCUCGGAUGUUAGUUUUGGGUGGCAAUUGAAAGAUACGAGGACAAACAAAAAUACCUACCAAUUGAAAGGAUAAAUUCAAUUGAAAAUAUUUGGUUCAUCAAUUAUUAUAGUUUGAGCUUUCUGCAUUAAAUGUCCAGUUUUCGGGAAGAGUGAUUCAUGUAAUUGGGUUUUAUUAAAAUUUUCAUGAUUUUAUACAGUUUUUCGUUUAAAUUUGUGGAUUCAUAAACACUUUUAUGAGUGUUAAUUUCUGUUCGUAUGUCUAAAAUUUGUUUGGAAUUUGGCUGUUUCUUCAAUUUCAUCACCACCUAUUCUCACAACUUCAUUUAAAGUGUUUUGCAUGUAUAAGAUUCAUAUUCAUGGAGGUCAUUUCAAACGGAUUUCAAGCUGAGCUGCAGAAAUUUGAUUCAAAUUGGUGGAUUUGGGUAAGAAACUAAGAAACCAUUAUCUUUUGUUUCGGUUUUAAGAACUGAAUUUAAUGGUUAAGUUUAUGUUUCAAGAUUAUCUUCCUUUCUCCUAAAUACUGAGUUUUAUGAGAUUACAUUUGGCAAGUCUGAAAACGGAUUAGAAAUACAGAGUUUUAUGAGAUCUAUUUGGCAAGAUUAUCUUCCUUUGUCCUAAAUACUGAGUUUUAUGAGAUCUAUUUGGCAAGUCUGAAAGUGGAUUGCGUAUGUUUAUAUCUCCCUUUCUUCUAAAUACUGAGUUUUAUGAGAUCACACCAUCUUAUGUUUAUUGUAUAAUCUUAUGCAGUCAGAAGAAUUAUCAUCUUUUUCCUUUUAGAUUUCAACAUAUUUGGAAAUACUUCAAAUUUUUUGUAGUGUAGUUUGUACUUGUAGUUUACAUGAUUACGUAAGUUCUAUUUCUUUAGUAAAUUUUUAUGCAGGAAAGAAAGUCAUUUCUCAGUUUAUAGUUAACAUGAUUACAUAAGUUAUGCUUAUCUUAUCAACCUCAUUCACUCGUAUGUUGCUCUGUUCAUUCAUGAUUGUGUUAAAUUUAUUCAGGUUAAAAGUGUCUUAUUCAUGCAGUUACGCAUGAAACAGUUGUUCCCGCGGCAACACGUGGGCUUAUUUUCUAGUUCCAAUGUAAACCUAGAGACGAAACGAGGUCAUAUAUUACAAAGACAUAUUCUAAAACAGCCUUAGCUCAGAGAAUAAAAAAAGGAAAACUAAUGAAAAUGGCUUGAAAACUUUGAGUUUUAACGAUAUGGACAAAAUAAAGGGUAAAGUGAACAGUAUCAGGUUUGACUUUUUAGUGUAAAAAUGUGAUUUUUCGUUAAAGUAAACAGUACAGCAGACUUUUCGUUAAAACUCCCAAUAAAAAAAACCAUGCAGUGAAAACAUCUAAGGGAAACGAGUUGAUCCUCAAUAAACGCCUCAAUAGAAUGACAUCUUUGUUAAAGCAUCUGUUAUAAAAUUAGCUUCAUCUAAAACAUGAUAGAAGCUGAUAUGAUCAAGCAUACCAUGUUUGCCAACAUAAAAGAAGGAUCUUUCCAAGUUUAGGAAGGUGGGAGUUGCCAAAGAGAAACCGAUUUGAGCCGCAUUUUCUUCAAAUAUCUCAGGCAAACGGUCGGCUGACAAAAUGCAGUCAAUGGCUUCAACAUCUUGAGAAUAAAAGGCACAACUAGGAUCAAUUGGUUGUACUUCAUAUAGGGAUAAGACUUGAGUCUCGUCUUUCACAUAUGUUUACUUGUUCAUUCCGGCCAUUAUAUGGUACAACACUGAACAUAGAGUACAACUUUUCCGGCCUCUAAGUCCGGAACCCUCCCAAACAUUGGACACUACAAUACCAAAAUAAAGCAAUAAAAUACAACAGUACAAUACAAUAUAGUUAAAAGCAAUCCAUCUUAGUACAGACUCAAUCGGAUGAAUCAACGGAGCCCUAGUGUUCAAGCUUCCAUCCUUGCGGUAAACUUAAGUGGUGGCUUCAAGAAAUGGAUAAUCAGUGUAACCAAUGACGGGAUCAGUGUGUAAAAUGUCUCUCUGUUGUACUUGUUUAGAGGAGCAUUAAGUUCAAAUCUCUUUGGCAAAUCCGGAUUCGCCAAGAAAAUACGGCCAUAAGCAAUAAGAUCUGCACGGCCCUCGCCCACAGCUCUGUUUCCAUCUUCCCUGUGAUAACUGUAAAUCAUUGUGUAUGUUGAUGAAGAAAGAAUAUGCAGGAAGAAAGACAGAGAGAAAUGUAGAAGAAUAAGAGAGUAAGAGAGUUUAGAGAGUAGAGAGAGAAUCAAGAAUUGUAUUUUCUUUCUAGUUAGUUACAACUGACUAUUACAACAUGUAUUUAUUUGUAUUGGUAGCUUACACUCUAAGCCACACAAUAACCACCUUAACUAACUCUUAUAUCACAGCUAUAGAAUCUUAGUACACCUAUCAUCCCCCCUCAAGCUCAGGGGCAGAGAAAUUGAGCCUGAGAUUGGCACAAUGAGUCUGAAAGAGUGGUGUAGAAAGACCCUUGGUGAGGAUAUCUGCAAACUGCUCAGUAGACGAUACAAACUGAACAUGUAGUUGCUGUUUUGCAACCCUUUCUCGAACAAAAUGGACAUCAACCUCAAUAUGUUUCGUACGUUGAUGUUGAAUUGGAUUGCAAGUCAGUGCAAUUGCAGACAGGUUGUCACAGAAAAGUAAUGGGGGCUCGGCCAAAGGAAUCUGCAAGAACGACAACAGAGAUUUAAUCCAAUCCAAUUCAGCCGCUGUAGUAGAGAGAGCUCGAUAUUCAGCCUCAGUUGAUGAGCGAGAGACAGUGUGUUGUUUCUUAUACAUCCAUGAAAUGGGAUUAGACCCCAAGAACACCACCAUUCCAGUUGUGGACCGUCUAUCGUUCGGAUCACCCGCCCAGUCUGCAUCACUAUAGGCAGUAAGAUCAAGGGAACCUCGAAUAUACUGAAUACCACAGCCUCGAGUAGCCUUUAAGUACCUAAGAAUCCGUUUGACAGCCAUAAAGUGGGAGUCCAUUGGUCGCUGCAUAAACUGGCAGACCUGAUGCACUGCGAAAACAAUGUCAGGCCGCGUAAAAGUCAAGUACUGGAGAGCACCAACCAAGCUCCUGUACAUUGUAGGAUUAUUAUAAGGCUUGCCAUCAUUGCUGAGAAGACGGUUGUAAGGCAAACAUGGAGUAUCACACGGUUUGGACAAUAGCAUAUCAGAUUUAGUAAGCAGAUCCGUAACAUACUUGUCUUGAGAGAGAAACAAACCAUUCUUGUUCUGUACAAUUUGAAUGCCUAGAAAAUAAUGAAGAGGUCCCAAGUCUUUCAUAUCAAACUCAUGAGUAAGAGCUUGAAUAACCUCAGUGAUAGCUUGUGGAUGGCUGCCUGUGAUGAUAAUAUCAUCAACAUACAACAACAGAAUCACCACAUAUGUGUCAACAGUUUUUACAAAUAAAGAUGAAUCUGCAAAUGUAGACUUGAACCCUAAGGAAGGUAGAAAAGUAGUGAACCUUUCAUUCCACCUGUGGUGCCUGUUUCAACCCAUAAAGCGAUUUAUGUAAUCGACAAACAUAAUCUUCAUGUUUAAGAUCAACAAACCCAGGUGGCUGUGUCAUGUAGACCUCUUUCUUGUAAAUAUGCCAUGGAGGAAGGCAUUUUUCACAUCUAAUUGUCUCAAUGUCCAACCAAAGUUUGCUGAUAAAGCUAGAACGAUUCUCACUGUUGUAGGUUUAACAACAGGGCUAAAAGUCUCUCCAUAAUCGAUUCCUUCUUCUUGAUUAAAGCCUUUUGCCACCAGCCGUGCCUUAUACCUCCCAAUUGAGCCAUCAGCAUUCUUUUUUAUCUUAUAUACCCAUUUACACCCGAUUAAAUUCUUGUGACGGGGCAAUGGAACCAAUGACCAUGUUCCCUGAUUAUGCAAAGCCAAUAUCUCAUCUUGCAUAGCAUUAAACCAAACUGGGGAUUUCAACGCAGACUUAUAUGUUGCAGGUUCCACUUAUGUCAAAUCAACCCCCCCAUGUUCAUGAACCUGAGCAAGUAAAGCAAGCUUCUUAAUAAUACCACUUUUGGAUCGUGUCUGCAUAGGAUGGAAGUUCACUGGGGGAACAGAGAGAACCACUUGGAGCUGCUCAGGUUGGAAUUCAGGUACCACAGGAGGUGCAGGGGAGAAGGGUUGUGUAGUUGGAGAAGUAAUGGAAUGAGUAGCAGUUGAAUUUCCUGCACUGUCAGGUGAACCUGUAAUUGGAACCGUAGUGGAGGCUGCUGAAAGUUGCUGGAGUACCAGAUUUGGCAUGCCACUAGAGAUAGAAUCUGAGCUUAAUGAUGCAGGACACUCAGUGUAGGGAUUAAGUGACUCGUGUAACACAAGUACAUUACUAUGAUUAGGAACUGGAAUUGGUGUUUGAGAAUGUGAUGGAGGUGGUGAAAUAGUGGUACAGUGAGAUUUAGAGACCAAAGAACGAUAAGGAAACUCUGUCUCAUCAAAUAAAACAUGUCUAGAAAUAUACAUUUUGUUUUUAGAAGCAUCAUAACAAAGAUAGCCUUUAUAGUUAGAUGCAUAUCCCAAAAAGAUACAUUUUGCAGUGCGGGGAUCUAACUUGGUAUGAGUAUAAGGCCUUAACCAAGGAUAACAAGAACAGCCAAAUAUUUUCAAAUGUGUUAUUACUGGUAUGGAAUUGUGCAGCAAUUGAAACGGAGAUAAAUUUCCCAAGGAAGAAGAUGGCAUUCUAUUAAUGAGGUACACUGAGGUUUUGCAGGCAAAAGACCAAAACACUGAGGGUAAGGAAGCAGACUGUAGCAAAGCAAUGGAAAUUUCAAUAAUAUGCCUGUGUUUUUGUUUAGCUAUUCCAUUCUGUUCGGGUGUGUAAGGACAGGAAAGUUGGUGCUUAAUUCUUUUAUCAGACAAAAAUUGUUGAAAUGCUUUGUUUAUGUAUUCACCACCACCAUCACUGUGAAGAGUUUUAAUGGCUACUUGAAACUGAUUUAAGAUGAAAUUGUAUAAAGAAACAAAUAUACCCGAAACAUCACUUUUAUUGCACAUGGGAAAAAUCCAGCAAUAUUUUGUACAAUGGUCAAUGAAAGUGACAUAAUAUCUAAAUCCAUCUAGAGACACACAAGGAGCAGGACCCCACACAUCACUGUGAACAAGAUCAAAAGGUUUUACAGAUUUAUCUACGGAGGAAGGAAAUGGGAGUUUACUGAAUUUGCCCUCUAAACAUGGGUGACACAGUGAAGGUGUUUGAUCAGCAACACAAAGAACAUGUGAGGAUUCUAAAAUGCGGGAAACAAUUGAAUUAGAGGGAUGACCUAAUCUCUUAUGCCAAAUACUGGUAGUAACUUGUUGUCCCAGAAAAGCUGCAAGGUUCCUUUUGUGGAUGACUGCAGGAGAACUUGGUGAGAUGAUCGGAUACAAACCAUUGUUACACAGCCCUUUGUAAAGCACCCUCCCUGUGGCUUUGUCGUGAGAGAUAGCUAAACCUUCACCAUUUGCAGUCUGAAUAGUCUCAUUAGACGGAUAUGGAGUGGACAAGGAAAGAUUUCCCAAGUCUGAAGUCAUAUGAUUAUUUGCACCUGAAUCAGUAAGCGAAAUUUGCUGCUGUGGAGGAGGAGAUGGCACUGAGAAAGAAGGAUUAGGACCAUUGAGUGUUGCAGCAUGCAUAGCACUCAUUUGAGGAUUGGCAUUCUUUUGAAAACAUGUUUCUGCAGUAUGAUUGGAGUUCCCACAAAUAAAGCAGCCUGAGGGACCACUUGUAUUUCGAAAUCUACAGGUAUCAGCCAUAUGGUUGUGCUUCCCACAAAUUUGGCAACCUUGUGAAACAUUCAUGUUUCGAAAACGACAUGUAGAAGCCAAAUGAUUUGACUUCCCACAUAUUUGACAAAGUUAAGGCUGAAACCCAUAAAUCUGUGUUCUUGGCGGAGAAGCACCAAGAAUGCCAGGUGCAGGAUUUGAAGAGAAGUUCUUUUUAUUACCAUAUCUCGGAUUGAAUUAGAACCAAAACGAUUUCUGCCUUUACCAUUGUGAUUAAAAGACCUGUAUGCAUUUGUAUUGGAACUAGGAUAAUUUCCACCAGAACCUGAAAAAGACUGAUUCUUGGACACCAAGUCAUUGUUCUGUGCCAUUAGUGCAGACAAAACAGGUGAUGCAGAAAUGGUUUCAAUCAAUGCUUCUUCAGCCAACAAUUGAGAACGAAGAUCUUUCAACGAUAUCACAGUUUCACGACCCCGAAUCACAGAUCUUAUAGUAUUAAAUUCAGCAGGCAGACCAUUCAAUGUAAGAAUCACCAUAUCAUCAUCAUCAAAGAAAACACCAGCAGCAAAUAGUAAAUCCCGUGCUUCUUUAAUCUUCUGCAAAUACACAGUGAUAGAAUCAUUACCCUUCUUUAUAUUUUGCAGUUCAGAUUUGAGUUGAAAGAUACUGGUUCUUGUGAUAGUUGAGAACUGUUCUUUAAGCCUAGUCCACAAUUCUUUGGAACUGGUACUACCAAUCGCACAAGAAAUCCCAGCAGGGGACAAGGUUGCAGUGAUCAACUGCAUUAAUGCUUUAUCAUGCAUCUUCCAUACUCUGUAAUCAUCCGAUUGAACUUGGGUAGUAGAACCCCCAGAUAAUUCUUGGCAAAAUUGGUCAGGACAAGGAAUCGAGCCAUCAACAAACCCAAUUAUACUAUGGCCUUCAAGCAGGAGCUCCAUCUGAAAAUGCCAAGCCAAAUAAUUUGUUUCAUCCAACUUCACAUUAACUGAACUUGAAACCGACGAGAUCAAAGAAGCAAUCGGAGACUGAAGAAUAUGUAACUGAGUAGCAGUCACCAUUGUUACCAAUUAGGAGAAAAAUCCCAAGAAAUCUUGACAGAGGAAUAACCACAAACACUUGGUGGGUGUACUUUGAUCGAGAACGAAUCAAAGGAAGAAGAAGACUAAACCAGCCCAAAUUUUAACACAAGAAAUCACAGCAAGGAGAAGUAAUAGGGUAGAAGCGGAAGCAACCAUAACCAAGAUCGAAAUCCGUCAAGCUUUCAUGCUUGUUCCGGCGAUGAUACCAUGUAAACCAUUGUGUAUGUUGAUGAAGAAAGAAUAUGCAGGAAGAAAGGCAGAGAGAAAUGUAGAAGAAUAAGAGAGUAAGAAAGUUUAGAGAGUAGAGAGAGAAUCAAGAAUUGUAUUUUCUUUCUAGUUAGUUACAACUGACUAUUACAACAUGUAUUUAUUUGUAUUGGCAGCUUACACUCUAAGCCACACAAUAACCACCUUAACUAACUCUUAUAUCACAGCUAUAGAAUCUUAGUACACCUAUCAAUAACCACCACCAGCAAUGAAGGUACCAUGGAAAGCCUUUCUCAUGGGAAGAAGACUCUGGUGGGUUUCAGCUUUUUCUCCUAAUGUCUUCAUCCUCGGCUCAACCAUGUGGCAGUACACGAUUCCAUAUUUGUUCAAGGCAUUGGCCAUAUAGAGGCCUAAUUCUUUUGGAUUUGAAUCCCCUGAGUCCAUAUAGUCAGCAAAUGGAGAUAAUCUAAUUCCAACUUUAUCUGCUCCUAUUUCGUUAGCGACAGCUUCAACAACUUCCAGAGGAAGGCGGCAACGAUUCUCUAGAGAUCCACCAUAUUGGUCUGUUCGAUCAUUCACAUGAUCUUUCAGAAACUGAUCAAGAAGGUAGCCAUGCGCCCCAUGAAUUUCAACUCCAUCGAAGCCUAUAUAGCAGAUUAACAAUUUCAACAUACUGACGGUAUUAGAACCCUAAGCAUUGUCGCUGAAUUACCAAACAAAUAAUAUAAAGACAAACUACCGGCUUCAAUAGAAUUCCUUGCAUAAGCUUUGAAGCAAAUUGAGUUGUUGUAAAUUAUGUUUCAUAUGUAACGUAAAGACAAAUUACCAGCUUCAAUAGAAUUCCUUGCAGUAAGUCUAAAAUCAUUGACAAUUUGCGGAAUUUCAUCCGUCCUUAAUCGUCUUGGAGGCGUGAAUUCAGAAGCAUCGAUGCCAUUUAAUCGUAUCGGCUUGUCAGUAGAAGAUAUGGGAGCUUGCCCAUUUGGUUGAUAACCUGUAAGCAAGGAGAGAGAAUUACAACCUGAAGUCUAACGACAGUAACUAACAUCCACAGCAGCACUCUUUUAAGUGGGAAUCCUUUGUUACAAAUUACUAUAACCACACGUGCUAUAUACUAGUUCUGAAUUCUGAGUUAUGUUAACAUCAAGCUUCUUCCCAUCCAAUAAUAAUAAUAACAAUGCUUCCGAAGCAGCAAAGUCAUAACAAGUCCAACUCGGAACUUAACAAGUCCAAGUUUUAUCGUCAUUUUGAGCAACAAUGUUGUCAAUUAUAAUCACUAGCUCGUUCUGAUGCAUACACCAUUAUGUUAUACAUCAAACUUCUUAAUCGGUCUAAUUAUUCACUCAUGUUAACAAAGCAUACUAUGGUAAAAGUGUUGUGCCUUGGCCCGUUUAUCAGUGCGGAAACGAGAUUCAGAUUACAACCUCACCAUAAUCACACUCAGUUGAACAGAAUAAAAUACAAGAAAUAAAGACACCGAGAAAUUUACGAGGUUCGGCAAAAAUCCUGCCUACGUCCCCGGAGAGAUAUUGCUCUUCACUAUGAGAAUAACAGUACAAGUACACAUGAGUUAAAUCAACAUAACCCAAUCCCGAAUCCCUUGCACACCCACUCAUAGAAUUUUCCCAAGAGCCUCACUCUAUCCCAAGAGUUCUUUCACCAGAGACCUUUCACUCUAGCUCUCUUGAUUUCUCUCUCACCCGUGUUCAACCCUUCCCAUGGGAGAGCUGAAUGCUCUCCCCUUUUGGAUGCUCACUCCAUCCUCACAAUCGGCAAGCUCUCUUCAUUUUGUGUGUGAAAAAUGCCUUCACUUAUAGACAUGCACCAUCAAUUAUGUCAACCACAAAACAUGCUUCCACAAAACAUGCUUCCUCAAAACAUGCUUCCACAAAACAUGCUUCCACAAAACAUGCUUCCAAAGUCCACAAAGUUGAGAGGAAAUGGUUGCCAACUCAUAAUUAUAUGAGCCAAACACAACAAUCUCCACCUUGGCGAAUAUACUGUGCAAAAAUCCUUGCACCCAUCACCAAUGUCCAUUGGCCUUACGUACCAGCAUACACAUUCUGAAUCAACCUUGUUGGUCCUGUUCCUGAUUCAGUCACUGCCAAUGCAUGUGCAGCUGCUGCAAGCUAAAAAUCACCAUUUAGCUUCAGACAGGAUCUCGACACAUCCUCGUCUCCUCCAGCAGGUUUUCCUUCUCUUCAUUGUCUGCAACUAGGAAACUCGUCAGCGCGCCCGUUUCCAGUAACAACCCAUCGAGCCAGACAAAAUUCCCACACUUCCUCCUACCUCAUGAUCAUCUCAUCACCUGUGAAUCCCAUAGCUCCACCUGCUGCAAAACCCCUGCAACACUUGAGACUAAACAUCACCAGGAGAAGUGUUGCUUCGAGUACCUAGAGGACAUACUCAAAGUCUUCCGCCACAAACUUGCUACAACCCGGCCUUGCACCGUAGCACUGUGGACCCUUGCCUCCGGAACCGGAUCUGAACCUGCUGUCUCUCUCUGAUCCUCUUUCCAAUUUUCUUCCACGAUUCCAACCUUGAAUAACUUAAGCAGUCUUGUGCCCACCAUCAUCCAUGGUCUCCUUUGUGUAUCAUUCCACACCAAAGAAGCUUGCACCUGCUCCAAACUUACUGUAUCUUUCCAUGCAGUAAAGUUUCACAAGGUUCUAAGACAAAUCUGAAAGUGAGGUAAGAAGAAAGAGGCCUUUGUUUUCUUCCUCAACAUCAACUUUCGCAGUUGAUCCAAGCAUCCCUGAACACGGCUUCCAUUACUCUCCUUUGCCAAGAGUAAAACCGCCUCUUCCUUUAAACUGCUCAACUGAAAAUUCCAUGGUGAACAACAAAUCUGGACCUCCAACGAACCAAAGACUCCAACGAUGCUCUGAUACCAAUUGUUAUGCCUUGGCCCGUUUAUCAGUGCGGAAACGAGAUUCAAAUUACAACCUCACCAUAAUCACACUCAGUUGAACAGAAUAAAAUACAAGAAAUAAAGACACCGAGAAAUUUACGAGGUUCGGCAAAAAUCCUGCCUACGUCCCCGGAGAGAUAUUGCUCUUCACUAUGAGAAUAACAGUACAAGUACACAUGAGUUAAAUCAACAUAACCCAAUCCCGAAUCCCUUGCACACCCACUCAUAGAAUUUUCCCAAGAGCCUCACUCUACCCCAAGAGUUCUUUCACUAGAGACCUUUCACUCUAGCUCUCUUGAUUUCUCUCUCACCCGUGUUCAACCCUUCCCAUGGGAGAGCCGAAUGCUCUCCCCUUUUGGAUGCUCACUCCAUCCUCACAAUCGGCAAGCUCUCUUCAUUUUGUGUGUGAAAAAUGCCUUCACUUAUAGACAUGCACCAUCAAUUAUGUCAACCACAAAACAUGCUUCCACAAAACAUGCUUCCUCAAAACAUGCUUCCACAAAACAUGCUUCCACAAAACAUGCUUCCUCAAAACAUGCUUCCACAAAACAUGCUUCCACAAAACAUGCUUCCAAAGUCCACAAAGUUGAGAGGAAAUGGUUGCCAACUCAUAAUUAUAUGAGCCAAACACAACAAAAAGGGAGGUCAUAAAGGUGUAAGUCAGAAACGCACCGCUAUUAGAAACCCUUCCAGCAUGCCAAAUCUGACAGAAGAAGACGCCACCUUUAGCAUGAACAGCAUUAACAAUGGGUUUCCAGGCUUCAACUUGCUCCUUUGUCCAUAUACCAGGUGUGUUUGGGUACCUUCGUAUAUUAAAGAACCAAAAAUUUCAUCAAACUUUGAAACGAAAGAAGCACCCUCAAAUGCUUGUUAGUCUAUGAAUCUACUGUUGUUGAAAUUACCCUUGAGCUGUGUUGGAAACUCCAGCGGCUUCAGCUAUGAGAAGACCCCCGUUCGAAGUUCUCUGAGAGUAAUAUAAGAUAGCAUGUGGUUGAGGAACAUUGUUGUAUGAUCUCUGUCUGGUCAAUGGUGCUAAAACAAUUCUGGAAAGGAAAAAGCAAUUGUAAAUUAUAAAUACAGAGUGAUCAAGACGGAAUGUGGCUGAGGAACAUUAUCGAAUGAUCUGUUUCUAGUCAUCAACGGUGAAAAUACAAUUCUAAAGAGGAAAAACAUAUAACAAACCAUAAAUACAACCUUCAGACUUUGUAGGAAGCAUUAGUUUGCUAAGGCUCUUUGAUAACAAAUUCGCUUUUAGUUUUCUUGUUUUAGUUAAAAAGGAGAAACGAGGGAGGAAGAAGGAAUUUGGGACGAAAAUGUAUGAAAUAAAAACUCGAAUUGUAGAUUAUCUGAAUUUGCUAAGGCUCCUUCAUAACAAAUUCGCUUUUAGUUUUCUUGUUUUACUUAAAAAGGAGAAACGAGGGAGGAAUAAGGAAUUUGGGACGAAAAUGUGUGAAAUAAAAACUCUAAUUGUAGACAAUCUGAAUUUGCUUUAUGUUCUUCAUUUUCGGUAUCAUUCCAUGAACAUUUGGUCCCUCAUCCAUCCCUUCCCCUUCCCCUUCCUCCUCCUCCUCCUCUUCUAUCAUGCAUUUUCUCUUUUACUUAAAAUUAAAAACUAAAAAUCAAAUACGAAAUCGUUACCAAACACAACCUAAACAAAGCAAUGUCUUACGAAGUGACCAUGGCCGAAAGGGCACAUACUUUUAACAAUCUAUUGCAUCUAUUUUCAACAAUUAAUCAAUGAAAUAACUCAAGUGUACUGUUGUUUUGAUUUAAUUUGUAACAUCUGUACUAUUUUAUAGACAAAGAUACAGUUACUCUUUUUUUUUUUUUAGGUAAACUAGAAUUACACCAGGGCAAAGCCAGAGUACAACAGGAAAGCCCACACAGAGGACUAACAUAGCUAAAACCAUUGAGACGACAAACAACAAAAUGAUCCAGGGCCAAGGACCAACACUAGUCCCGACAUUAUGUCACCCUUAAUCAUUCCAACAUAGACUCAACUUAGUGUGGGCAAGGUAGACCAUCCUUGUUCAACUUCUUGUCUCCUUCCCAACAUCUGUACUAUUUUAUACCAACAUGAUUCUCUCUGGAUUCUUUUGGUGAGAAUCUUGUCCGUUCAUCGUACAUCGUGCGAUCAGUUUUUGUCAAAUAAUUUUGUGUUUAAUUUUAAAUAAAAAUAUUUAAAAUAAUUUUUUACUGCACGAUAUACGAUGAACGGACAAAAUAACGGAUUUUCAGGAUUCUCACAAAGAGAAUUCGACGAGUAUCCGGAUUCUAUUUUAUAGACAAAGAUACAGUUACAAACACUCCUUGUCUCCUUCCCCAAAUCAUUCUUCGUUUUUGUAAAAUAGGAACAAUGUAUGAAAGUUUUAAUUACCUAUGAGAAAGAUUGAAGUUUCCAAUUUGUAGGGAGUGAGGAGAGGAACUGUGGGAGGUUGAGCAGCAGCAGACAUCUCAGAAUUCGAGUCGGUCGUCUACCACCUGAUCUUGCACUUGGCCUUUUAUACUGGAUUCUGGGAUGAAGGAAGGAAGGAAUGAAUGAAAACAGGACCCAAUUGGGUCUUUAUACGUUCGGUAGGAGCUUAAAAGUCCGCCCUGCAGCUUUCCUCCACAAAAGUCAGAGAAGGCCGGGUCCCACAUCUCCCCUCCCUUGUGUGGUGGUGGCGGCGGCGGACGUCGGUGGGUGGACGAUGGAUCUCUCCAAAGCAUUAAUUAAACCGAUUAGGUGAAGACAGGUAGGAAGGUUUGAUGAGGUCUGUAAUUACGUUUACGUGGGUUGAAAAUUCACCAGUUUUAUGAGGUCUGUAAUUACGUUUGCGUGGGUUGAAAGUUCACCAGUUUUCCCCAUGAAAAAGGACGUCUACGCACGUUCAUUUCGAUUUUGCUUUUUCAUCCUGCAUUAUUAGGCCAUGGUUAGAAAAAUAUAUUAUUUAGGUCCUUAAGGCCACCUCCAAUCAGAAGGGUUAAAACAUAAUCUCAUAUAGAAUUAUAAUUUUGUAAAAAAAUUAAUUUUAAAUUAAUAGUGUCAGAUCAUAUUCAUAUACUAUCUAUAACCAAAUGAGCUAAACAUAGCCUCAUCAAUUUCCGAUGGAUAGCUAGACUAAAAUUCUAUGGAGCUCAUCAAGCCAUCAUUUGGCUAAAGGGGCAUUGGGUUGGCCAAAUGUAGCCCCCCUUCUUAGCCCUUUUUGGAGCUCAGCUCCUCUACUGCACUAUUUGAGUCAAAUUCAACAACUAUGUUUGAAAACAUUUAAUGGAAGUUUAAUUAAAUUAAUCGAUAAAUUUAAUAUAUAAACUUAAAACUAAGUAAUUAUUGAGAAGGUUAUGUUUAGCCACUUCAGUGACGGUAUAUAAGUAUGACGCGAUAUUGUUCAGUCAUUUCGGUUGAAGAUGGCCUAAGGUAAGAAUUUUGAGGAUAUGUGAGACUAAUGUAUGUUAGUUACAAAAUUAUGUUUGUAUAGAUCACUUGAAAUAUUUGACAACUUAAUAAAGAAAAACCAACUUAAAAUCCAUGAACCAUUAGAAAACUCAUUUUCUUUUUUGGUUUUAUUAAGUUGUCAAAUAUUUAAGCUUUUGAAUACAAACUAAUAUAAUCUUGUGGCUAAUAUACAUUUGGUCCUCACAAAUCUUUAAAAUGAAGACCUUACUUGAUCAAUGAAUUUAUGACAAAUUAAAUAGUCUAAAAAUAAAAGGCUCGAAUUAGGGCUAGGUUCGGUUCAAAUCGGUUCAAUUUUUUUUUUCGGUUUUGGUUUUUUUUUGGUUCCGGUUCGGUUUUUUCCGUGAUUUUUUUAAAUCUUUUUUAUUUUUGUCAAAAAUAUAAAGAAGAGUAAUUUUACUUUUUGUUUCCGAUGAACUAAGAAAUUAAAGAAGGAACUUGAAUUAAAACUAGGGCAACUCGCAAUGAUGGCUGCAUCAAACAAAUCAUCCAUAUCUACAAUAUGAACAGAAACCUUUGUAAAUCAUAAAGUCCUUAAUGCUAAAUCCUUUAAGAACCAAGACUUGAAAACCCUAAAUCUGCAAUACAAACCCACAAGUAAGAAACAAACCCACAACACAAAAAUCGAACAAAUCUGCAAUACAAACCAAACUCCCUCCAUGGCGCCAUGUCACUGCCUCCGUUUUCCGGCCAAACCAAGGCGAUUUAGCCCAAAAAAAAGGUACAUCUUCGUCUCAUCUAGAAGUAUGAUUUUUGUUUUUGAAUCACUUGAUUUCGUUGAGUAUUCAAGAAGUUAUGAACGUUUAAAGUUUACCCAGUUUCUGGCGAGUUUCCAAGUUUUCCCUCGUACCAAUCAACUUUGAGGCUAUUUUCCCGCCAUCUCCAGCAACCAUUGGGCUUCCAAAUAGGUUUAAUCUUAUUAUAUAUUUUCCUAUCUUCAUUUUGAUAUUUUAUGGGUCGAAUUUGGUUAAGAAACGAUUAAGUUACAAAGCUUUGAAAAUUGCCCAAGAACUCCGGGACACUUAACGGAGUUUUUAACGGAAGGACCAAAAUGAUGGAUGGUGGACAAUCUCAAGGACCACUUUUAUCGAUUUGAAAUGUUAGGGACCAAAGUGAAGAGUUAUGCAAAUCUCAGGGACUAUUUUGACUAUUUAGCCUUUUUUUUUCCUAAACGAAAAAUAUUUUUUUUAAAUGAAGAUAGAAAAGUGUAGAAUAAGAUUAUACCUAUUUGGAAGCCCCAAUGGCUGCCGGAGAUAGCCGGAAAAUAGCCUCAAAGUUGACUGGUCUGAGGGAAAAUUGGAAAACUCGCCGGAAACUGGGUAAACUUUAAACGUUCAUAACUUCUUUAAUACUAAACUAAAUCAAGUGAUUCAAAAACAAAAAUCAUACUUCUCGAUGAGACGAAGAGAAUGGUACCUUUUUAGACAGUUUAAAUUGCGGUGGUUUGGCCAUAAAAGGCUAAAUAGUGUCUAACUCGAGACUAAGACAGCAUUUAUAGAACCGUUUUCUGCCAAACCACAGUGAAUUUACCCUUCAAAUAGGUACCAUUCUCUUAUUAUCGUCGAGAAGUAUGAUUUAGUUUUGAAUAACUUGAUUCGUUUAGUAUUGAAGAAGUUAUGAAUUUAAAGUUACUCAGUUUCUGGUGAGUUUUCCAGUUUUCCUUCGGACCAGUCAACUUGAGGCUAUUUUCCGGGCUAUCUCGGCAGCCAUUGGGCUCAAUAGGUAUAAUCUUAUUCUACACUUCUAUCCAAUUAUUAAGGCUAAAUAGUCAAAGCUUUGGAAAACCCACACAGAAAAAGUUCGCAACACUAACUUAACCAAAUUCGCCAAUAUCAAAGCCCCUGGAAGGGAGCCUCCCUCCAUGGUGGAAUGUCACUGCCUCCUUUUACCGAUUUGCGAAGCCCAAAAAGGGAGUUAUGCAAAUAGAAGAGAUUUUGUUUUUUUUCUUUUUUUUUCCCUAAACGAAAAUAAUUUUUUUUAGGUUUUACCCAAUAAGAUGGGAAGCCCUGGCUGCCGCGAAUAGACGAAAAUAGCCUUCAAAGUUGACUGGUCUGAUGGGGAAAAUUGGAAAACUUGACUACUGGGUUAAACUUUUAAACGUUUCAUAAGAUUAAUAAUAAAACUAAUUUUGGUGAUUCAAAACAAAAAUCAGGGACUUCUCAUGAGACGAAUAUAAAGAAUUGGUCACCCUUUUUAGACAGUUAAAAUUGCCCAUAAAGGCUAAUAAGUGUUCUAACUCGAGACUAAGACAGCCAUUUUAGAACCGUUUUGGGCCAAACCACAGUGAUAGCCUUCAAAAUAGGUACCAUUCUCUUAUUAUCGUCGAGAAGUAUGAUUUAGUUUUGAUAAACUUGAUUUCGUGAGUAUUGAGAAGUUAUGAACAUUUUAAAGUUACUCAGUUUCUGGUGAGUUUUCAGUUUUCCUUCGGACCAGUCAACUUUGAGCUAUUUUUCGGGCUAUCCCGGCAGCAUUGGGCUUCCAAAUAGGUAUAAUUCUUAUUCUACACUUUCCUAUCUUCAUUUGUUUAUUAAUUUGGUUUAAGAAAAGAGUUAUGUUAUGAAGCUUCUAAAGAACUCCGGGUCCAAAAACUUCUAAAGGCCAAACUCCGGGACACUUCUCAGGGAGUUUUUCGAUUUGAAAAGACCGACCAAAUCUUAAGGACAUUUUUGGCUAUUUAGCCAAUCUUAAUGUACUCCCCAAAUAUGAAUGCAAGUUAGGACCAAGAAGUUGGGUUUUUAGCCAAAAAUUACAAACUUUAAAUGAUUAAUAGAACCAAAGUCAAUACUAAUUAUAGCCAUAGAAGUAUUGGGUUGACCGUUUAGAAACGUGAGAUUUCAAAAGGAUGUUACUAAUAAUAUGGUAAUUGUGGUGAUUGAAAUAUUUACUGCAAAUUCACCUUUUCAAGAUUCUGAUUCUCUUGAUUUAAAAAAUUGAUAUCCACUUCCUGAAAAAUCUUUACAAAACUUGUCUUCUGGUUGAGCUUCAAAUGCCCGUAUGCUAUUCUUUUGAUUGUAUAUUACAAAAGAUGUUAAACAUGAAACUUCAAAAGGGGAUUUAAUCCAUUCUAUAUUUGAAAAUUUCCUAAAAUGGAUGUUAAAACUGAAAUUCAAAUGUUUUUAUCCAUUUCUGUCCUUACUUCCAAAAUGACUGGGAUCGUGACCGAUAAUUUUACAAUUCCAAUCCCCUUUGAAUUUUAAGAGUUAUGCUAUUACUUUAGUCUAACUAGGGUUAUGUGGCAUUAUGCAAUUUUGGACAUUUCAGUUCUACUUACGAUAAUUCAUUGAGUUUUCUGUUUCCUUCAUUUAAUUUAUUUGCAAAUUUGCCAUUGGGCUUAGAAAGGUUUUUGUCUUUACGGUUAUUUCCGUUCAUUGGAAUUUUUUCGAUUAUUCGAUCCACGCGUUGAUCAUCGCUGGAUCGCCGGCUGUGUGGGAUCUGGUGAGGGGAUGGGUUACGUGUCCAUCAUUGUCGAAAGGUUUGCUUCGACUGCAACCUCUCGACUUUUCGUUUCGUUUCAACUUCUAUCUCACAAGCCUCUGCUUCAGUCGCUCUUGAUCUUCGCCUUUUCUAAGGCGUUCGAGGGACAAAAACCGAAAGCCAAACCUCCACCACAAACGAAGUCACAAAUAGGGAUGGGCAACGGCGGACGGGUAACCGCGGUUAUUUACCCAUAACCAUUUAUACUUAUACCCGCAUAAUUGUUUACCCAUUGGGUAAUUGCCCAAGCAGUUAUACUCAUACUCAUAACCAUUUAUAAACGGUUAACCAUAUCCAUAACAGCAUACCCAUUUAACCAUAAUCGUUUAAUACCAGUUUACUCAUUUACUCUUUUUAACCCGUUUAUUUUUUAUUUAUUUUUUACCAUUACCUCUUUUUUCACCCUUAUACAUGGUUUUUAACAACUUGAAAAUUAAAAAAAAAAUGUCAUAAUUUUUUUUGGCAAUUAAACACCGUUAUAAGCACAUUCAUCAUACAUUUCUGUAUUUUAAUUUUUUAAAUCCUUAUCUCAUUCCAAUAAUUGAAAUAAUUUCCGGCAAAGACACAACGGCGUGCACUCGUACGUGGGUUAUUUAUAUGCUCAGCAAGCACCCUUAUAUGCAAGAAAAGGUUGUAACAGAAGUUUGAGAAGCAGCAAAUCUGAAAGAUGACUCAAGCAUUGUUGAACUUGCAGACAAUCUUAAUGAAGAUGCCCUUAAUAAAAUGCAGUAUGUCUUAGUAGCUUUGACUGAGACACAGAGGCUCUACCCUGUAAUUCCACCGUAAAUUUGACUAACAUCUUAACUAAAUCUAAUGCAUGCAUACCGCAAGGGAAAUGAUUUCAGUGCGCUCCCGUUUAGUUUUCUCACUUAAAUUUCUUUUGAUUUAUUCAAUUUAAGAAUAGAAAUACUCCAUGGAUCAUCGUUGAUUACUUUUUAAUUAAUUAAAACACUACUAUAUAAACCACAUUAUAGUCAAUAGUAUUGAUCUAAGUUUUGUCUGAUAGAGAACAUGAUUUGUAUUAAUUUUACAUAUAUAAAAUAAAUAGGUAAACAGUUAUUCGUUUAUAAUCGUGAUUAAUACUCAUAACCAACCAUUUAAAUUUUACAGAUGAACGAUUAUACCUAUAACCAUUUAUUUAUUUAAACAGUUACCCAAAUGAGCAUGUAACCGCGGGCCAUCCCUAGUCACGAACGCCACUCUCACUCACCCUCCACCGUUACACACGAACCCAAUCAUAAUUCUGAAAUCCAAACACAACCCAGAUGUUAAUCCUUCAGAGAAUGGCAAUGGCCACUUCUUCUUCCUUCCUCUUAAUCCCUCUCCUCAAUAAUCUUCUUUGCUUUCCCCAGUUAAACACCAAGCUCCGAGUUCAGGUCUCUGUCCUUCUACGGCGGUAGAACUGGAGUCUCCACCUCCUCGGCGAUGGCCACGGAGGCUCAGGUCUCGACCCAAGACGACAAAUUGAAGGAUGCCCAGAUGGAGGUAGCUGAUAAGCCUGAGACAGUCGUGCUUCCAACCAACGAGUCCUCCGAAAGCCUCAUCAUAAUUCGACACACGGUAUUUAUUGAAAUUUCAUUGCUUUGGAUUGGAUUUAUGAUUGUUUUAUGUUAAAUUGAAGUAGGGUGCUUUCCUGUUGAAUUUUUUGAAUUUUUAGAUUCUUAGGAGCUUCCCUUUUUGAAAGUUUGAUGCUUUUAAUUAACUAUUUUCAAUUCUGCGUUACUAAUGGUCACCUGAUUCUAUUGUGAAGAAUGAGAAAGUGAGGAUGAAGAAAAUAAGAACCUAACUUUUCGGUAAUUUGAAAUUUGAUCGCAUAGGACAUGGAAAAAUGGGUGUACAGCGGUAGAUAAGUUGGGAAAAAUUUCAUCCUGUUUUUGGGAAUGUGAGAAGAUACAUGGGUUUCUGUAUUUUGAUAAAGUGUUGAGGUCGAGCCAUGUUCAUUUUUUUCUGAAUUUUCUUGUAGUUUGGUAUUAAUGGCGCCUUUUCCGCUGUUAUGGUGAUGAACCAUUUAUAUGUGUUUGACUGCAGUGUGCACACGUGAUGGCCAUGGCUGUUCAAAAGCUCUUCCCGGAUGCAAAAGUGACAAUUGGUCCAUGGAUAGAAAAUGGGUUCUAUUAUGAUUUUGAUAUGGAGCCUUUGACGGACAAAGAGUUGAAGAGAAUCAAGAAGGAGAUGGUAAGUGGAAUUUCUGUAUAAGUUAUCAUGUUUGUAUCAAAGUUUUGGAACCAUGAAACUAUUGAAAACUAUUCAUGCACAUUUCUUUUGUGAUUUGUAGGAUAGCAUCAUUGGUAGAAACUUACUAUUAGUAAAGAGUCCUCCACGUCUAUACCCUUGUCAUAAUCUCCAUAAUUAUCUUAUGUAUAUUAUCACGUUAUCUUAGAGAUUUGUAAUCCCGUUAGGAUUUGUAUUGGGAGCUACACAAUCCCUUUAGGACUCUUUGUAAACUGGUAUAUUUAUACCUGAUUAUGAGCAAUGGAAAGUUAAGUCUUCCACCAAUAUUACUGCUUCGUGUUUACUGUGCUCUUUCUCUGAAUAUAUAUAUUUCUACAUGGUAUCAUCCCUUUCUCCGGCUUAACCACCCUUCUCGAUCCGCUUCCCAUCAUGUCCUCUACCUCCCCACUUCCUGGCCCUGCUAUUGCCCAGUUUCUCAAACUCAAUGACUCCAAUUACCUCACAUGGCUUCGUCAGAUCAAGCCCUUUCUUGUUGGUCAUGAUCUGUGGAAGGUCGUUAAUGGCUUCUACCCACCCCCUCCGGCCACCUUCACCGUCACUGCCACCCCUUCCUCUGCCGCUACUAACUCCGACAGUUCUUUCGUGACUACUACCUUUACUCUUCCCAACCCCACUUUCGCUCAUUUGUACCAACACGAUCAGUUGGUCGUAAGCUACAUAGCCGCCACCUUAACAGAACCUGUCCUUGCUCUCACUGUGGGCCAUGACUCCGCCCAAGCCGUUUGGGCAUGUCUUCAACGGCGCUUCGCCUACGACCCUGUCCUCAACUCCGUCGCCUUGCGUUACCAACUGCUUGAUAUUUCCAACAGAUCUUGCUCUAUUGCUGACUAUCUUCAACAUGCUAAAUCUCUUGCUGACAAACUCGCUACUAUCGGCCGUCCUGUUGAUCUUGAAGACUUCAUCACCGUUGUUCUCCGUGGUCUUGGAUCUGACUACCUUACCCUUACCACUGCUAUCAUCAACGUCACCAUUCUUCUAACCUUUGAGGAGUUGACCUCCAAGAUUGAAGCUUUUGAUCUCCAGAACCUUCGCACCUCCACCACGUCUGCCGCUUUGUAAAUUGCCCUCAUCACUACCCACCAACCCCGUGCUUCUUCUCAGUCCUCAGGCAGUCACGAUGGAAAUUAGAACGGUCGUUUCCAACGGAACAAUGGUCCGCAGUGUAAUACCUCCGGCUGGCAUCCUAGCAAGAAUACCAAUUCCCGCAACCAACAACAACAAUGGAAUGGGCCUCCUCCAUUCAAUUAUCAACAACCUUGGCAUGGACCCUCUGCUCCCAUUUAUUGGCCAGGCCCACGUGGUUUUUCUGGGCCAGGCCCACUUGUUCCACCUCGCAACAUAGUGCUACACACUGUCCACACCGCUAUGGCGGCCCCGAACCUUUCCCCCCCUUUGAGGGCUCUCAGGUGAUUUCUUAUUAGGAUCCCAACAUUUGGUUUCCCGAUACUGGCGCUACCUACCACAUGACGGGCGAUCCCAAUGCCCUCCCCCACCCACAACCUUAUCGUGGUCCUAAUUCCGUUCAAUUGGGUAAUGGUGAUUCUCUAAACAUUACAUCCACUGGUACAAUUCCUAUCUCUCUUAACUCUAUUCCGUUUAGUCUUUGUAAUGUCUUUCUUGUUUCGGCCUUACGUAAAAACCUCUUGUCUGUUACAUACUUUACACAUGAUAACAAUGUCGUUAUUUGUUUCUUUCCAUCCUUUUAUCGUAUCUAUGAUUUACACUCUGGUGUUUUAUUGUUUCAAGUCCCAUGUAGAGAUGGCCUUUAUCCAUUAUCCUUCUCCUCACCACAGGCCCUUGCCGCUUCAUCCUUUACCCUUUGGCAUCAACGUCUCGGUCACCCUUCAUCUUCGGUUUUGUCCCGUCUUAGCUCUAGUUUCGGUUCUACGUCAUUUUCUUCAAAGCAUUUUUGUAAAAGUUGUGCUUUAGGCAAGUCCACACAACUUCCUUUUUCAAUUAAAUAAUGCAAGGGCUACUACUCCAUUUUAUAUUAUACAUUCUGAUGUUUGGAUGUCCACUUCUACCUCUGUUUCUGGCUUUCGUUAUUACGUAUUAUUCACUGACGAUUAUUCUUGUUAUUCUUGGAUUUACCCCAUGAAAAAGAAGUAUGAGGUCUUUACACAUUUUCAAACCUUUGUUGCAAUGACUCAUAACCUAUUUAACGCAUUUAUUUAAUAUUUUCAAAGUGAUGGCGGCACCGAAUAUGUUAAUCACUCAUUUUCUGCAUUUUGUCGUCAAUUAGGUAUCCAACACCGUCUUUCGUAUCCACACACACCCCAACAAAAUGGACUUGCUGAACGUAAGCACCGUCAUAUUGCUGAUAUGACUCGCACACUGCUUACUACAGCUCAUACCCCACUCACCUUGUGGGUGGAAGCUACGCUUGAUGCGAAAAUUAACUUAACACACAAAUUAAACCCUCUUGUUGUCAAUUGUAGUAAAGAAUGUAAGUAGGGAUCGUUCUAGGCCGGAGAUUAGAAGGGAUUGCUAAAACACUUGAAACUGACUUAAAUAUGUGAAAACAAACUUAAAAGCAUGAAAUUAAACUUACAAGACUCAAAACAAAGCCACAAGACUCAAAACAGAUUAUAGAGACUCAAAACUGCCUAAAAACAACUCUAAGGCAGUUUCUGCCACUAACACAAAGUUUGGACGAAAAUUGAUUUUAUUUUAACUUAAAACACUUAAAAACACAAUCUAAAACAAGUACUGACUAAUAGACACUCUAAAGUAAAGGGGGAUUUGGUUUUGGAUGAAUUUAAGUAAAAACAAGUAAUUAAAGACUUAAAACAGAUUUUGGACGAAUUUGGUGAUUGGAAUGGAUGAUGGGCUAGCUAGAAGGUCUUUCUCCACACAUGACACACUUGCAUAUAAAACGAUUUCCAGUUGCUUUUCAAUAAACCAUGAACCUCAACACCCCAGAUUAAUUAGGUACGCUUAAAUUAAUCCUCAGAUUUUCCUAAUUUCAUUGAAUUGGAUGAUUGCAUACAACAACCCAAAGCAUUCCCCACAAGUUCCCUACAUGAAUUGCAUAAUAGAGAUACAAGUAAGAAUCAUUAAGUUCUAGGAAAAUCAUAAGCAUUGACGAAACACUUGUAACUAUGAAUUGCAUGAAACUUAUGCCAAGAAUUUACUUAACACGGUUGUGACGAACAACCUUUAGUACUUGUAAAUAUAAGUUCAUAACGAUUAGGUGAAACUCCCUUAAUCCUAGCAUCAUAUUUAUGCAUGAAAAUUAAGCGUGCACUCUCAACCAACAUACACAAAUCAGUUUUAAUUCAAAUGGAUAAGUAAAUUGAAUUCACAACUUAUGAAUCACAACUGAAAGUAACCAAAUCAUAUUGCAAGCAUGAACAUGGUUUCGAAUUCCCCCCUAGCUAAGGAGGUUUAGUUUCUCAUACUUACAAAGUAAAGAUAAACAAAUUUAGACAUUGAGAACAAAAGAAAGAAAACACCUAAAAACGCUCCAACAAUCCAACUUGAAUGGCAAGCACGUCGAAGGGUCUUCCUUCUUCUCUUUGUUGCAGCACAAGGUGUGGUUUGAUGGAUGAGUGGUAAAUUAUAGUAGUGGAUGGAUAUGCACGGCUGAGAGAUGAAAGUGUAUGGAUUGGUGAGAUGUAGUAUGGCUAAAUGAAUGGAUGGAGGUCACGACAAGGAAAUUGUGUUUGCGAAUGAAGUUGUGAGAUGUGAAAUGUAGUGUCUUUGUAUGAUGGCCCCCAAAUUAUGGUGAAGGGUGGAUGUAUUUAUAGGCUAGGGAGAGGAGUGUAUGGAGUUGUAAUGAGUGGAUGUAAUGGGUGUAGUGGGUGAGUGUUGUGAUAAUGAGUCGAUGUAAUGGGUGUAGUGGGUGGAUGUUUGGUAAUGAGUAGAUGUAAUGGGUGUAGUGGAUGAGUUUUUAGUAAUGAGUAGUGUUUGGUAAUGAGUGAAUGUAAUGGGUGUAGUUGAUGAGUGUUUGGUAAUGAGUGGAUGUAAUGGGUGUAAUGGGUGAGUGUUGUGGUAAUGAAUGGAUGUAAUGGGUGUAGUGGGUAGAUGUUUGGUAAUGAGUGGAUGUAAUGGGUGUAGUGGAUAAGUGUUUGGUAAUGAGUGGAUGUAAUGAGUGUAGUGGGUGGAUGUUUAGUAAUGAGUGGAUGUAAUGGGUGUAGUGGAUGAGUGUUUGGUAAUGAGUGGAUGUAAUGGGUGUAGUGGAUGGAUGUUUGGAGUUGUAGGUCAACACACUUGCACACACACAUGCUGAUUUCUAGCCUUCAAAUCUUCAAAAAUGUCCAUCCUCAUGUCCUCAUGCUUGCACUAUCCAAUCUUGGCUAAAAAAUGCUCUAAAAUGCUCCAAAAUGCACUUUCUUGCCAACUUUGUUAUUAUGACCUACAAACACAUGAAAAUAGCUUAAAAUUCAUAAUUAACUAAGAAAUAACAACACAAAUGCACAAGAACAAGCUAACUAAGUCGCAUAAAUAUGCUCCUAUCAGCGCUCACUUCUGUCCACCUCAUCAAUCUUCUCCCCACCUCUACCCUCAAUUGGUCAACUCCCUAUACACUUCUAUUUGGUUAGACACCCACUUACUCUCACCUACGUACCUUUGGAUGUAUGUGCUUUCCAUACCUUCGGGAUUAUGUUCACGAUAAACUAAGCCACGUUCUAUUGAGUGUGUUUUUGUGGGUUACAGUGCCUCUCAUAAAGGUUACAGGUGCCUUGAUCAGACCACUGGACGUAUUUAUAUCUCUCACCAUGUGGUGUUCAAUGAGGCUACUUUUCCUUUUGCAACCUCUCUCGGCCAGCCACCAACCACAUAUGUGGAGCUGGAAAUUCAUCCUACUGCCAUCCCACAAUUUGCUUGCUCAUUGCCCAUCCCUACCUCUCUUGGUCUCGUGGGCUCCUCCUCUAAUGAUGGCCAGUCAAUGCCACAUGACAAUGACCUACCUACUUCUGCUGCUUCUCCACCGCAGCCUGCCGCUACCCAGUCACGGUCACCACCACUUAUGCUUCCAUCUCAUCCCAUGGUCACCCGAACUAAAGACGGCACGCGUAAACCCAAGUCCUGGACUGAUGGCUCUAUCCGGUAUCCUCUCCAUCAUGCUCUUUCAGUUUUGCUUACCACUGACGAACCCACAUGCUUUACACAGGCUGUUCGCAAACCCGAAUGGCGGGCUGCCAUGACCGAGGAAAUUAAUGCCCUUUUUUUAAAUAAUACUUGGGUUCUUGUUCCGCCAUCACCCACCCAAAACAAAGUCGGCUGCAAGUGGGUUUAUCGCAUAAAAUGGAAAUCUGAUGGAAGCAUCGAUAGAUACAAAGCACGUCUGGUGGCAAAGAGCUUUCACCAACAACCAGGAAUUGACUACGAUGAAACUUUCAGCCCUGUGGUCAAACUUGCAACUAUACGUACAGUUCUCAGCCUUGCUAUUUCAAAUCAUUGGUCCGUUCGUCAGCUCGACGUGAAAAAUGCUUUUCUGCAUGGUCAUUUGAAGGAGGAAGUCUACAUGUCACAACCCCCUGGUUUUGUUGAUCCCCAACAUCCCAAUCAUGUUUGUUGUCUCACCAAGGCACUUUAUGGUCUUAAGCAGGCUCCUCGGGCCUAGUUUCACCGCUUUAGCUCAGUCAUCAAGAGAUGAAGCUCCCAAAAGAAUAACCGCUCUCAGUGAACCAUACAAAUUGGAAAUUUUGGAUAGUAUUAAAGAAGAUCCCAUUACCAUAUAUCAUAUUGGUAAGGGUUUCACUAUUUUCAAGCUCAAUAUAGUGUAUGGAAGGUGAUGAUUUAAUGUGUAGGAACUGUGCGUAAAUGAUAUUUUUAUUAGCUACACAAGUGAAAUGUACAGUGUUUGUGUUGAGUCUUAAGAUGGAAAUUUAAAGGAAUAAAAAAGAGAGGGCGGGGUGUGCUCAGGGAAAACAAUGUUGUUGGUGCUCUUUAAAAAUGAGUUAUUGAUAUGCAGAUUGAAAAUAAGACUAAUUUGGAGGUGGGAGGAACCUUUUGGUCAAGCUAACCAAAUUAUACUUAUGUUUAUACAUAUGCAUGCUUGUACUAGGAUUUGAUUGUGUUUUGAACUAGCAUCCUGUCAUAUUAGACUGUCUUGAUGUCAUAAUUCCUCAUAGUAUGCCGAAUUCUUCAUAGGUGAUGAAUGGUGGAACCUAUGUGCGGGGCCCCAUGUUGAAAAAAUUGGGAAUAUUAACAGAAAACUUGUCGAACUUGAGUCUAUGUUGGUGCCUACUGGAGAGGACAUGAAAUGAAACCAAUGCUGCAGUGGAUCUAUGACACUGCAUGGGAGAGUGAAGAUCAAUUGAAGGCAUAACUUCAAUUGAAAGAGGAAGCUAAACGUAGAGAUCACAGGCGCCUUGGUCAAGUCAAAUCAAAGAUGAAAUUAAGGGUGUCAUAGAUCUUACAGAAGAACUUUCGUUGCAAUUCGGCUUCAGCAAAUAUGAGGUCAAUCUCUUUACAAGGCUAGAGAAAGCUGUUGGAGAUGAUAUAUGGGUGAAAGCAACAUAUGCCCUUAAAGAUGCUUUGGAUGAUAAAGGCUGGAGCUAUCAAAUUGAUGAAGGCGAUGGUGCCUUUUAUGGUCCAAAAAUUGAUCUUAAGAUUAAGGAUGCCCUUGGAAGGAAGUGGCAGUGCUCAACUAUGUAGGUUAAUCCAGUGCUCAACUAUGCAGGUUAAUCCUGAACUCAUGACGGGAUAAUUCUAAGGAAAACUAAUGAAAAGGGUUUGAAAACUUUGAGUUUUAACGAUAAAGACAAAAUAAAGGGUAAAGUAAAUAGUACCAAGUUUGACUUUUUAGUAUAAAAAUGUGGUUUUUCAUUAAAAUGAACAGUACCACAGACUUUUCGUUAAAAUUCCCAUAAUUCUAAUAUAUGCUUUGUUUUUUAAUUGGUAAUCUCUCAGUCUAUCUCUGUAUCACUUUGUAAAAUGUUCAUUGGAGAUUUGAGCAUCUUUUUUGAAUUGAGCGAAUUACAUGGAUUUGUUUGAUAGACUAAAGCCACUUAUUACUGUUAUUUUAAAUUUUUGAUCUUUUGUAUUUCCCAAAUUGUACAGGUUUGUAAAGCAGUUGCACGUUUAAUGUUUCAAUUAACUCAAGAACCCUCAACACACCUGCACGACGGUUACCUAGGCUACGACCCCUGGCUUUCCUCCCAGCGAUUCGACUCCGAGUCCCUCAAGGACCUCGCCAUGGAUUCCCCAAUCUUCCACGGCUCCGCCGUAGAUGACGCUUUCGCCACUCAGCCGGCGUCGGAGGCCUUCUCUCCUCCGUCGAUCUACGCCGAAUCGAACGGCCAGGGCUUUGAUGGAGGGUUUGGCAGGUCCGUGUUAGAUACCAAUUCCAGCCACUAGUUCAUCCUUAACUGGAAGCAAGAAUUGUAGGAAAUGGCGAGAGGGAAAAGAUGGAGUAUUUUUUGCAAAAUGAUUUUUUAUAUUUGAUUUCAUCUAUCCCCGUUCAACAAGAAAGGGAGAGCUUUAAUAGCACUAGCAACCUCCCCAAUGAAAGAUUGUGACAUGGCAUACAUAGCCUAAACUCUUAAACAACAGCACAAAGGAAAGGCAAAUUACACAACGACCCUAAAACAUUACAUUUCGACCCAAAACUUUGUUGCUUGUGAUCAAGGCAAUCACAGUACAUAACAAUGCUUCGUCUUUGAAAAAUAACCUUGUCCACAAGGUUUACACUGGAAAAUCGGGGUGUCGGGUCUUAAAUGCAUCGAAAUCUUCCCAUGAAGCUUUAGCUGCUUCCUGUCCAUUCCAUUGCACUAAUAGCUGCACCAUAGUUGCAUUUCCCUUCUUAUACAUCCUCCUAGCCAAGAUUGCCUGUGGUAAGUUCUGCAUCAACCCAUCAUCUGCAGCAAUGGGCAGAUUCACAUGUGAAACUACUUUUUCCCCCAAUUGCUUUUUGAGGCAGCUUACAUGGAACACAGGAUGUAUCUUUGAUCCUUCAGGUAAUUUUAGUUUAUAAGCCACCAUACCAAUAUUUUCCAACACUUCAUAAGGACCAUAGAACCUAGGCUGCAGUUUAUGGUAACUGUGCUGCCAAUGCUUGCAACUGAUAAGGAACUAGCUUCAAGUAUACCUUAUCCCCCACAUUGAAAUGCCUUUUAGUUCUUCUUUUAUCAACUUGAACUUUCAUCUUGUUUUGUGCUAAUUCCAAAUUGUGUUUGAGAACAGUAAGCAUGUUAUCCCUUUCGAGAAGACUUUGUGCCACAUAGUCCAUUUUUGCAGUUCCCACUUCAUAUGGAGCUAUAUGAGGUGGAGCAUGACCAUACACCAAUUCAAAAGGUGUAAAACCUGCAGAGGUGUGAUGUGAUGUAUUGAAGCACCACUCAGCCCAUGGCAACCAAUUCACCCAUUUUUUAGGCUGCCCUCCAAUAAAACAUCUUAAGUAGGUCUCCAAACACCUAUUCAUAACCUCAGUUUGUCCAUCACUCUAGGGGUGAUAACCUGAACUCAUGCACAGUUUUGAGCCUUGCAACUUAAAAAACUCCCUCCAAAAUGCACUGAUAAACAUAGGAUCUCUAUCACUCACAAUGGAACUUGGCAUACCAUGCAAUUUGAAGACAAACUCAAUGAAUAUUUGAGCCACACUCACUGCAAUAUAUGGAUGGGAAAGAGCAAUGAAAUGUGCAUACUUAGAAAGUUUGUCCACCAUCACCAUGAUCACAGUUUUGCCCCUACAAUUUGGCAAACCAAGUAUGAAAUCCAUGCUAAUGUCCGACCAAUUCUUCUGUGGAAUUGGUAGUGCUUGUAACAAUCCAGGUGGAGCUAUUGUUUCCACUUUGUUUUGUUGACAAAUGCUACAUUCAACCACAAAAUUUCAAAUAUCCUUCUUCAUUCCCUGCCAAUAGAACCUCUUUUUGAUCCUGUGAUAUGUUUUAACCACCCCUUGGUGACCUCAUCCAGAAGUAGAGUGAUACUCUUCAAUGAUUUUGUGUCUCCAAGGUGAUGUGGGACUCAAAACUACCCUCUUUUUAUAGCAUAAGAACCCAUUAUCAACAGUAUACUUGGAAACUGCAGCUUUAUCAGUAACUGUCUUAGAACUAUCAAGCACAAAUUUAAUCCUUUCCAAAACCCACUUAUCACUUUCAAAACUCCUCCUUAAAUCAUCCAUCCAGCCAAAAUAAGGGUAGAUGAUGGCAGUGAGUUCCAUGUCAAGGUGAACAGGUUUCUCUACCAACUCAGAAUUGACAUUUGGUACCUUAGAGAGUGCAUCAGCCACUGUGUUUUCAACUCCACUCCUAUACUGGAUCUCAUAAUCAAAACCCAAGAGUUUUGAAACCCAUUUUUGUUGAAAAUGAGUAUUAGCUCUCUGACUUAAGAAGUACUUGAGACUAUUGUGAUCAGUCUUAAUUAUGAAGUGUUUACCUUGCAAAUAGUUAUGCCAUUUUUUUACAGCAUGAACUAUUGCAAUCAGUUCUCUUUCAUAAGUAGAAAGAGCUUGAUUCUUAGGUCCUAAUGCCUGACUGGUGAAUGCAAUUAGUCUAAGGUUUUGCUGCAUAACUGCUCCAAUUCCAUUGUCUGAAGCAUCACAUUCCAAGACAAAGGGUUGAUUGAAAUUUGGCAAUGCCAAUACUUGUGGUGAGGACAUAAUCUUUUUGAGUUUUUUAAAUGCUUCCAAAGCUUCCACUCCUCAAUAGAAUCCAUCCUUCUUAGUGAGAUUAUACAAAGGCUGGCAUAUUUUCCCAUAUCCAGGCACAAAUUUUCUGUAGUACCCAGUGAGGCCUAGAAAUCCUCUCAAUUCCUUCACAUUCCUUGGUACAAGCCAGUCAGUGAUUGCUUGGAGUUUGCUAGGAUCUGCCAUAACACCAUCCUUUGACACAAUAUGGCCAAGGUACUCUACUUUACUUUGACCAAAGGAACAUUUAGAUUUUUUCAAAAACAACCGAUUGUCUUGCAAUAUCUGAAAAACUUGUUGUAGAUGUGUCAAGUGAUCUUCCCAAGACUUGCUAUAUAUUAAAAUGUCAUCAAAGAAUACCAGUACAAACUUCCUGAGAAGUGGUUUGAAAAGAUCAUUCAUCAAGUUCUGAAAAGUUGCAGGUGCAUUGAUAAGCCCAAAGGGUAUCACUAAAAACUCAUGAUGUCCUCUAUGGGUCCUAAAUGCAGUCUUAGCAAUGUCUUCUUUGUGCAUCAAUAUCUGGUGAUAACCUGACCUUAAGUCAAAUUUUGAGAAGAAAACAGCACCAUGUAGUUCAUCCAGCAAGUCAUCAAUUAGAGGGGUUGGAUACUUAUCCUUGAUGGUCAAAGCAUUAAGCUCCCUAUAAUCGACACACAUCUUCCAUGUACCCUCUUUCUUCUUCACUAGUAACACUGGAAAUGAGAAAGAACUAUGACUUGGUCUUAUAAACCCAGCUUCCAAAAGUUCUUGAACUGCUUUCUCAAUUUCUGUUUUCUGCAAGGGACCAUAGUGAUAGGGUCUGAUAUUUUGUGGUUUUGCUCUUAGAACCAAUGGUAUAUGAUGAUCAUGGACUAUGGAGGGUGGGGGUUUAGAUAGUAGAACAAAAAUAGACUCAAACUGUCCCAACAGAGUCUGUAAUUCCUGUAGUUGUGACUGAGUGAGAUCACUAGCUUCAAGUUUUUCCCCUUCCAUAGAGUAUAAGAACAACCCCAAGUUGGAAUUAUAAAUGUCCUUGUCAAGGUGCUGCAAAAAGACUUCCUGAAUAACUGGCAAUGUCAUAGGGCUAUGAUGCAACUUGUAUUGCUGAUUAUUUUUAACAAACUCUAUAGUCAGCAACUGGAAAUCCCAGAGCAUAGGACUAAUGGAAGAAAGCCAUUGAACCCCAAGCACAAUGUCAUAACCCCCUAAAGGUAAAGUGUAGAGAUCCACUGCACAUUUAUACCCUCCUGUAGUGAGAGAGGUUGACUUACAACACCCUGAACUCCUCACCUUCCCUCCAUCAGCUAUCAUCACCCAAAUUGCUUGGUGUGAUGAACUUGCUGCCCCCACUGCUUCAAUAGUCGAGCAUCAAUAAAAUUAUGCGUGCUACCGGAAUCCAAAAGGAUUUUCACAGGAUGACCAUUAAUAACAUCAUCCACUUUCUUUGUUUGAAUAGUUUGCCUAGCCUUAGUCCCAUAAAAUGCACAUUCACUAAGCUCCACAUGAAGAAGCUCAGGUUGUAUCCCCACAGAUUCAUCAUCAGAUAAUUCAUCAUUGACCACAUCAAGCAUCAACAAUUGUUUUAGACCACAUUUAUGUCCCGGAGUCCACUUAUCAGUACAAAACCAAGACUCCCCAUUUUCUCUCUUCUUUUGAAUCUCAACAGGGAUGAGUUUUAUAAUGGCUAAAUUUCCAACUCUAGGCACUUGGAUAUGUGGGAAUGACAGCUGAGAACUUAACUGGUGGUGUGGAUUUAGGAGGGAAAACUUUCAACUCAAAGUGUUUGGUAUCUAAUUGGAUUGCAAGAGCAAUUGCUUCAUGAACAUUUGUAGGUUUCAACAAUGACAUCAAAUUUGAGUUCACGUUUAAGGCCACCAAAAAACAACUCCUAAGCAGAAUCAGACCAAUAACAGUCGCUCUAGUAGCCAAACGACGAAAUUCAUAAUGUAUUCACGGAGAGUACCUGUUUAGCGGAGCUUGAAUAAGGACUCAGCAUUAUCCUCGAAUUUGGAAGGCCCAAACUCUUGACAAAAGGCGCGAGUGAAUUCCUCCCAACUCGGAGUAGUCUGAACACAAUCCAGCCAACGAAACCACUGUAAAACCUCACCCUCCAAAUGAAAAGAAGCAGUGAAAACACAAUGAUCGGACGAAGUGUUAUAAAAGGAGAAAUACUGUUCAGCUUUGAAAUUGCCCACUUUAAGCAGUUCGUGAGUUAUGGCUAAUUUCAUUUGUCCCACAAGUUUGUCCUCUCUCAGCUUAGGAAGCCUUCACAAAGGUUGCUUAGGAAAAGUCUCAGCAGUCGGUAGAGCCCCAGAAAGAGAAGGUACCGGAGGGGGAUCAUUCGGAGCCUCAGUACUGGACAGAACCCUAAAAGGAGGAGGCAUCGGAGGUUGAUCAUUUGGAGCUUCAUUACGCGGUACAGCCCUAGAAGACGAAGGUAAUAAAUGUCUUUGGAACAAACCCACAAACCUCUGAUGAUCAAGUAAAACCUGACCAUCAGAUUUCUUCAUCUGGUCAAGCUUCAUCUUUAUGUUUGUAGCAUGGUUAUGUGCUAGCCGGUGCAACUGUUUAUUCUCAUGCUUGAGUCCUCUAAUCUCCUGUUUGAGACUCAUCACUUCAGCCGCCAAUGAUUUAACUUGGCGGGUUCAUACAAAUAGGCGUUGGGCCAUAUUAGACACAGAACCUGCACACUGAACACUGAGAGCCAGAGAAUCCUUAACAGCCAACUCAUCACACUGUUUGAAAAGUAGUCUGUUAUCUUUGGGAGUGAGAAGGUUCUUGGCCACUACCGAAGCGGUCAUAUCAUUCUUCAUCACGGAAUCCCCAACGGUAAGAGGACCAGUAGGGGAUAAGAAGGAUGGGUGCCAUAUGUUGUCUGGAGAAGACAUGGCUGCCUCUUCAACAAGUGGUAGCUAGAUCUUCAAAAUUUAUGUGUCUAAACUUUGUUAGUGCUGUUUCUUUGCUAUUCUUUUACCCUUCUUGGUCAUAGCGAUGUAGUGGGAGUUGCAAGCUUCACGUGUCUUCCAGGCAGUCAGUUCCUGACUGGAAGCUUAAUUCCAAGUGCUGACUGAUUACUCUCUUUCUCCCUCUCUUGCAGGUAAGAACAAGGCCAAAGGAAAAGACAGGGAAAAAGCAUGAUAUGGGAUACUCUUGCUUUUAACCCUGAUAAUAUGAGAUAUUCUUACUCUGAUGUAGCUUGUUUGCAGAGGUAUUAUCGGGGGGGGGGAAAGAAAGCUGAGUAUUUCGAGAGGCUUCGUUGGGAGUGCCCUCUCAGAUAUGAGGAAGGGUUGAACAUUUUUGCAGGUCUGCCUGUCCAUUGAGGAUGAAGGUCGACAUAUAUAGGAGUCUCCCCAACAACAAGUGGUAAUGCUAUUCCUUUACCCUGCUUGGUCAUAGCACGGUAGUGGGAGAUGCCAGCUUCAAGUGUUUUAACUCUGUCAGAGCACUUUGAAAAAAUGGUAUGUGGUAUCUGGAAAGCUGAUGUCGCGUGUGAAGAUUACAGACAAGCUUUAUCCAAUGAGAUCUGACUCUCAAAGUUGAGAAAAUUGUGACUCUUCGAUUUUCGAACAAGCAAUCCUGUCGGGGAUCUGGCUCUCGAGAUUCGGAGAACGGUGCCUCUUCGAUUUUUGAGAAACCAAUCAUACUGGGAGUCUGGCUCUCGAGAUUUGGAUAGCGGUGUCUCUUCGAUUUUUGAGAAAGUAAUCAUGUUGGGAGUCUGGCUCUCGAGAUUCGGAGGGCGGUGCUUCUUCGAUUUUGGAGCAAGUAAUCUUGUUGGGAGUGUUUUCUCGAAUGUGAGUAAAGGUUGGGCAUGUUUGUUAGUCUACCUUGCCACGGAGCACAGAAGUUGACACACAGGGACUUUCCAAUUAUCCAACAGUAGUGAUGUUCCUUUACCUUUGUGGGUAAUAAUAUGGUAGCUAGACCUUCAAAAUUUAUGUGUUUAAACUUUGUUAAUGCUGUUUCUUUGCUAUUCUUUUACCCUUCUUGGUCAUAGCGAUGUAGUGGGAGCUGCAAGCUUCACGUGUCUAAACUUUGUCAGAGAUCUUUGGCAAAGUUAUUUGUGGUACCCAUGAGCUAAUGUUGCACGUGUGGAAAGUAGAUGAUUGAACAGUAAGAUUCACGUGCUUUCUACUUCACCAGUAAUCUUCGACAGAAUGCCCGUAAUUUUGGCAAAGCUGAGUGUGCAUGUGAAGGUGUUGACAAGGCUGAAAAAGCAGGUGCCUCUUCGAUUUCUGAGAACGGCCCUCGUGGUCUCUGAGCAGCCCAACUUUUGAGAAAGCAAGCGCCUCUUCGAUUUCUGAGAUCGGCUUUCGUGGUCUUUGAGCAGCCCAGCUUUUAAGAAAGCAAACGCCUCUUCGAUUUCUGAGAUUGGCCAUCGUGGUCUCUGAGCAGCCCAGCUUUUGAGAAAGCAAACGCCUCUUCGAUUUCUAAGCAGGCGCCUCUUCGAUUUCUGAAGCUCCGUCGAGUGCAGAUUUUUAUAGAGGUUGGCAUUAAGUUCCAAAGCACACUUGAAUCUCCACCAGUAGAAGCUCCCUUUUUACACUUCUAAGACCUUGAUUUGUCUGACCUCUUCUCUCUUCAACACCUUUGAAAAUGUCUGGCCCCUCCGACCGUCGUUUUGACUUGAACCUUGUUGAAGAGGCAGCCAUGUCUUCUCCAGACAACAUAUGGCACCCAUCAUUCUUAUCCCCUACUGGUCCUCUUACGUUGGGGAUUCCAUGAUGAAGAAUGAUAUGACCGCUGCGGUGGUGGCCAAGAACCUUCUCACUCCCAAAGAUAACAGACUACUUUUCAAACAGUGUGAUGAGUUGGUUGUUAAGGAUUCUCUGGCUCUUAGUGUUCAGUGUGCAGGUUCUGUGUCUAAUAUGGCCCAACGCCUAUUUGCAUAAACCCGCCAAGUUGAAUCAUUGGCGGCUGAAGUGAUGAGUCUCAAACAGAAGAUUAGAGGACUCAAGCAUGAGAAUAAACAGUUGCACCGGCUCGCACAUGACCAUGCUACAAACAUGAAGAUGAAGCUUGACCAGAUGAAGAAAUCUGAUGGUCAGGUUUUACUUGAUCAUCAGAGGUUUGUGGGUUUGUUCCAAAGACAUUUAUUACCUUCGUCUUCUAGGGCUGUACCGCGUAAUGAAGCUCCAAAUGAUUAACCUCCUAUGCCUCAUCCUUUUAGGGUUCUGUCCAGUACUGAGGCUCCGAAUGAUCCCCCUCCGGUACCUUCUCUUUCUGAGGCUCUACCGACUACUGAGAGUUUUCCUAAGCAACCUUUGUGAAGGCUUCCUAAGCUGAGAGAGGACAAACUUGUGGGACAAAUGAAAUUGGCCAUAACUCACGAACUGCUUAAAGUGGGCAAACACAAGCAAUGGUGUGCUCAUUGGAAACUUUGGUAUUUUAAAUUUUAAUCUUGUAUUUAUAGACGGAUGUAUGUGUAACUCUUUUAUUGAUCAUUUUGUGGCAUGCCACUGGAGGAAAUAUGUGGCCCCUCCAACUUUUGAGCAGCCCAGAUUUUGAGAAAGCAAACGCCUCUUUGAUUUCUAAGUAGGCGCCUCUUCGAUUUCUGAAGCUCCGUCGAGUGCAGAUUUUUAUAGAGGCUGGCAUUAAGUUCCAAAGCACACUUGAAUCUCCACCAGUAGAAGCUCCCUUCUUACACUUCUAAGAUUUUGAUUUGUCCGACCUCUUCUCUCUUCAACACCUUUGAAAAUGUCUGGCCCAUCCGACCGUCGUUUUGACUUGAACCUUGUUGAAGAGGCAGCCACGUCUUCUCCAGACAACAUAUGGCACCCAUCCUUCUUAUCCUCUACUCGUCCUCUUACUGUUGGGAAUUCUGUGAUGAAGAAUGAUAUGACCGCUGUGGUGGUGGCCAGGAACCUUCUCACUCCCAAAGAUAACAGACUACUUUUCAAACGAUGUGAUGAGUUAGCUGUUAAGGAUUCUCUGGCUCUCAGUGUUCAGUGUGCAGGUUCUGUGUCUAAUAUGGCCCAACGCCUAUUUGCAUGAACCCGCCAAGUUGAAUCAUUGGCGGCUGAAGUGAUGAGUCUCAAAUAGGAGAUUAGAGGACUCAAGCAUGAGAAUAAACAGUUGCACCGGCUCGCACAUGACCAUGCUACAAACAUGAAGAGGAAGCUUGACCAGAUGAAGGAAUCUGAUGGUCAGGUUUUACUUGAUCAUCAGAGGUUUGUGGGUUUGUUCCAAAGACAUUUAUUACCUUCGUCUUCUAGGGCUGUACCACGUAAUGAAACUCCAAAUGAUCAACCUCCGAUGCCUCCUCCUUUUAGGGUUCUGUCCAGUACUGAGGCUCCGAAUGACCCCCCUCCGGUACCUUCUCUUUCUGGGGCUCUACCGACUGCUGAGACUUUUCCUAAGCAACCUUUGUGAAGGCUUCCUAAGCUGAGAGAGGACAAACUUGUGGGACAAAUGAAAUUGGCCAUAACUCACGAACUGCUUAAAGUGGGCAAACACAAGCAAUGGUGUGCUCAUUGGAAACUUUGGUAUUUUAAAUUUUAAUCUUGUAUUUAUAGACGAAUGUAUGUGUAACUCUUUUAUUGAUCAUUUUGUAGCAUGCCACUGGAGGAAAUAUUUGGCCCCUUCAGCUUUUGAGCAGCCCAACUUUUAACAAAAGCAAACGCCUCUUCGAUUUCUAAGCAGGCGCUUCUUCGAUUUCUGAAGCUCCGUUGAGUGCAGAUUUUUAUAGAGGCUGGCAUUAAGUUCCAAAGCACACUUGAAUCUCCACCAGUAGAAGCUCCAUUCUUACACUUCUAAGAUCUUGAUUUGUCCGACCUCUUCUCUCUUCAACACCUUUGAAAAUGUCUGGCCCCUCCGACCGUCAUUUUGACUUGAACAUUGUUGAAGAGGCAGCCACGUCUUCUCCAAACAAUAUAAGGCACCCAUCCUUCUUAUCCCCUACUAGUCCUCUUACCGUGGGGGAUUCCGUGAUGAAUAAUGAUAUGACCGCUGCGGUGGUGGCCAGGAACCUUCUCACUCCCAAAGAUAACAGACUACUUUUCAAACGGUGUGAUGAGUUGACUGUUAAGGAUUCUCUGGCUCUCAGUGUUCAGUGUGCAGGUUCUGUGUCUAAUAUGGUCCAACGCCUAUUUGCAUGAAUCCGCCAAGUUGAAUCAUUGGCGGUUGAAGUGAUGAGUCUUAAACAGGAGAUUAGAGGACUCAAGCAUGAGAAUAAACAGUUGCACCGGCUCGCACAUGACUAUGCUACAAACAUGAAGAGGAAGCUUGACCAGAUGAAGGAAUCUGAUGGUCAGGUUUUACUUGAUCAUCAGAGGUUUGUGGGUUUGUUCCAAAGACAUUUAUUACCUUCGUCUUCUAGGGCUGUACCGCGCAAUGAAGCUCCAAAUGAUCAACCUCCGAUACUUCCUCAUUCUAGGGUUCUGUCAAGUACUGAGGCUCCGAAUGAUCCUCCUCCGGUACCUUCUCUUUCUGGGGCUCUACCGACUGCUGAGACUUUUCCUAAGCAACCUUUGUGAAGGCUUCCUAAGUUGAGAGAGGACAAACUUGUGGGACAAAUGAAAUUGGCCAUAACUCACGAACUGCUUAAAGUGGGCAAACACAAGCAAUGGUGUGCUCAUUGGAAACUUUGGUAUUUUAAAUUUUAAUCUUGUAUUUAUAGACGGAUGUAUGUGUAACUCUUUUAUUGAUCAUUUUGUAGCAUGCCACUGGAGGAAAUAUGGGACGUGAAACUCAACCAAAUCAGGGACAAGAAUAAUCUGCAUCUAAUGCAAGUUUUGACCUAUGUCUUUGUCCCUUUCUCGUGUGCGCUUUUAUAACCCAAUGCCAUUUGUUAAUUUUUCAGGUUUUUUUUUUAUUGUUUAUAGGUUUCGAAAAGGGGUAGAGUGAAACAAAAUGCAAGAGGCAGGUCAAUGCACAAUUCAAGGAAGCCACCUAAAAACCGUAGAAUCUGAAGGAAAUCAUUUGAAAAUUUAGACUUUUUGUUAAUGUCAAUUUUUUUCUUGGAUGAAGACAAUGUUGUGAACUUUAAGCCCCCAGGAUUUGGUGUUUUUUAUUUUGAGCAUAACCAAGCAAUGAAACAAUAUUUUUGAUAUGGUAGCAAUGAAAUGAUCAGGCAUUGCAUUCUCUUAUGGUUGCUCAAAAUAUCUUUAAGAUACAAAAGUGGGUGUGUUCAGUUUAGCAUGUCACGAAAUCAAAUUUUAUAUAGGUUUUGUAAUAUGAGAAACGGGUUGAGGUUUGGUGCCAUAAAUGGAGUUGUAGAUGCAUAUGCACUACUCAAACACAACUAUCUACAUGAAUACUUUCUAACACAAAUUUUAAAGGUUUUACUAAGAAAAGUAAAAACUUGUUAAAAGAUCUUAAAAUGACAGAAAUAACCUUGAACACAAGCCAUGUGCGAGGCACAUGACUUAUUUUGGAUGAAAAACGUAACGGAGUUAGGGUGGAAUGACAAAUUGAUGAUUUCGGCAAGUUGGUAUGACAAAUUACUUAAAAUUAUAGUUUGUGUAUAUGAUAUUUCAAAAAAAAAUUCCUUGGGAAAAUUAUGGUCCCUAUGUCCCAACCAAAUAAUAAGGUUUUUGAUGAGAUAAUCCAUGCAAACUUGAGCAUUAUAAUGUUCAUGAUUUUGUUUGAGUCUAUUCAUAUAUUUACUCUGUAAAUAUAGAUUAGAUCGGUUGGUAAGGCAUUGUAUCUGUCUCGUUUUUAUAUUUAAGUUUAAAUUCUUCUCUCUUAAGUUAUAGCUUAUAAUAUCGUCUUAACAAAACUAAAUAUACAUAUUUUUAGUGGGAUAUAUUUUGCUUAAGUAUGCAUGUUUGCAAGAUUAAAUGAAAACCUCCAAAAUGUAUGGGGUUUUAAAUUGAAUUCUAACCACCACCACCACCCUCAUAUAAUUAGGGCAAAAGGCGAAUUUAGGAAGGUUCGUGUUACAACCCGUUUAUAAUUUUAUUUUUGAAAAAAAAUGUGAAACGAUCAAAAUGCUCUUAGAGGGUAUGUGUCGACUUUCAUUGACUUACUGGUCAGGUCACGUGUGACAUAUUAAUUAGUAUAUUCUGUCAGCACUCGUUAUUAUGAAAGACUGAUCAUAAGCGUAGCGAAAAUUAGAACUAGAAUAAAGAUUUUACGAAACACGUAUAAAUCAUUUUAUUUUAAAGUAAUGGAAAAGAUAAUAACACUAGAUAUAAAAUAAUAAUGAUAGAAUAAAAUAAUAAAAAAAAGAGAGAAGAAAAGAUGAGAGGUGGAGAAGGAUCGGGAAGAAACGAAAAGAAGGGGAAAGGGGAGAAGGGGGGAAAGAAACUUUUCUUCUUCCUCCUUCACUCACGGGAUCCCUUUCAAACUAUUUUCAUCAUAAUUUCCUCCUACGAUAACGAAAUCACAUGAGGUCGUAAGCUAUAGUUUCGUAGCGAGGCCGUCUUCAAUCUUACCAUACCCACCCUUAGAAAACCGUUGUAUAAAGAAAACGAGGUCCAAACAUAUUGACUUGUUCCGGCGACUUUUCUCUGAUUUCGGGCAAUCCCGCUGGAAUCUGGCUCGACCCAAGUGAAAAUAAUGAUUCUCCCCUCGUGGGCUCUCCUCUAGCGUAAGUAUUUUCCCAAGGUUUUAACUUUUAGUUUUGGGGUCAAUUCAUGGUUUCGAAUUUCAAUUCGAUAUUUUGUAUGUAUAUUUGAGAUGAUGCUUGUUGUAUUGUUUAGGAGUUGAAUCGGAACCGGGUAGUCAUGAUUGGUUACAUAUAUAGGGAAGAACAUUGAAAUCCUAACCUCAAUUCGGUUCUCUUCAGAAAUUUAAGGGUUGGGUUUGUGUUAUAAGCAUUAAUGUUAUUCCAUAAUGGAGGCCAGAUACGUUGGAAUAUUUUGUGUGCCAUAUUUGUCCUACCCUUUAUGCACUGAAAAGAACAUUGCUGAAAUUGUAUGUGUUGCAGCCUAGGUUUGUGCAGUUAAUUAGAGUUCUAAAACUACUGAAUGGUUCUUUAUUCUUCCCAUGGCAUCGCCAGAUGCUGAUGCUGAAUAUUUGAUUGGACAAUGCUAUUAUUAGAGUAUUAUAUGACUCUUGUUUUGGCCGUGAAUUUAUUGGUGGUUCUUUAUUUCAUUCUUUCAGCGGAUGAAGAGCUUAAGACUGCUAGGAAUUUACAUUUUUAUUUUGAAGCACUUGAAUAAACAGUUUGGUUUUUCUAUAAUAAUAAUAAUUAAGGAUCAUUGAUAUGGUUAGGCUAGUGUACUAGUUACGAAUAAUUACAUGAAUGUUAUAGUUUAGGGAUUGCAUGUUAUUCUAUGGCCUGAGAACUAGUUCCUUGGUAAGAUUAAUGGAUUAUCAAACAUUAUACAUAUUCUCUAAUUGAAUACAUUACUAUGUUUAUGAGUUCAAGAUCAACUUAUUAUGGCUGGUAUGGAUAUCAAUAGUUGACAGAUCCAAUUUGGUGUGGUUACUUUUCCAUUAAGUAUUUCACGUUUAUACAUAUCAUGUUGUUUGCUUAAAUAAUACAAUGGAUGUCCUAUUAAGUGUAAAUGUCUAUAUGCGUAUACUGAAACCAAAAUCAAGUUGAUGAUUCACGUUUUGAAGUUAUAUAUAUAUAUAUAUAUAUAUAUAUAUAUAUUUCUCAUAUGCCUAGACAAGCUAUACAAAGAAAGUAUACCGUUUCUAUUAGUUAUUUUGAUUACAUGUAUGUAGUAAUGACUUGCAGUGGUGAUAGGAGUUUAUUGAAAUGGUGAACUACGAAUGGUUUGAUCCCUUUAGGGUAGUCUAACAAGGAGGUUAGAUGCAGCCAUAAAGUAUACUGAAAUUACUACGCAGUUCGAAUCUUGAGUUAUGCUUUGUACAUAUCCCGGAGCGCGGGGUAUGUUAGAUAUACGGAUGCGGGGUAUGUUAGAUAUAUGGAUACUUGGUGACGUCACGUGUCGAUCCUGGACGUAUGUCGGGAUUGGGGCCGUUAAAUGAAUUGCACCAAAUAGGGGAGGCCUUCGCCGGAUCUCUGUGUCCGAAGCCGACAAACACAGAGAUCCAAACCACUCAUUUUAAAUCAUAUGGUUCUCAUUAGCUCAUUCUAUUGGCCUUCCUCACACAAACCACGAGUUCAGAUCUCCCUCUCUUUAACUACCUGGAUAUUCGAGUUCUUGAACUUCGAAAACAAAAAUCCAGAGAGGAUCUCGACUCCAAAUAAGGUAGUUUUUCUACUGUGCAUGUAGAUAGCCCCAAAAAUAAGGGAAACCGCACCCCCCCCCCUCCGAAAAAAAAAAACCCCACCCAUAACAACAGUACAACUAUAAGUAAAGCUUUAUGAGGGGUCGCUCUAAACAAUGUUGCAUUAAAAUUAUCUGACAAUAUAACAUUAUUUCGAAUAAAACUUUUGUAUAAAUUAUAAGUUCAAACAAAAGACACUAUACAACUUCUUCUUGACUAUUUUAGGUGUAUAUAUACUCCAUUGCUGAAAAUUCUACUAUGCUCAUCAUAAUUCUUGCCAAUCCAUCAGGCAAUUGGGUUAAAUUGCCCUUGACCAAAAAAAUGAUGGUCCAUUGGUGCCAAAUUGGGCAGGCAAUUGGUGGGCUCCAAUAAGCUCGUUGAACUACCCUUGUAGCCCGUUGGCAAUAAGUAACGAUGGGCCUGACGUCAAGUAGCAAAAGGCUGACCUUAACCCUGUGCACCACACUUUGUGGCGCAUUUGAUAUUAAAAUUUUGAAAAAUUCAACGGUCAAGAUUAAUCCCAUGGUAAAAAAUCCAAAAAAAAUUUACAACAAAAAGUAUUUAAAAAACUUACAAAGUUCCUGCUUAAACAAAAAUUUGAGCUGAUAUUACUAAUAGAUAAUGACACGUGGUGCAAUGAAAGUGGUGAAAAUGGAAAAGUAUCCUCCCCAGCUCCCUUCCACCAAAUCCAUCAAGUUCAAAGAUCCGGAUCUUUGAAAUUUAAUCCAACGGCUACAAACAAGGUCUACUAUAAAAGCUAUAAUAGAUUGGAUCAAAUUUCAAGGGCCGGAUCCGAGCUUGUGAAUUUGGUGGAAGGGAUCCGGAGUCCUUUCCAUUGAAAAUCUCAUCGCCUCUCCUUUCAGCCCUUCAAGGGAAACCCACUUCUUGGGCCGUCUUCAACCACGUAAAGCUUCACUCUUUUAUUAGUUUCUGUGUUUAAAUUUGUUGGGGUUUGCAGUUUUGGAUUGAAAUUGGUGUUUUGGGAUUUGUUGGGUGCUCACAUGUGGAAAUUUGGAAAAUUUUAGUUGUGGAUUGUGGGGAACUGACGCAGUGGCGGUCCUAUUUCAUGUAAAUUGCUUUCGUUUGUGUGUUUUUGGUGAAAUUAUGAUGAGGGUUGGAUAGUUGGACUGGUUAGAUUUGUUUUGUGAAAUUAGAGUGGGAUCAAUCAAGGUUGAGACCUUUUUAGGUAAAGUAAUUGUGAAAGUUAUGUUUUUACAAUUUUUUUUUUGCAAAUUUUGUGACUUGGUGGAUUUGGAAUUUUGGUUAUAUUAGAUAUAUGUGUAAAGAAAAUAGUUGAACUGCAUGAAGCUUGAGGGGUAAUGAGGGUUUUAGGUAUUUAGUGACAUUCAGGCCAUGCUUGAUGUCUAUUUGAUGUCGGCGUAUCAGAAAUGCUUGAACAAAGAAGAAAGGUGCUCGAAGAGCUGUAGUAGUUAACUACUUGGUUUGAUUAGAUUGCUAUGUUAAUCAAAAUGUCCCCUAUAGUAUGUUAUAGGGUCAAAGUUUUACAUUAGUGUUCUUUAGCGACUUGGUUUCAAAAUUUUCGUUUUCGUUCGACUUUCCUUGGUCUGUGAGGCCAAUGGUAGAAUGAUCAUGGAAAUAUUUUUGUCUUAAUAUCUCUGGUAACAGCGGGUGUGCAUUCUUAAAGGACUUGUUUGUCACUCUUUUAAGCUGUUUAAUGUGCUCAUUUUAGUAUGCAUCAUCCAAAGUCUAUAACUGGUAAAAGUAGCACUACAAGGGCGAGGGAGCUAUCAUCUGUUUGGAAAUAAGAGCUAUAGACAUGCCCCAUAAGGGUCAAUAGGUCUCAGUUGCAUAUCUAACUUGUUUCUCAUGUGUUUUCAUCCUGAAGGUUAGAAAAGGUGGGCACUCUAGACGCGCAGAGAGUGGUUCAUCAACACCAAGGAUGGCGGGUGAUCUCAUGUAUGUGGUUACAUGCUGGAGUUUUCCAUGUGCUUGCCAAUAUGCUGAGUCUUGUAUUCAUUGGAAUUCGGCUUGAGCAAGAAUUUGGAUUUGGUAUGCAUCUGGAUUUUUAGCUUUAUGUAUGUUAUCAUGCAUGUAUGGCCACAUCCAUAAGUGUUUGUAGUAAAAGAUAAAGCUCACGAUGUAAGUUGUAGAAUAAUAAAUUAGUUACCAAGUGCAAAACUUCUUUCAUAAAUCUAGAAGAGAAACACUUUCCGGAUGGCUUUAGCUACCUUGCGAUUAAUCUACAGAGGAUUUCUAUGCAUUUGUUUAUUGAAUUGUAAUCCUAGAGUAGUGGUCAUGUAGUGCUGGUUGCAUUAUAACUUACAUCGGUAUGUUGUUUGGUUUGAUGGAAACAAGAGGACGUUUUGUUCAGCGGUGAGCAACGAAAAGAGUUUAUACACUGAAGAUGGGGUUCAAACUUUAGUUUUAGAUAUAGUAUUCCAUUUUACAGAAUAAAAUUGCUUGAAACAGAAGCUGAGAGAUUAUUUCAAUUUCCAUCACAUCUAUGGGAACAAUGAUUGUUUUGGAUAUCCUGUACAUGUAGACAUGGCGCCUCAUUUUGAAAUGUUUCAAGAUGCCGUCUAUUUGAAAAGAUUGAAAAAAUAAUAGUUUGAUGCGGAUCUACAUCAUGUACAGUUGUUUUGAUGAACUGUUUUAACUAAUUGGUUUGAAAUUCUAAUGUUUUUCUGAUUUGUUCUUCGGCAGUUCGAAUUGGUUUCCUAUAUCUCAUGUCUGGUUUUGGUGGGAGUUUGCUUUCAGCUCUUUUAUUCAAUAUGGUAUUUCUGUUGGUGCUUCUGGUGCACUUUUUGGUUUACUAGGAAGCAUGCUUUCAGAGCUCACAUCAAAUUGGACAAUGUAUGUAAAUAAGGCAAAUAAAAUUCUGUAUACUCAAUGAUGGACCUCUUUAUAGUAUGUGCACGACCCUUUGAUCUUACAGUUUCAGAUUUCGAUCCGCAGUUAGCAGCAUUGCUUACUCUCCUUUUCAUCAUCAUAAUAACUUAGCAGUGGGAAUUCUACCACACGUGGACAACUUUGCUCAUAUUGGAGGAUUUGUCUCUGGAUUUCUUCUUGGAUUUUUGUUUUUGAUCUGCCCCCAGUUUAAAUGGCUUACCCAACGGAAUGCUCCCCCUGGACGUGUUACUACUCCAGUGAAAUCUAAACACAAGACGUAUCAAUAUGUAUUGUGGGUCCUCUCUUUGAUACUAUUGAUUGUUGGGUAAGCUCCUCCUCGAUCUCUGAUUUAAUUGUUUGACUUCAUGAACCUAAUCAACUCCCUGCAUGAAAAUCUGGUAGCCACAGUUGACAUAUGCACAUUUUUUUUUUUAUCAAAUCAGAGAACUGGAUUUUGUAUAGAUAUGUAGAUCUCGUGUGUCCUGUAAUAUUUUCAUUGCAAAUAGGCUCUGUAUCUGCUUGUUUCUCAUCAGAAUGGUUAGGAGAAGGCAUUGUGUUAUAGCUAUUCUCUGUGUAAUACUAAUUGAUCACUUUGUUGAUAGCGGCUUCUACUUUGCUGUUUUGGAUUGCAUGUAUUGGAAAUAAAGGUUCAUUUUCCUCGUAUUUGUGUAGUAUCAGUAUAUGCAGGCAUUUUCUGACAGAAGUCAUGUUUUUGACAGGUAUACUCUUGGCUUGGUUGCUCUUUUUCGAGGGGUCAAUCUAAACAACCACUGUUCCUAGUGUCAUUACUUGAGCUAUGUCCCUACAUCAAAAUGGAAUUGCGAGUCGCAAAUAUUUAUUGUCUGAUAAUAUGCUGUACUUUUCUACUCAUAUUAACUUCCACCUUAAUAUUUGAUUGACAGAAGUGCUUGCUUAUUAAUAUGAUCAUGGUUGCAUUCAGUCGUUCUAGUUUGGCAUGCCGUUUAGUCUAAUGCCUUAAAGAAAUGUAAUUUAAGAAAUGACUUCUGAAAUUCUGUGUCAGGAAAUUGCUUUUGCAACGUACUUUGUUAGUACUAUAAGUUGGUUUUGUACUGACAUAUUGUUCUUUAUAUGCAUAUAUGCACCAAUCUUGCAGUUGAGCCAGAUAGGGAAUCAGCUGAACUUAACGUGCGUAAGCAAUGGUAGAAAUGGGACAUAAUCAUUGUCAGAUCCCAGCCCCUCCCGGACUUAGCAGCUAUAUGCUGAGCUUUGCAGUUGACCAUACAUGUACAGAUUUCAGAGUUGAUAGAAUGUUGAUUGAUAUGCUUCAUUCUUGUAGUAAGUAUUCUUUCUCUUACUUCUAUUUUUUGUUGGGUGAAAUAGUCAUGUGUAUUCACCAAGCAAUGGUUCUCAUUGUCAUUAUUCUUUUCAUUCUUUUACUGCCUUUGUACCUCUUUUCUACUAUUCAUAACAGUUGAAACCCAUACCGAUAACUAUGAAAUUUAUUUGCCAUGUAAAACUACUCAAUCACGCAAUUUACCCAUACCUAAGUUUGUUGAAUGUGGAAUGUUAUGGAUCCUCUCAAGCGGACCCUCUCGGCUCUCUCAUUCUGCAAUGUUGCAAGAUGAUCGGACAUAUGUAUACUUUGUAGUUCAUCCUCUAGAGACCAACUUUGAAAAAAAAAUCAACUAAAUAAAAAAUCAUUUAACCAUUUAAUUAACAUUGUCAAACUUUCAGUAUUUAAUUGAAAAACAUAGUUCAUUUAUUUAUUGGAUAACAAUUAGAUGACAAAACAAGUAUGAAUUACUUUGGUUUUUGGCGAAGUUGGACUUUAAAGUGAGGCGUUAAUAACUGGAUAUGUCUACAGUGGUGGAAUUCUCUUGCUAAAGACUUGAGCCCCCAUGAAGUUUAAAAAUUAAGAAAGCUUGAUCUCACUAGUAACUGGUACAAUUUUUAGAAAGGUUGCAUCCACAACAAGCUUUCUUGCAAUGGUACUUUAGGGGAACUAUGAGAAAAUCAGCAAUCUCACAGUCCAGCCCCUUAUAAAACAUAGAGACUUCAAAAUUUCCAUUCAUAGCUAGGGUCGCUGAUCACUCAUAUAUUUCAUGCAUUUAUACCAUCCAUUCUAAAGUCUUUGUGAUGUUUUGUGUUAAAAUUGUGGCAUUUUACCUUACCUUGUGUUAGUGUGCAGUUAAAUUUGUUUUAGGAUCAAUUUCAAGCAAAAAGGAGAAAAUGAAAUAAUAAAAAAACAAACAAAAGAAUUGGAGUCAAUUAUUCAAUGGCCUUGCACGAUGAUAGCAAUGUUUGAGCAUUUACACUUUGGUUAUGUUCAACAGUUAUAUGGAGCCUUAAACAUUGACAAAAGAAAGGGAAUAUGUGGCCAGGGAACACACGGAAGUGGAACAAAAAAAGGAAAGAAAAGGUGGUGGAAAAGAAAGGAAAUGGGAUUAUUGGGUUUUGGUAGGCAACUUUACAGUUAGUAGUCAAAAUACUUCCCCGAGGAGGACCACUUCUCUCAAAGGAUAGGAGCAGCGACAAGAUAUUGAUCAUCAUGAAGUGGUUAGUCCUCCUACUGCAACUAAGAAGCACGGCAGGAGAGAAAAGAAUAAUGGAGCAGAAAGACAGCGCAGAGGAGAGAGACUGACAGACACGGGACAGAGUGGAGAGACCGACAGAGUGGAGAGAAGACAGAGAGGGCAGACUGACAGAAAAAAAGAAAAGAAAAGAAAAAAAAAAGGGAAAUAGAGAAGAGAGGGCACGGCAGAAGGGAUGGCACACGGACAGAAAGAAUAAAAGCAAAGAGAGUAGAGAGAGCCAGGGGAGAAAAAGAAAAAGGAUAGCAGAAAAAUAUAGAGAGAAGCCGUGGAGGGCAGAGAUGGAGCAACAUACAGCAGAGCAGAAAGAAGCAUGCUCAUCUCUUUGAGGAGAAGAUCGGAGAGCUUCCUUGUAAAAAAGGUUGUCUCUUUCUUUGAUUCUUCAUGAAUUUCUUAUAUAUUCAAAUAAUUAUGUGCAACUAAUUUCCUUUUGCUAGAGUGAGGUCAUGAGCCGCAACAUGAUUACGUAGAUUUCUCUUUCAAUUGCUUAAGUGUUGUUAAAUGCUUGCUUUGAUAUUUUCAAUCUCUAAAUUAAACUAUCUAUGUGUCUAGAAGCUUGAUCACCAUUAGGAUGCUUAGAAAAGUUAUCGGAUGCAAUUUUGAACGAAUGUCACGUUAAAAUUGGUUAUGCUUCUUGUGAUUGAGGAUUGUACUCUCCUAAGGUAAAUAUCAUGCUCUUAGGGAUUACAUGGUUUGAAGAAAAGAAAAAAGGAUUUUUCACUAAGAUUAAUGAAUCACUCAUGUUUAUAUUUAGUACAAAUGUUAUGGAUAAGUUGCAUGUAGUGGUAUGCGUUUUAGCUUGAAUGUUACAAGUAAAACAUACACAAGGAAAAUCCAACCUUCAAAGAAUGUGUUUUCAAUUAUUUAAGCAAUUGGAAUAGCUACAUAGGAGUGUUGUUGUAAAGGUUGAACUCUAGGAUAUUGUCAAUCUAUUUUUCUUCAAUCAUUUAUUUUAUCUUGAAUUUCCUCAUUUACUUGUUUUGUUUAGUUGAAUCACUAUUCCUAUAAGCCAAUUCCUAUUUUAGAUAUUUGUUUAAGUCACAUCGAGGAGUAUUUAGUUUCGUCAAAUUAGUGUAGUUCUUAGAGUUAAAUAAGUUAAAUACACAAAAACUCGUAAAUUGUUUAUAUCAGUCUCUGAGGAGAUCGACCUUGCUUGAGCCAUUCUAUACUACAACACUUAUUCUCUUACAAGAAUUUUCUAUGGUUUAACCCUUUGUUUUACAAGUGGUAAAAUCGCUAUCAAUCGCCUAGCAAGGUAACUUUCAUAUUAAAAGACACCAGCGUGACGUCUGAUGUGACCAAAAUAUAGGGUUCCAUGUAUUUAUUUUUUCAUUUUGGAUGGUUGCCAAAUGUUUCGAGUCAGCUUCUGGAAUCAAGGUGCUUUAAUGGUCUUCGUCCUUGGCGUACCGAAAGUGCCGGACAAUAGGUGGUUGCCAAAUGUUUCGAGUCAGCUUCUGGAAUCAAGGUGCUUUAAUGGUCUUUCCAGUCAGCUUCUGGAAUCAAGGUGCUUUAAUGGUCUUCGUCCUUGGCGUACCGAAAGUGCCAGACAAUAGGUGGUUGCCAAAUGUUUCCAGUUAGCUUUUGGAAUCAAGGUGCUUUAAUGGUCUUGGUCCUUGGCGUUCACCGAAAAUGCCAAACAACAGUUCCCAGUAGUGGAAGUAAGCUAGUGAAGUCGUCUAAAAAAACAAGCCAAAGUGGUUAUCAUUUACUUGGACUUAUUCCUUCUCAUAUUUGAAUUUUCAAGAAACAGAAACUGUGGUGUAAGUUCCUCCUAUGAUCCUAUCCUUCUAUAAAUUUCCUUGUCAUGUAACAAAUGGAACUCACCAAAAACUCAACACCCAUCUCUUUAUUUCUUUCUGCUUCUCUCACUAGUUAUAUAGUUAACCAGAUUAGAAAUGGGGGUUUUGGUUGUGAAAUUGAUCUUAAUAUACUUGCUUUUCAGUGCAAUGUUCGUUUGCUGUUGGAGCUCCCUGCAAUCGGGACUCGGAGGGAAUGCGACGGAUAGGCUGGCUCUGCUUGCCAUCAAAGCUCAAAUAAAGCAAGAUCUCCAUAAUUACAAUGUGAUGAGCUCCUGGAAUGAAUCCACGCACUUUUGCAUGUGGCAUGGUGUGACGUGCAGUCGACGACAUCGCCAAAGGGUCACUAACCUGGACCUGCAAUCUCAAAAUCUGGUAGGGAAACUAUCCCCAAACAUAGGAAAUCUAAGUUUUCUAAGGGAGCUAUGGCUGCGAAAUAACAGCUUCAGUCAUGAAAUUCCUCCACAAAUUGGGAAUUUGCGUAGAUUGCAGGUAUUGCGAUUAGACUUAAACUCAUUUAGUGGCAGUAUUCCACCCAAUAUAUCACAUUGCUUCAACCUUAUCCUAAUGCGUUUCUCUCGCAACAAGUUGGUGGGUAAAAUUCCUUCAGAAAUUGGAUUGCUGUCAAAACUGCAAAAAUUUUCAUUAAAUUUUAAUAAUGCAACGGGACAGGUCCCUCCUUCCUUAGGGAACCUUUCGUCUCUCCAGCGACUAAGUCUUGUUGAUAAUAACUUGAUGGGAAACAUCCCCGGUUCUCUUGGCCAAUUGAAAAAAUUAACCUUCUUGGGAUUGGGGUUAAAUCAGUUGUCUGGUAGCAUCCCUUCCUCAUUUUAUAACCUCUCUUCUCUUGAUACAUUUUCCAUAGAAAUUAACCAAAUUCAAGGGAGUAUUGCAUCAGAUAUUGGCCAAAGUCUUCCCAAUCUCGGAGUCUUCAACGUCGGCGCAAACCAACUUACUGGGUCCAUACCUCCCUCAAUAUCCAAUUUCACAAGUAUUCGGAAAUUUGAAGUUGGGAGUAACAACCUAAUCGGACAGGUACCGAAUCUCCAAAAGUUUCACAACCUCCUGAAGUUCAACAUUCAAUUUAAUAAUAUUGGAAGCGGUAAAGAUGGUGACUUAAGUUUUCUCUCGGACUUGACCAAUGCCACCUAGUUACAAUCGCUGGUUAUUAACACCAACAAUUUUGGAGGGACAUUGCCCAUUUCAAUAUCCAAUCUUUCAACCAAACUUGAAUUGUUUUGGGUUGACGAUAACCAAUUAUAUGGAAGCAUCCCAUCUGGGAUAGGGAACCUGGUGAGCUUGGCAUCGUUGCGUUGGGGGAAUAAUAGCUUCACAGGUAACAUCCCCUCUGACAUGGGUAAGCUUUCAAACCUUGGAGUAUUAUAUAUUUCCAAUAACAACUUAUCAGGAAAUAUCCCGUCUUCCUUAAGAAAUUUAACCAAGUUAUACCAUCUUCGGUUGGAUGAAAAUUAUCUUGAGGGCAGCAUUCCUUCAGGUCUGGGGGAAUGCCUUUGGUUGCAAUUGUUGAAUCUUUCUUAUAACCUUCUUAAUGGCACAAUACCCAAACAAGUUUUUAGACUCUCCUCCUUAUCAAUUUAUUUGGGCCUGUCUAAUAACCUCUUCACAGGUUCCCUUCCUCCGGAGGUUGGGAAUUUAAAUAGUCUAAGUGAACUGGAUCUUUCUGAUAACAUGUUAUCUGGAGAACUCCCCAGUAGCCUUGGUGGUUGUGAGAGUUUAGAAGUCCUGCAUUUGCAAGGAAACUUCUUCAAUGGGUCCCUUCCUUUGUCUAUGAGUUCAGUGAGAGGGAUUCAAGAUCUAGACCUUUCUCGCAAUAAUUUUUCAGGUGAAAUUCCACAUUUUUUAGAAGGCUUUAGAAUCCUGAAUAAUCUGAACUUAUCAUUCAAUCAAUUUUGGGGAGUGGUACCAACUGGAGGUGUUUUCAAAAAUGCAAGUGUUAUUUCAGUUGUUGGCAACACUAAUCUGUGCAGCCCUGUUGCUAAUUUAAAGCUUCCCAAGUGCAAGUCUAAAGAGACCAAGAAACAAAGAUUGUCUCGUAGCUUGAAACUAAUACUCCCUUUAGUAUUUGGACUUACUCUUCUAGGAAUAGCCAUGGUGUUCUCCUAUUUCUUUCUUUGUUCGUCAAGGAAGAAAAGGACAGAAAUUUCAUUGAGCACUUUGGAGAACACUAUUUUGCAAGUGUCAUAUGCUACUCUACUCAAAGCUACUAACGGGUUCUCAAAGGCUAAUUUAAUUGGUGCUGGUAGUUUUGGGUAUGUAUACAAAGGAGUUCUUGAUGAUGAUGAUAAAGCUCAACUUGUUGCAGUGAAGGUGUUUAACUUGUUAUGUUGUGGAGCUUCGAAGAGUUUCAUAGCCGAAUGUGAAGCUUUGAGAAAUAUUAGGCAUCGAAAUCUCGUCAAGAUUAUAACCGUGUGUUCAAGUGUUGAUUUUCAUGGUAAUGAUUUCAAGGCUCUAGUUUAUAAGUUCAUGGACAACGGGGAGCUUAGAGGAGUGGCUGCAUCCACCCGCUGGAACUGAAGAGUUAAGAGAUCAUGUACCCGUGAAGUUAAGUCUUCUUUAGAGGCUAGAAAUUGUCAUUGGUGUUGCUUGUGCACUGGAUUAUCUUCAUAAUUAUUGUGAAGCGCCAAUAGUUCAUUGUGAUCUCAAGCCAAGCAACGUUCUCUUGGACAACGAAUUGACUGGCCAUGUUUCUGACUUUGGAUUAGUAAGGUUUCUCUCACAAGUAACGAGUAAUGUUUCAACAAUUCAGAGUCAGACAAGUUCCGUUGGAAUAAGAGGAACCAUUGGUUAUGUAGCUCCAGGUAUAUAUAUGUUAGAUAUAUACUUCAUUAUAUUUCCUUUUUUAUUCUGCAGUAUUUAAUUUACAAAAUUCAAACUGAACUAUUUAUACACAAAUGUGAUGUUUGAAUUGUAGAGUAUGGCAUGGGGAGUGAGGUGUCAACGAAUGUUGAUAUCUACAGCUUUGGCAUUCUCUUGUUGGAGAUGUUUACAGGGAAGAGACCCAUUGACAACAUGUUUGGUGAUAGCUUGAACCUUCAUAAUUUUGUCAAGAUGGCUCUCCCCGGGCGAGUUACUGAGAUUGCAGAUGCACCACUUCUUCAAGGAGGCCCGAAUGAGAAUCCCAAUCAAUGCAGUGCGAGAAUUCAUAGAGUUGAGGUGUGCUUGAGUUCAAUAUUUAGAAUUGGAAUUGCUUGUUCUGCUGAAUCCGCAACAGAUCGACUAAAGAAUAUCAAUGAUGUUGCAUCUAAACUUCAUUCCAUUAGGAAUACUUUUCUUGGAUAGAAACUCCUUUUUAUGUGCUUUUGUGAUAGAGAAAUUUCGUGUACUGCUUGUGAAGUCUAGCUUUUAUGUUACCACAGUAGAUGUGGAAGUUUGCAAUGUAAAUAAUCAUCAAUGAAGUUCAUUGUGUGAAAAGUGUGUUACUACUACUUGUACUUGGUAGUUUUGUGUAAUAUUCACAUCGAUUAAAGUCUAGUUCGUGCCACAAAAUUGUUGAAUAUUCACAUUGACAGAUUCCAAAUUUUUGAAAGAUUCGUAACCUCAAGACCCUCAACAUUCAAUAAAAUCAUCUUGGAAGCUGUAAAGAUGGUGAGUUGAGUUUCCUAUCAUACUUGACCACCAUCUGUGUAAGGUGUUUUCGAAAAUCAAAGUGCUAUUUCAAUUGUUGACAACACUAGAUUCUGCGAGGGAAUUCCUAAUCUCAAGCUGCCCAAUUGCAAUCUAAAGAGCUCCAAGAAAAGAAGAUUAGCUUAUAGAUUGAAAUUAAUAAUCCCUUUAGUAUUCAGACUUGCUCUACUUGCAAGUGUCAUAUGCUACUUUCUCAAAAGCCACUGAUCGUUUUCUUCAACUAAUUUGACUGGUGUUGGCAGUAUCCUCCAUAUAAGUGAAGGGAAUUGGGUUCAAGUUGGUUGGUAUGGUUAAUAGGGUUUGCAAAUAGUCAUUUUUUUGUAGAAUUUUAACCCCAACUUUAAAGCCCAUGGCCUAUGACAAAUCAGUGUUUUCUAGCAUUGUUGCUAUCAAUAUUCUCCCAUGUGCAUUCUGAAUUCUAAUCCAAUGGUUUUAGCAUUCAUUCUACUAAUCUUGACAAUGAAAGAGUUUUUUUUUUUUUUUUUGGUUCGAAUAAAUGAUAUUAUCUACACAAAGAGGAAGGGGAUAGACUUAGCUUAAGUGGCAUGAAAGAAUUUCUAUUAAACCUGCAAAAAUGAAAAUUCUCAGCCGGUCAUUAAUGGAUUUGAAUUUAGAUUUAUUACAAUUGAUAAAGAUUUUUUUUUUUUCGGCAAUCAAUAGGAUACUAACAAAUUUGUUUUUAGUACAAAGAUGUCACGAUAAUGUGACUUAUAGUUGUGUCACUGACCUUUUAACUUAUUGCCCUAUCUUUAACACACUUCAAUUAAUAUCAUCCUCUAAUUGUUAGUAUUUAAUGAAUCUCAUCAUAAAUUGUUAGCCAAAAUAUUAAUUAUCAAAGCAAACAAACUUGAUUGAGUUAUAAAUUUAACAUGACCCAGUUGGCAUGGCUAGGAGAAAAAUCAAUUUUGUUCAUAAUUUUCAUGUCUUCCAAGUGAACAUGGGGCUAUAAGUGAAGUUCCAAAGGGUACGGUGGUGUAAUUUGGUCCAUGAAUUGUCUCCUCCAAUUUGCAUGCAUGCGGUAGGUGACUGACUCCCAAAUAAUUCUCGUUGCCAAGCAAAUUAAAUACCAUUAAUUAAGAGCUUAAAAACACUUUAAUUAUUACCUCUAUUUUGCUUUUGCAAUUAGGAAAUUUUCCCCCUUUUGCGUACAAUAUUAUAAGAAUAUUUUUGUUCUCUACACUUAAAUGAUGGUGAUGCUCACUACCUUAUUUAUCACCGUUAUAUGAGUUUAAUACAUGUUAAAACUCAUAGUGAUGGUGCUAGCUACCUGCUUCUUGUGUUUUUUUAAAGAAAGAAAGGGGCAUUUGAUGUUUGGACAGACAUAGUGAUGGUGCUAGCUACAUGCUUCUUGUGUUUUCAAAAAGAAAAUAAAAAAAUGAGAAAAGGCUAAUUUGCACCCUUUUGGAUAUUAUGAUGCCAAUUUGCCUCGUUGAGAAACUUGUGGCUUUUCUAAUGGAGAUUGCGUAAAGGUGCAAACAAUUUGUUAAUGGUUGUGCAAAAUAGGUUUCAUACUGCACUCCGCCGCGGGAUUUGAAAUCAUAACCCACAAUUUAACAUACCCAUUUCUAAAUUAUUCAGAAAUCAAUCAGAGAAACUUCAAGCAGAAGAAAAUUGAGUUCUCAAUUAGAGAAAACUUCAAUUUCAUGCAAGUUUUUUUGUUCAAAUUUCAGGGCUUAACAAUGCAAGAUUUGAAUUUGCAUUUGGUUCAAAGAAGUAAGAUAAACUGAUAAGAAAAAUGAACUAAAAAAAUAGUGUUUUUUUUACAAUAUAUAAAGAGACAAUCUCAGAAGUUUGCAUAUGUGCUGGAAAUUUACAAUAUAUAAAGAGACAAUAUCAGAAUAAAACACAUUUGAAGAAAAAGUAAUAAGAAAAGAAAAUAGUGUUUUUUACCUAUGAUCCAUGUGAGGAGUAGAAUUUUCAGUCAUAAUUGACAACCCAAGAGCUCUGUAAAUCAAAUAUAUAGGAAAAGAUCAAUAAAAAGUGAAUUACAGUUUCUCAAAUCAGAAAGUAACAUUUAUUUGAAAAGAUUCAGACUCAUUUUGGAUAUAGAUAAACAAUGGCAUGUUAAAAACCAAAAUGAUAAGGCAUUCAACAUUCAACAUUCACGUAAAAAAAAUGAAAUACAUGUUAUCCAUCAAUGUUUUGGUAACAAAUUCCCAAAUUGCUCUAUCUACCAAACAUUUGCAAAUCUAUAGUUACAGAUGUUUAGUUCUAUGAUAUUCAACCCAAUACCCACAUUAUUGGCAAAACGACAUUGUAUAGAUCGUUUGAGCACCCGAGCCAAUGACAAUAACAUUGAAGGCAACUACAAAAUUGUACAUUAUAUAAAGAGGCAAUCUCACAAUCAAAAUUGUCAAAAUCAAUAUUUUAUGGCUACAUUUUUUUCAUCAGUCAAUCAAUACACACUGAACACAGAAUCACAUACUCGACAAAAAUUCAAACCCAUAAAUCUGAAAUUAGCAAUGUUAUUUCUUACCCCCCAAAAACAAUCCAAAUCUUAGUGGUUACAUUCAUUAGUCAAGCACUCAACCACUUAGGCACAUCAACUACAACUUGGGAAUUGUGGAGCAAAAAAUAAUCACAAGGCGACACGUGGACUUUUUAGUAUAAGAGGACCAAACUACCCUUGAGGCACACCGAGAUUCCUACACGCGAGCAGCUCAAAAAUGCUCCAAAAAGGUAACAAUUCAAUAUUCAUCUCAUCAAAUCCCGUAACCUCUAAAAUAUUUAUUCCAAAAUUAUAUUAAUUGGUUAAUUAAUGGAUUAAUUACCCAAUUACUCCAUUAAACAUCAAUUAAAAAAUCCAAAUAACCACAACAUAUAUUCCCCUCAAUCCCAAAACUAGUGAUUGACCGGCCACCCCCUUUCUCCCCAACUUUUCACACUUUUCUCCAUUUUAUUACCCUAUUUACACAACUAUUCAAUUUUGUAACCUCCUAUUUAUUUCUUUAUACUUAAUUAGCCAAUAAAUUGGCUAAUUAAGCUAAAACUAUAACCACCAAAACCCAUUAGUGGCCGGCCACACCUUGGGAAAAUUGGGCAAAGCCUAACCCUAUAAAUAGGCACCCAUUCUCACAAAAAAGCUAGGCCAACACUCUUGCAAAAAUCUCUAAAUUCUCUAAACACUCUUUCUCUCUAAAUUCUAACUUUGGCAUCGGAGGUUCUUCGGCCAAAGCCUCCCCCCAUUCAUCGUGGGCGCGUGAGGCUUGUGGCCAUAACCAAAUGUGUUAUUUAUUUUGUAGGUGCAAUUUUGUUUAAAAUCAAGGAGGAAGAAAUUUGCAUCCACAAAUUGGUGCUUUCAUUGAGAGUUGAGAUUCACACUCGUAGAAGACUCUUGCGCAAAAAGGUUUUUUCUCUAUUUCCUCUAUUUUCUAGUCCACUUGUAUUUUUCAUACGUUUUUAUUAUGAGAAUUUUUUAUUUGCCAAGAUUCUUUGAUAAAACGUAAAAGAGAAAUACAAUGGCUAGAAAUUUAGAAAAUUCCACAAGUGAAAAUUCCAAUAUUCAAGAAAUGGGACUGCGGUGAUCCACGAGACUAAACGUGAUCUUAAAGGGAGCGGCACCACCACCACAAGGCUCCACCAUGGCAACCACCGAGGUGGCCACCAUGGCAAUCACCCGCGGCGAGGUCCAUGGCUCCACCACUACGGCCCAAGCCGUGUUAUCCAGGGCCCACGCCACCAAAGCCACGGCUCGAGCCAUGUUACUCCAUGCCCAACGUGAGCCCAAUGCGUUUCCAAUUCGAGCUCAAGCCUCGCAUUCGCAUGCACCACGCAUUAAGCAGCCUGCUCCCGUGACCUAGCCUGCUCCCGUAAUCCAACCUACUCCUGCAGCCUUGCCUGCUCCCGCGACCCAGCCUGCUCCUGUAAUCCAGCCUGCUCCUGCAGCCUUGCCUCCCAUGGUUUCCCAAGCAGCUCAAGUUGGCCCGAGAAUAUCUUAACUAUCCGGAGCAACCAUCAAGCUGGGGGCAUUUUCACCAAAUUUCUCCGCGGAUUUGACAUUUCCCAAUUCAAAUCUUGCACCCGGAGUCUACCACACUUCCAUUGCUCAAGGAGGCACAUUCCUUCCAAGCUCUUCCAAUCCAAAUGGCGAACAACACUUGUCUCGACAAGUCAUAGAGUUGACGAGCGCCCUUGCACAACAGACGACCUUGGUGAAUCAACUCUUGCAACGCACCGAGAUCCAACGUGCCCCGGACGAGGUGUCCCGAAGUAGGACAAGGGUAAAUGAACCUCUCCGCCAGCAUCCCGGCAAACAUUAACCAGCCAUGUUCCAAGCGUUCGUGCAUUCCCAAUCAAGCCCACAGACGAGCAUACGUUCACGGUUGAGGUCAUACUCCGAUUAUCAACAUGGACAACCUUCCAGGUGAAAUGUUCAUUCACAACUAGGCUCACAAGGAGCAUUCUCCACCUCACAUCUGAGUAGGCAGCACAGCAGAUGGAGAGAAACAGUCACUCAAUCCGACUCAAGUUCAAGCAGCAGCCUGCGAACGGCCCGUUCGCUUGCUGGAUACAUGCCACAUGCACCGCAGUCGCAACAUAGACGAGUUAAACAUAGGGAAGAGCGGCCCAAACCCAUAGGUCACGACCGGAGGCAGUCGAAAAUUCCAUUGCCCCAGCAGAGGUAAAUUCAAGAAGAAGUUGAUAGGCUUUUAACUGAACGACUGCGCAAUUUCCAACGAAACGAGGCUGCUGACGUACGCUUCGACGAGACAUGACCAACAUAAGCAUGUCAUCAUUCACGAAUGAGAUCGAGUUGAUAGAUCCACCUCGCGGGUUCACUAUGCCUCAUUUCAUUCCGUACAAGGGAGACGAAGAUCCGGAUCGACAUCUCAAGUAUUACUGCAGUACCAUGAUCCUCUACAGGAACAAUGAUUCACUUAUGUGCAAAAUUUUUGCCACAACUCUACAAGGCGAGGCGUAAGACUGGUUUCACACUCUACCGCCGCAGUCGAUCCGAAGUUUUAACGAACUUUCCUUUGUUUUCACUAAGGAGUAUUCGUUUAAUCGCUCAAUCAAAAGGACAUCCGACCAUCUCUUCAGCAUCGUAAAAGACCCUCGGGAGACAAUUCGCGACUAUGUCAAGAAGUUCAAAAUGGAGAAGGCGAAGAUUGUUGGCUACAACGAAGACAUAGCAACGACAACAUUCAGAAAUGGGCUUUCCACGGAACAUCCUUUAUUCGGAAAAUUGAUCAUGGGAGAAGAAUUGACCCUAGCAGCUUCAUAUGCUUUGGCAGAAAAGCAUGCAUUAUGGGACGAGGCCAAGCAGUCUAACAAAAACGAGUCAAAAAAGAAGCACAUGGAACGUUCCCCGACCAAAGAAAACUCAGCGCUUGAAACAUUCACCAAGUUCACAGUUCCAAUCAGCCAAAUUCUUCGCAAGCUCAAGAAUGAACCUUGGUUUGAACUACCACCACCCAUGAAAAGCGAUCUUACUAGGCUGGAUCAUACAAAAUAUUGCGCAUUCCAUCAAGGACCAGGCCACACUACCAACGGCUGCCUGAAGUGGAAGCAGUACCUUGAGAAGCUGACAAAUGAGGGCCGAUGCGAUGAGUAUCUUAACAGGUCAACAAAACGGCCUACAUAAGCAGGGGAAGUUCCCAUCACCCCCUGAACCACGUUUGGAUUUUUUCCAAAUAAGUUCGAAGAUUCAAGCAGCUCGACGAACAAGGCUUCAUAAGCCGAAGAAUAUCCAGUUUGUUAUGCAGUUUCUACUUUCCAGCACAGUUGAUUUAUUUCUUUAUUCUCAAUAAAGAUUCAAGAAGUUAUUCAUAAGUCUGCUCCAAACCCUUUCUGGGUCUGCUCUCCAGUGCGAGAGGUUAAACUAAUUGCUCUCCAGUGCGAUAGGGUAAACUAAUUCCCCGACACCCUAAAGGGUCUGCUCUCUAGUGUGAUAGGUUAAACUAAUUGCUCUACAGUGUGAGAGGGUAAACCAAUUCCCCGACACCCAUAUGGGUCUGCUCUCCAGCGCGAAAGGUUAAACUAAUUGCUCUCCAGUGCGAGAAGGUAAACCAAUUGCUCUCCAGUGUGAAAGGGUAAACUAAAUCCCUGACACCCAUCUGGGAAAGCUUCCAAUGUAAGAAGGCCACAUAGUUUAAAAGAUCGAAUGCUUAAAUAUCAGUUAAGUAACAAAUGGUUAGGGAGCAGCAACCACUUUUACACUUAAUAGUUCGCUCAUCCUACACUUCAUCUUUAGCAACUCCGAUCUUGGCAGCUUCAUCCUUGACUGCUCCAUCUACGGCAACUGAGAAAUCAAACUCAAGCAGUUUCCUCAUUUUUGGCAAGCAGCCCAGACGUGGUAGCCCAAACUGUUGUCCAUGCCACGCCAUUUCCUCGGCCCAUGCCGAGCCAAUCCUUGGCUUCAAUCAAGCUGACAACAUAAACAAUGGCCCUUGCCACAUCACCUCAUUGGCCCAUGCCAAGCCGACUCCUGGCCCCUGCCAGCCGACGUGCCACACCACCCCCGACGGCUGCCCCGUGGUAGCACCUCCCAAGAAGAAGAUAAGGAGAAUUAAGUUUUCCUUACAUCGGUGCGGCGGAGAAAACAAAGAAAGCAACGAAAGACAGUCCUUCGCACGAACAAGAUGUAGAAGAUUGAAGCUUUCUCUCUCUUGUAGGGUAGAAUAAAUUGCUCUCCAAAGUUGAUUUAACAACCCACUUAAGGUGGACUUAAAUAGGCUUUGAGAAAAAUUUAUUUCCCUUUCCUAGAAGGAUCUAAUUUCACAUUAAAGAGGGAAUCAAGCAGUCCUAAGUUUCCUAGAGCAAGAAGAUCUCUACACCUGCUGCCCUUUCCUACGAGCAGCCCAGCAGGUGUGGGGGCAUUUGUGGAGCCAAAAAUAAUCACAAGGCGGCACGUGGAUUUUUUAGUAUAAGAGGACCAAACUACCCUUGAGGCGCACCGGGAUUGCUACAUGCGAGCAGCUAAAAAAUGCUCCAAAUAUUUAUUCCAAAAUUAUAUUAAUUGGUUAAUUAAUGGAUUAAUUACCCAAUUAAUCCAUUAAACAUCAAUUAAAACAUCCAAAUAACCACAACAUAUAUCCCACUCAAUCCCAAAACUAGUGAUUGACCGGCCACCCCCUUUCUCCCUAGCUUUUCACACUUUUCUCCAUUUUAUUACCCUAUUUACACAACUAUUCAAUUUUGUAACCUCCUAUUUAUUUCUUUUAUACUUAAUUAGCCAAUAAAUUGGCUAAUUAAGCUAAAACUAUAACCACCAAAACUCAUUAGUGGCCGGCCACACCUUGGGAAAAUUGGGCAAAGCCUAACCCUAUAAAUAGGCACCCAUUCUCACCAAAAAGCUAGGCCAACACUCUUGCAAAAAUCCCAAAAUUCUCUAAACACUCUUUCUCUCUCAAUUCUAACUUUGGCAUCGGAGGUUCUUUGGCCAAAGCCCCCCAUUCAUCGUGGGCGCGUGAGGCUUGUGGCCAUAACCAAAGGUGUUAUUUAUUUUGUAGGUGCAAUUUUGUCUAAGAUCAAGGAGGAAGAAAUUUGCAUCCACAUUCCACAGGAAUGUUAUGCAAAUCUUAGGCAGCUUGAAUCAUUAAGUUUGAGUUGGAAGAAGCUCCGUUGCCUGCUCUGCUAGUUGAGGAGUGUCACCAAAUUCGGCACUAUCAGCAACAUCAACACAUUUCACACACUCCCGCUUCCAAAACAUAUCACAAAAUCAAAAACCAAAUGAGAUUAUGUAGCAGAAAAGACAGAAAAAUAGAUUAAGAAAAGCAAUUAAUAUUAAAUAUAGAGGGUGAAUGAUGUUGUCCAAUAAAUAAGAUAGCUGUAUAUAUUUCUCGACCAUGAGAAAACAUCAAAUUAAUAGAGGCAUUAAUCCUAAGUUUGCCAUUCGUUAUUGCCGGAAUCAGGAGCUUUCUUUCAGAACCUUUUGACCAACGGGUCCUUGGUCUAAACUUGAUGACAUAUUGUAAAGUCCUCUUACAUACAAAUUAAUGAAAUAUUAAUUUAUUUCCAUGAGUUAUUUGAUUUUGCAAAUUCAAAAUAAUUGAAGAAUACUGAAAAUUACUAAACCCCAUCACAACAUCCCAUUAGUGAAAAAUCAAAGACAAAAGUAAAUUACUAUCUUUCUAAGCAUCCAAAGAUAGCAUACUCAAAAUACCAAAUUCAACUCCAAUGUCUUAAAAAAUUAAAAAACAAAUUAGCCAAAUUGGAAUAGUUAGAUCAAAUAAAGAUUUAAGUCAACCAAUUACACAAAAUAAUUCAUGCAAAGUAGGCUCCUAAGAAAAUAUACCACAAUGGUGGUGGAGGAGGCCAAGGCUUAAAUAGUGGAGGACAGCAACAUUUAAAUAUACCGCAGCAGCACGGAAUCCACAAACUGCAUAAUCAAAACCAAGGCAUACACAGAAGGGAAACCAGGAUCGGAAGUUGAUACCGAUGUUAGAUACCAAUUCCAGCCACUAGUUCAUCCUUAACUGGAAGCAAGAAUUGUAGGAAAUGGCGAGAAGGAGAAGAUGGAGUAUUUUUUGUAAAAUGAUUUUUUAUAUUUGAUUUCAUCUAUCCCCGUUCAACAAGAAAGAGAGAGCUUUAAUAGCACUAGCAACCUCCCCAAUGAAAGACCGUCACAUGGCAUACACAGCCUAAACUCUUAAACAACAGCACAAAAGAAAGGCAAAUUACACAACGACCCCAAAACAUUACAUUUCGACCCAAAACUUUGUUGCUUGUGAUCAAGGCAAUCACAGUACAUAACAGUCUAUGAUCCGAUUUUGCCGGCUCCGUCAGAGAUGCUGCCUGAGGAGGGCUUCGCUCUCAGAGAAUGAAGGAGGUAGGGUCUCGAAUUCUAAUUGUUUUCGAUUGAACCGAUAGUUCUGUAUAUCAAUUAAAUUUUGACUCUUUUGUGCAAUUUAGUUGAAAGUUGUUGGUUUUGAUUUGGCUUGAUCUUUCUGUUGCUGAGAAAUUGGGUGGAAAUUGUUGUUUUGAUUUUGUAGUUUUCAAGAAUUGCAUGCUUAGUGAUCAGUAAUCGUCUGGCUUUAUCGGAUAAGGAGAUAAAGCAAUUAGAUUUCAAAAUUUGGAUUUACAGUUCGUAUUUUGAGCCUGAAUUCAUGAAAACAAACGUAACCCAUUAUUUAUUAGCGAUUAAUGAUUUGAUCUUGCACCCAUGUUGUCUGCUUUCCAUUUCUCAUCUCUCUUGCCAUCUUCUCUGUAUUUUGGCUGCUUCUCUCUCCCGCACUCCUUUUUUUUUUUUUUUUUUUGAAUCUAGUGUCUCCUGGUCUUUAACCCGACUACUCACUAGGCCACCCGCCUGACCCCACAACAUUUGGUAGGCAAGAAACUCUAGCAAUUGCUAGGUCUAGGUGGGUACCUUGUGAGGUGUCGAACCCCAGACCUCUUGGUAACAAACCAAGGGCCUGACCAUUAGACUAAACACUCUUAGGUAAGAGACACUAAAGUAUAAAGUGAGAUAUCAGGGCACACGCCUUUAUAGAAACACUUGGUUUCAUUAAUCCAGAAUUUACUUUCUUCAUAGGUUUCAAAUGGAACUACUUAAUAUGUUGUUUUCGUAAUUCUUUUUGCUUUCAAAGUUUAUUGCUCAGUUGUGUUCGUAACCUCUGGGUUCUUACAGUUCUUUGUCUCUCUUACUUCAGAUUCUUUGCGUUUUUUAUCAUUCGUUUGUGAAGAAAUGGGUCGUACGAAGUGGUAGGGCUUUGAGGAAGGCACUUGCCACCAAGGUGCGUUUUGUUUGGGUUUCUGAUGUCAAGAAAAUUAGAAUUGAUAAUUGCAAGCGAUUUUUUCCAAGAAACAAUCAGAUUAUUGAAUCUAAGUUGCUAAUUGUUUAAUUUUGUAUAUGCUGCAAUUAAAUCAGCACCCGCAACUGGAGGAGUCAAGAAGCCUGACUGCUACCGCCCUGGAAUCGUCACUUCGGUAAGUUUUCAACACAAUAUAGUUCAAAUCCUCUGAAUCAUGUUCUUGAAUUCUAUAUGUAUCGUGUUCUUUGCAUUUCGUUAUCUGAAAUCUGUUCUUUGAAUUUGGUUACCGGAAUCAUGCCUAAUGUUUGAUGUGGCCAGUGGCUUUGUAUGGCUGGUUGGUGUGCAUUGGGAGUGUUUUUAGUUAAUGGCAGACAUAGGACAAAGGUGUGGGGCAGCGAAGUCAAGUGGGAAUAGGAAUUUAGGAUGGUACAGUUUUUGCUAAUUUAUGGGACUAGAAGUCUUCCUUUAUUUUUUGUCUUCGUGCGAUGAAAAAAAAUGGGUGAGUAAUUUGAACUCCAGUUUAAGAUAAUAACAUGUGAAUUUUUCGUAUUACUGUUUUUUCCCUUUCUAUUAAAAACAACCUUUGAUUUCUUUGAUAGUGCUUUUUUCUAUCUGUACUAUUGUUGAACUCCCCCAGUUAUCAGUUUUGGCUCAAAAAAAUUAUUUGAUGAUGACAUGCUGAAUUGAAUAUUGGCUAAAAUUAUAUUGAAAUUUGUAGCCCGAAGCAGAUAUCGUUAAAAGAGCUCUAAGUCACCCUCUGAAAUUAAUUGCCAUAAGUGAUGUUGUAAAUGGAAGCGUUGUCGAUGAGAAGGCAUUUUUUUUCGUUUCACUUUAUAUACUACGCUCACUAUCUGUUUAAUAUGUCUCAUCGUAUAAAUUAAAGUCUCAUUUCUCAGGUGCUUUCAAGUGACAACCCCAACUAUGGAUGCAUGCUGCCACUGGAAACUAUGAAAAUUUAAUAGUUGCUGGGAUCACUGAUGCAACUAAAGUGGGUUUCUUCAUCAAGUACUUCAUGAAUAGAAUAUUUCGGAGAUCCAAUUGCUGGGACAGAUUGAAGAAGGUGAAAAUCACAGGGGUGGAAUACUGGGGAGGGUGGUAGGGUUAUGGGGAGUGGGCUCUGGUUGGUUUCGGUUUGACCGAGGCCAUGGUUCGAUGGAAUCGAGGUGAUGAGGACGAUUCAUGAGGUCACAUCCACAAGAUAUAGGGCUUACACGUGGGGUUUAGGGGUUUCACGGGGAGGGUUACAGAGGGAGGGGGUGCACGCGUGAAUUGCAGAAGGGGAGGGAGAGAGGGAGAAAGAGGGGGAGUAGGGUUGCUAUAUUCAAGUUCUCUUUUUUAUUUUUACUUGAAUUUAAUUUGAUUUGAUUUGAUUUUUUUUUUUUUUUUUUUUUUUUUUUUGCUACAGGUUGAGAAUGCAAAAGCUCAGCUGGAGGUGGAGGUGAGAAUUUUAAUUUAAUUCAUGGUAUAUUGUUGUUUUUUUUUUUUUACUUUAUUUUUGUGGGAUUGUGCUGUUUUUGGGGAAAACAAUAUUAAAUUGAAGUAAAGUUUAGAUAUUUCUGUAAUUGGGAUUUAGAGUAAGAGAUGAAGAACUAAAUGUGAUUUCAAAAUUAAAAGUUUAGAACUUUUUUGGUUUGGAAGCUAAUUUUAAAUUCAGUUAGCUGAUUAAUUAAUGGAGAAAUGUAUAACGAAUGCGUGAUAUGUUUUUCGAUGCGUAUGAGCAGACAUGGGUACUGCUUCAGCGGCAACAGCUGCUACAUGAUGGUAGAUGAGGAAUUCUGAGAUGCUGAGUGCUCUUAGUUUAAGAGAUGAAGACUUGAUAAUGAUCGUUCCAAUUCUGCCUCAAGGUAUACUUGAUAAUGAUGUCGUUUAUGUGCAAUUCACUGUAUGAUGUUCGUGCCUUUAAUGGGCCUAUCGACAUAAUUCAAUGCACCCACCAAUUGGUUUUAUGAUCAUACAUCAUUCGUGAGAAAUGGGAUGGUGAGUUUCUCGAUACAGUUUUAAUUUUUGUGCGAAUAAUGUUUGUAAAAUGUCUGUUUUUAUUUAGUUCAUUGCAGAUUCUUAUUCCUUUAUUUAGUUCACCAUAUUCUUACUCUUUUAUUUAGUUCACCAUUCAUGCUUUUAAAGAUAACAAGUGCAUGGCUCUCUCAGAUGUUAGUUUUGGGUGGCAAUUGAAAGAUACAAGGAUAAACAAAAAUACUUACCAAUUGAAAGGAUAAAUUCAAUUGAAAAUAUUUGGUUCAUCAAUUAUUAUAGUAUGAGCUUUUUGCAUUAAAUGUCCUGUUUUCGGGGAGAGUGAUUCAUGUAAUUGGGUUUUAUUAAUUUUUUCAUGAUUUUAUGCAGUUUUUCGUUUAAAUUUGUGGAUUCUGAAGCACUUUUAUGAGUGUUAAUUUCUGUUUGUAUGUCUAAAAUCUGUUUGGAAUUUGGCUGUUUCUUCAAUUUCAUCACCACCCAUUCUCACAACUUCAUCUAAAGUGUUUUGCAUGUAUAAGAUUCGUGUUCAUGGAGGUCAUUUCAAACGGAUUUCAAGCUGAGCUGCAGAAAUUUGAUUCAAAUUGAUGGAUUUGGGUAAGAAACUAAGAAACCAUAAUCUUUUCUUUCGGUUUUAAGAGCUGAAUUUGAUGGUUAAGUUUAUGUUUUAAGAUUAUCUUCCUUUCUCCUAAAUACUGAGUUUUAUGAGAUUACAUUUGGCAAGUCUGAAAACGGAUUAGAAAUACUGAGUUUUAUGAGAUCUAUUUGGCAAGAUUAUCUUCCUUUCUCCUAAAUACUGAGUUUUAUGAGAUCUAUUUGGCAAGUUUGAAAGUGGAUUGCGUAUGUUUAUAUCUUCCUUUCUUCUAAAUACUGAGUUUUAUGAGAUCACACCAUCUUAUGUUUAUUAUAUAAUCUUAUGCAAUCAGAAGAAUUAUCAUAUUUUUCUUUUUAGAUUUCAACAUAUUUGGAAAUACUUCAAAUUUUUUGUAGUGCAGUUUGUAGUUAACAUGAUUACGUGAGUUCUGUUUCUUUAGUAAAUUUUUAUGCAGGAAAGAAAGUCAUUUCUCAGUUUGUAGUUAACAUGAUUACAUAAGUUCUGCUUAUCUUAUUGGCCUUAUUCACUCAUGUGUUGUUCUGUUCAUUCAUGAUUGUGUUAAAUUUAUUUAGGUUAAAUGUGUCUUAUUCAUGCAGUUACGCAUGAAACAGUUGUUCCCGCCGCAAUGUGCGGGUUUAUUUUCUAGUUCCAAUCUAAACCUAGAGACGAAACGAGGCCAUGUAUUACAAAGACAAAAAUUCUAAAACAGCCUUUGCUCAGAGAAUAAAAAAAGCCAUGCAGUGAGAACAUCUAAGGGAAACGAGUUGAUCCUCAAUAAACACCUCAAUAGAAUGACAUAUCUUUGUUAAAGCAUCUGCCACAAAAUUAGCUUUAUCUAAAACAUGAUAGAAGCUGAUAUGAUCAAGCAUCCCAUGUUUGCCCAAGAGAAACCGAUUUGAGCCGCAUCUGCUCCAAAUAUCUCAGGCAAACAGUCAGCUGACAAAAUGCGGUCAAUGGCUUCAACAUCUUGAGAAUAAAAGGCACAACUAGGAUCAAUUGGUUGUACUUUAUAUAGGGAUAAGAAUUGAGUUACCUCUUUUACAAAUGUUACUUAUUCAUUCCGGCCGUUAUAUGGUACAACACUGAACAGAGAGUACAACUUUUCCGGCCUCUAAGUCCGGAACCCUUCCAAACAUUGGACACUAGAAUACCAAAAUAAUGCAAUAAGAUACAACAGUACAAUACAAUAUAGUUGAAAACAAUCCAUCUAAGAUAGUACAGGCUCAAUCAGAUGAAUCAAAGGAGCCCUAGUGUUCAAGCUUCCAUCUUUGCGGUAAACUUAAGUGGUGGCUUCAAGAAAUGGAUAAUCAGUGUAACCAAUGACGGGAUCAGGUGUGUAGAAUGUCUCUCUGUUGUAUUUGUUUAGAGGAGCAUUAAGUUCAAAUCUCUUUGGCAAAUCCGGAUUCGCCAAGAAAAUACGGCCAUAAGCAAUAAGAUCUGCACGGCCCUCGGCCACAGCUCUGUUUCCAUCUUCCCUGUCAUAACCACCAGCAGCAAUGAAGGUACCAUGGAAAGCCUUUCUCAUGGGAAGAAGACUCUGGUGGGUUUCAGCUAUUUCUCCAACUGCCUUCAUCCUCGGCUCAACCAUCAUGUGGCAGUACACGAUUCCAUAUUUGUUCAAGGCAUUGGCCAUAUAGAGUCCUAAUUCUUUUGGAUUUGAAUCCCCUGCGUCCAUAAAGUCAGCAAAUGGACCUAAUCUAAUUCCAACUUUAUCUGCUCCUAUUUCGUUAACGACAGCUUCAACAACUUCCAGAGGAAGGCGGCAACGAUUCUCUAGAGAUCCACCAUAUUGGUCUGUUCGAUCAUUCACAUGAUCUUUCAGAAAUUGAUCAAGAAGGUAGCCAUGCGCCCCAUGAAUUUCAACUCCAUCGAAGCCUAUAUUAACAGAUUAACAAUUUCAACAUACUGACGGUAUUAGAACCUUAAGCAUUGUCGCUGAAUUACCAAAAAAUUCAAUAACGAGAUGUGAGGGGGCUUGCAGCUUUUUACUCCACCCCACCAGCACCACCCACCACCCACACCCACCCCCCUUCCCCUCUUCCUCCUCCUCCUCCCCCAAGGCCAGAGUUUGAAGAAUCCCCCUCCCAUCUCUAACUACAUUUCGCUGAUCAAACACAAUUUAUUUUGCAUAAGAUUUGAAGCAAAUUGAGUUGUUGUAAAUUAUGUUUCAUAUGUAACGUAAAGACAAAUUACCAGCUUCAAUAGAAUUCCUUGCAGCAAGUCUAAAAUCAUUGACAAUUUGUGGAAUUUCAUCUGUCCUUAAUCGUCUUGGAGGCGUGAAUUCAGAAGCAUCGAUGCCAUUUAAUCGUAUCGGCUUGUCAGUAGAAGAUAUUGGAGCUUGCCCAUUUGGUUGAUAACCUGUAAGCAAGGAGGGAAAGAAUUACAAACUGAAGUCUAACAACAGUAACUAACAUCCACAGCAGCACUCUUUUAAGUGGGAAUCCUUUGUUACAAAUUACUAUAAAAUUUGUUAACAUCAAACUUCUUCCCAUCCAAUAAUAAUAAUAACAAUGCUUCUGAAACAGCAAGGUCAUAAAAGUGGUGUCUUCUUAUGAGUUAUGUUAAAAACACCAACUCGGAACUUAGCAAGUCCAAGUUUUAUCGUCAUUUGAGCAACAAACAAUGUUGUCAAUUAUAAUCACUCGCUCGUUCUGAUGCAUACACCAUUAUGUUAUACAUCAAACUUCUUAAUCGGUCUAAUUAUUCACUCAUGUUAACACAGCAUUCUAUGGUAAAAGUGAGGUCAUAAAGGUGUAAGUCAGAAACGCACCGCUAUUAGAAACCCUUCCAACAUGCCAAAUCUGACAGAAGAAGACGCCACCUUCAGCAUGAACAGCAUCAACAAUGGGUUUCCAGGCUUCAACUUGCUCCUUUGUCCAUAUACCAGGUGUGUUCGGGUACCUUCGUUUAUUAAAGAACCAAAAAUUUCAUCAAACUUUGAAACGAAAGAAGCACCCUCAAAUGUUUGUUAGUCUAUAAAUCUACUGUUGUUGAAAAUACCCUUGAGCUGUGUCGGAAACUCCGGUGGCUUCGGCUAUGAGAAGACCCCCGUUCGACGUUCUCUGAGAGUAAUAUAAGAUAGCAUGUGGUUGAGGAACAUUGUUGUAUGAUCUCUGUCUGGUCAAUGGUGCUAAAAUAAUUCUGGAAAGGAAAAAGAACUUGUAAUUAUAAAUACAGAGUGAUCAAGACGGAAUGUGGCUGAGGAACAUUAUCGAAUGAUCUGUAUCUAGUCAUCAACGGUGAAAAUACAAUUCUAAAGAGGAAAAACAUACAAUAAACCAUAAAUACAACCUUCAGACUUUGUAGGAAGGAUUAGUUUGCUAAGGCUCCUUUGAUAACAAAUUCGCUUAUAGUUUUCUUGUUUUAGUUAAAAAGGAUAAACGACGGAGGAAGAAGGAAUUUGGGACGAAAAUGUGUGAAAUAAAAACUCGAAUUGUAGAUUAUCUGAAUAUGCUUUUUGUCCUUCGUUUUCGGUAUCAUUCCAUGCACGUUUAGUCCCUCAUCCAUCCCUUUCCCUUCCUCCUCCUCCUCCUCCUCUUCUAUCAUGCAUUUUCUCUAUCUAUCACUUAAAAUUAAAAACUAAAAAUCAAAUACGAAAUCGUUACCAAACACAACUUGAACAAAGCAAUGUCUUACGAAGUGACCAUGGCCGAAAGGACACAUACUUUUAACGAUCAGUUGCAUCUAUUUUCAACAAUUAAUCAAUGAAAUAACUCAAGUGUGCUAGUGUUUUGAUUUAAUUUGUAACAUCUGUACUAUUUUAUAGACAAAGAUAGAGUUACAAGGACACUUCUUGUCUCCUUCCCAACAUUUGUACUAUUUUAUAGACAAAGAUAUAGUUACAAAAACUACUUGUCUCCUUCCCCAAAUCAUUCUUCGGGAAGAGAUUGUCAAAGAUCAACACCAGCCCAUUAAGAUCAGUCGGUACAAAGGAACUAGAUUGGUCUAGUUCAAACAUGCAUGGUUUUCUCUAGAAGAUUCUAUAAUGGGAAUAUGCUAGAAAACUCUAGCAAAGAAGGUUGUUCCUUAAGUUGGUGGAAGAUUCUAGAAGAAUGGUGAGGUUUCCACCAACAUGCAAGAUUAGUGUAGAUAAUUCUAGCUUGGGAAGUUAGUAGAAUUAUCUAGAUAACUCUAGCAUGAUAUUUCCAUGCUUCUCCAAGGUUCCAUCCAUGCCUAUAAAAUGAGAAGGCAUCCACACCAUUUGUAUCAACCAAGUAACCAAGUAACCAACCAAGCAAUCAAGAAUGCAACCAAGUGAGAGUGAGAAGCAAGAAUAGUCUUGUAGGAGUGUGAGUGAUCUAGAGUUUGUCUCUAGAAAGUGAGUGAGUGUCAUUGCUUCUAAAGUUGUGUCUUUGAGUGUUUUGAGUGUUGUAAUAUUUUGUGUGUGUAGUACAAGUAAUUUGUUUACUUGUGUUGUCUCUCCAACACUUGUGUUAGACUUGUGUACUCUAAGUUCUUAUCAACAAUUGGUAUCAGAGCGGUACGAUCAGGGACCGUCUCUAGUGAAGUUUUUUUAGAAUCGUUAGAAGUUUACUACUUCACAAGAUUAUUCGUUAAGCUUGUUCGGUUUAUCGAAGUUCUGCCGACACGAUGGGAGAUCUUCAAGUUGUUGAAGGAAUCAAGAAGUUGAACAACAAAAAUUACAACACAUGGGCGACAUGUAUGGAGUCUUACCUACAAGGCCAAGAUCUUUGGGAUGCUGUCGGCGGUAAUGAAGUUAUGCAGCCGGAAGAAGACUCUAGUGGCAUUUUGAGGAAGUGGAAGAUCAAGGCAGGUAAGGCCAUGUUUGCCUUAAAAACCACAGUUGAAGAUGACAUGUUAGAGCACAUACGGAAGGCUAAGACACCAAAAGAAGCGUGGGACACCUUCGCCACACUCUUUUCAAAGAAGAAUGAUACAAGACUGCAACUUCUCGAGAAUGAGCUACUAUCGAUGGCCCAACGAGACAUGACGAUUGCUGAAUAUUUCCACAAGGUAAAGGCUAUUUGUCGUGAAAUUUCUGAGUUAGAUCCUAGUGCUGCCAUUGUACAAUCCAGGAUAAAAAGAAUAAUUAUCGAUGGAUUGAGACCCGAAUAUUGAGGCUUCGUUGCCGCUGUACAAGGAUGGCCGACCCAACCAUCACUUGUUGAGUUCGAGAAUUUGCUUGCCGAUCAAGAAGCUUUGGCAAAGCAAAUGGGAGGGGUCUCGUUAAAAGGUGAAGAGGAAGCGCUCUACACCAAAAGUAAAGGCAGUUUUAAGCAGCGUGCUCGUGGUGGAUCUAAAAUAAAUGGUGACAAGGCGAAAUGUCAUCAAGGAGGAGGGAGUUCUCGACCAGGGGGAGCUCCGAAGUAUCACGGCAACCAUGGUCAGUCCCAGAAUAAUAAAAGGUUUGAGGGCAAGUCUACAAUUGUGGAAAGAAGGGCCACAUGGCAAAGGAUUGCUGGUUCAAAAAACCCGCAGAAAGUAACGUCACCAACUCAGAGAAGAAAAGUGAAGAUGAUUGGGACGCCGUAGCAUAUCUAGCUAUGGAGGAAGAAUGGGACGCUGAAGCAUCUUCUUGGUGGUGCUCAGAAAAUGAGGUGUUCCCUGACUCAAGAGAGAUUGAGGAUACGUUGCAGGAGGAAAUGGGAGACCGAGCUGCCCAAACCCAAACGAGUCUAGAUGAGCUCGAGGAAUUGCUUGAUGGUGACGAUGUCAAGCAAGAAGUACCUAAGAGUCAUUGGCAAACUGAAGAAGUUAGACCUAGUGAAGUGGAAGUAUCAUUUCCACGAUCAUAACUAAGUAGGUCAACGGGAAUAACGAAGUCAAAUCCCAAAUGCGCCAACGCAACCAUAGUAGAAGAAGCAGUUGAAGCUAAGAUGCGUAUAGAAGCAUCACAAAAUUCUAAAUGGCGUAAAGCUAGAAGAAGAGGUCGCUGCGUUAAAGAAAUAUCAAACUCGGGAUCCAGUGGUAAGGCCAAGAGAUGUGAAACCCAUAUCAUGCAAAUAGGUGUUCAAGAUAAAGUGUCGACUGAGCGAGAAGAAAAGAAUGAGCUGGUGUUGAGGGGGAGUGUUAAAGAUCAACACCAGCCUAUUAAGAUCAGUCGGUACAAAGGAACUAGAUUGGUCUAGUUCAAACAUGCAUGGUUUUCUCUAGAAGAUUCUAUAAUGGGAAUAUGCUAGAAAACUCUAGCAAAGAAGGUUGUUCCUUAAGUUGGUGGAAGAUUCUAGAAGAAUUGUGAGGUUUCCACCAACAUGCAAGAUUAGUGUAGAUAAUUCUAGCUUGGGAAGUUAGUAGAAUUAUCUAGAUAACUCUAGCAUGAUAUUUCCAUGCUUCUCCAAGGUUCCAUCCAUGCCUAUAAAAUGAGAAGGCAUCCACACCAUUUGUAUCAACCAAGUAACCAAGUAACCAACCAAGCAAUCAAGAAUGCAACCAAGUGAGAGUGAGAAGCAAGAAUAGUCUUGUAGGAGUGUGAGUGAUCUAGAGUUUGUCUCUAGAAAGUGAGUGAGUGUCAUUGCUUCUAAAGUUGUGUCUUUGAGUGUUUUGAGUGUUGUAAUAUUUUGUGUGUGUAAUACAAGUAAUUUGUUUACUUGUGUUGUCUCUCCAACACUUGUGUUAGAGUUGUGUACUCUAAGUUCUUAUCAACAGAGAUUUGGUCCUUCCCAACAUUUGGACUAUUUUAUAGACAAAGAUACAGUUACAAACACUCCUUGUCCCCUUCCCCAAAUCAUUCUUCAGGAAGAGAUUCGAUCCGAAUCUCUCCAAUUAAGUGAUCUAGGCCGUUGAAAUUCAAUCAAACGACUACAAUUAUUAUAACUUUUAGAGAGGCUUCCUGUUUGUAGUCGUUAAAUCAAAUUUCAACGGUCCGAAUCACUUGAUCUUGGGCCUUUGAUGGGAGAGAUCCGGACCGAAUCUCUUUCCUUUUUUGUAUAGCUAUAUUUCACACGCACACAUGAAUAAACUACACAGUACGCUAAACUUGAAUAUAGACAAGCAGUAAUUUCAUCUUCUAUUUUUCCUGUUAACCAAAAGCUAUCUGCAGACCUAGCUACUCUUUGAAUCCAAGUUCGGAUCUCCUCUCAUAGUUUUUACCAAGGUUCUAAAAGACGCUAGGCGCUAGUCGGGUGGCGGGCUGGGGCCUAGCGCAUAGGCGGACUAGGCGGAUUUAAGUAAAUCUAUUAUAUUUUGUGUAAAUAAGUGUCUGUUUAUACUUAAAAUAUAUAUAAUUUUAUCAUAAACUACAAAAUAGAAUGACAUAUAUAUUAUGAAGUAUUGGACAUAAUGAAAACAUGAGGAACAAGUAUAUAAUGUGUGUUCAUUUAAGUAUUCAACAAGUCUUUACAAUUUAUUGAAAAAAUAAAUAAAAUACAAAAUGCAAGUUAUCUAAUUUUUGUCUAAGUGAGUUGCAACCUAGUCGGUGCUUAGGUGGGUCUGGACAGGCUACGCGGGUGCCUUAGCAGAUCUAGGCGACAUUUUUUAAUUUUCAAACGCCUAAGCAUUAAUUGGGGGCAGUGGUCAGCGGGGCUUGGCGGAAAUUUUUAGAACAAUGAUUUUUACAACAUCAUAUUAAAAUAACGCCCGAAUCAAAAUAAAUUAAACAAUUACAUGACAGAGAAAUUUAGAAAAGUAAACAAAUAGGAACAAUGUAUGAAAGUUUUAAGUACCUAUGAGAAAGAUUGAAGUUUCCCAAUUUGUAGGGAGUGAGGAGAGGAAUUGUGGGAGGUUGAGCAGCAGCAGACAUCUCAGAAUUCGAGUUGGUCGUCUGCCACCUGAUUUUGUACUUGGCCUUUUAUACUGGAUUCUGGGAUGAAGGAAGGAACGAAGGAACGAAGGAAUGAAUACAGGACCCGAUUGGGUCUUUGUACGUUCAGUAGACGCUUAAAAGUCCGCCCUGCAGCUUUCCUCCACAAAAGUUAGAGAUGGCUGGGUCCCACAUCUCCCCUCCCUUGUAUGGAAUGGAAGGCUGAAAGCUGUGGUGGUGGUGGCGGCGGCGGCGGACGUCGAUGGCUGGGUCUGUAAUUACGUUUACGUGUGUCGAAAAUUCACCAGUUUUCCCCAUGAAAAAGGACGUCCACGGAAUGCGGGUGUAAUGCUAGCCGCAUGUUCAUUUCGAUUUAGCUUUUUCAUGCUGCAUUAUUAGGCCAUGGUUUGAAUAGUAUAUUGUUUAGGUCCUUAAGGCCCUCUCAAACUAGAAGGGUUAAAAACAUAAUCCCAUCUAGAAUUAUAACUUUUAAAAAAAAAAUAGUUUUAAAUUAACAAUAUCAAAUUAUAUUCAUAUAUUAUCUUCAAUCAAAUGAGCUAAACAUAACCCAUCAAUUUUCGAUGGAUAGCAAGGUUAUAAUUCCAUGGAGCUCAUCAAGUCAUCAUUUGGCUAAAUGAGCAUUAGGCUGGCCAAAUGUAGCCACCCUCUUAGCCCUUUUUUGGGGCUCAGCUCCUGCAUUAUUUGAGUCAAAUUCAACAGCUAUGUUUGAAAACAUCCAAUGAAAAUUUAAUUAAAUUAACCAAUAAAUUUAAUAUAUAAACUUAAAACUAAAUAAUUGUUGAGAGGGUUAUGUUUAGCCACUUUAAUGACGACAUAUAUGUAUACCUGAUACUGUUCAGUCAUUUUGGUUAGAGAUGCCCUAAGGUCAUAAUUUUGAGGAUGUGUGAGACUAAAUGCAUAUUAGUUUAGAUUGCUUGAAAUAUUUGACAACUUAAUAAAGAAAAACCAACUUAAAAUUCAUGAACCAUCACAAAACUCUUUUUUUUUUUUAUCAAGUUGUCAAAUAUUUAAGAUUUUGGAUACAAACUAAAAUAAUCUUAUGGUUAAUAUGCAUCUGAUGCCCACAAAUCUUCAAAAUGAGGGCCAUAAUUAAUCAAUGAAUUUGUGACAAAUUAAAUAGUCUAGAAAUAAAAGGCUCCAAUCAAGUAGCAUUGCACAAUUAAAAAGGAAAAUGACAAGGUUGCUAGCUUUUUGCAAAAAAUAUGUUAUGUAGGUUCUCUAAUGAGUGCUUUUAACACAAUGGACAUACCCACUAUCGUGUAAAACUUUUCUCGAGAAAUAAAGUUAAGAUUUAUUUAGAUCUGUUACAUAGAAGUUUCUCUUUUGGAUCACUGUUUUUCUAUAAUCGUAAUUUUUUAGGCAUAUAGAUUCAUUGUAAGGAUGAAUUACGUUUUUUUUUUAGUUUGACAGGUUUCAAUUUUGAUCCAUGUCAUUUUCAAUUGGUCAAAUUUAAACUUUGUCAUACAUAACAUAAUUUUAUACCGACACCCCUUUUUGACCAAAAUAGGUUGCGUGGAAUAUUCUAACAAAAAAAAAUCACGUUUGUAAGUAGUGUAUUCUUCUAGUGGUUCAAACCAUUUUCCUUUCCUUAUUGUAAUUUUUAAAGUAAGAAUAACGUUGUAUUCAACAAACAAUAAAGUCCUUGUGCACAUCAAGUAGAAUCAUGAAAGAAAAAAAGGAAGAGAAAAAUUUGCCUACAACGGACACUACUACAAUAACAUUUUUACCAGGGGUUAAUUGGAGCCCAAUAUAACAUUCUAGCAUUAACAAGAGAUGAUCAGGAAUAGAGAUUUAUAUCAUCCUUGAAUCUCAAACGUAGAAUUAUCAUAACUUACAACUUUUAUUGUAUGGAUAAUACUUGCAUUCAUUUCUUAAAAGGAUGAACUUAUUUCCUCCAUGUAAGUAAUGUACAUUUAUCGUCCAAAGUUCAUAAUCAAAACCGUUCAAAUUAUUAAUCUGCAUACCCUUACAAAAGAAUUGGAGAUCAUUUAGUUAUUCAAAUGUAUAGAACAAAUCAAAGAUGUAGGUAUCAAUGACACACCCCGACCCGGAAGGUCCAUAAGGACUCUGAAUCGAGUUAUGCUGACCGACACCUGGAAGGUGAUAAAGCUAUAAAGUGUGAUGAUGUGGAAAAAUAUGAAUAAAUUUGAACUUAAGAGUGCCUAAAUACCAAAGUGCGCUGGUGAGCGGGAAUGAAUCCACUUCACACGUGACCUUAGAGCAUAAGUAAGUAUAGUAGAGUGGAUAAGGAUUAUAACCUCAGAAGUAGCCACCUAUAUUGAGAUUUGCCCAGAAUCCUCGUCGAUACGAACAUUCAGCAAUUAAAACCUGGAGGGGCGCAAAAUAGAAAGUGUGAGUGGGCAAAAACAAAGCUUUACAAAACCAUUUCACUUAUCAAAAGUAAUAAUCUCUCGCCGUAAAGCCUGAAUAAUUUCCCAGAAAAUAGAAUAUUCUAUAUCGAAACCAUACUCGGAAUAGCAAAAUCCACACGUAUGCCAUGCCUAAAAUCUCAACAUAAUGAAAUAAGUAAACCAGGUGAAAUAAAUCCAUGAAAAGUAAUAUGUCAGCCGGAUCCACCUAUUGUGGCAUGUACGACUGAACCUAUAGCUCAACCAAUAUCCAAGUAACAUGUCAACAUGAUCCACCUCUUGUGGCCUAUACGGCUGAACCCAGAGCUCAUCACACAUCCAAGUAAUAUGUCAACCGGAUCCACCUCUUGUGGCCGAAUCCACCUCUUGUGGCCUGUACGACUGAACCUAUAACUCAACCAAUAUCCAAGUAAUAUGUCAACCGGAUCCACCUCUUGUGGCCUGUACGGCUGAACCCAUAGCUCAUCACAUAUCCAAGUACUAUGUCAGCCAGAUCCACUUCUAGUGGCAUGUACGGCUAUGUCAGUCGGAUCAACCUCUUAUGGCAUGUACAACUGAACCCAUAGCUCAUCACAUAUCCAAGUAAUAUGUCAGUCGGAUCCACCUCUUGUGGCUUGUACGGCUGAACCCAUAGCUCAUCACAUAUCCAAGUAAUAUGUCAGUCGGAUCCACCUCUUGUGGCCUGUACGAUAGGACUGGGUGUAAAUAAAUACGCUCAAGUGCUACGAUCACGUGAAGACUGUGCGAAUAAUCGCAGGUCAACUACAAGUCGGAACCACCUAUAGUGGUCUGUAUGACAGGAUUGUGUAACUACCUUGGAUCCAAAGUGAGCGUAAGGUGCGGGAGGUGAACAUCACGCAAAGGACUGUGCCUUAGCCACGGUCGGGAGCACUAACACCGGGGUGCAGGUUUAUUAGCUCUAAUUGCAUCUAUUAUAACAUGUACGACUCAUGGACAACAUGUACAACAGUGUUGGAGUUGCCUAUCAUUGCAACUUGUACGAUAAGGUCGGAGUUGCCUAAAACAUACAUGUAGUCAUGCCAUAACUUCAUCAUUUCAACUAAUACCAUAAACUCACCUGAACUUACCUAGGUCUUCUGCGUUCACCUUUGCACUUCAAAGCGUUCACAAUAAUUAUGUGCAAGUAAUAUACAUAUGGAUAUACCAUGAUAUAAUCUAAUACUCAACCAUGUCAUAGCAUUUUCAAUUAUAUACAUAUAUAUAAUAUGGCAUAAAAUGCAUAAGCUGUAACACCCUACUCACAAACUAUUUAUUUUCGGGAAUAAUUAUCGGUGAUAAGCCCAAUUAGACACUAGUUUAAUUAACUAUCAUUACUUACGUUUCCUUACUUCAAUUUCUUGAUUCUUCACACAUUGAUUUAUGAACAACAUUUAACCACCAAAUCAUAAGGUUAAAUCUAAAAUUUUCCACCAAUCUCCUUCACAUUGCUCAAUUCCCCAAAUAAGGCUAUUGUCACAAUUAUUUAGUCUCAUUUAUUGUAUGGUUGCAUCUAACGUCUCGUUAGAUUGCCUAUGUAUCCUAAAUAGGGAUCAAGCCAUUUGUAGUUCACACUAGUACUUCAAAGCAUUCACAGUAAUUAUAUGUAGGUAAUAUGCAUCAAUCAAUUUAAAAACGUUUAUGAUAAUUUACUGAAAAAAGACAUCCCUACGUAAUUCACUCCGGAAGAUCUGCAUCACGGAUUUCUGAUCCGUUACUUCCAAAUAUUCACAUUAUGUUCCUAGAACCACGUCCUAAUAUUUCAUUAUGAUCCAACGGUCGGAUCUCCGCCAAUUGCCAAAACCAAGUGGCGGUCAACAUUUUAUUUUAUGAACUUACAAAUCCAAUUCGGGAAGAUCUGUACUUCGGAUUCCCAAUCCGUAAGUUUCUAUGGUCCUCAUAUAUUACGUACUAUAAUGUGUUAAAGUUUGGUGACGAUCAAACAGUUGGAUCGUCGAUUCACACUUUUACCAAGUAACCUGACAUAGAGAAUUUAGGUUCCAACCAUCAACCUAAGUCAUACAGUUACCAAGAAUAAACUCAAGGUAUCUAAUUUAUCCUAAGAAUGACAUCGACGGCCCCCUGGCCACACGCCGCCGUGGGUGGCGGUCGGUCGCCCCAACUCGCUGGAAAAUCCAACUAUUUCUAAAAAUUACCAAAUUUUACAUAAAUGAAUAUUUCAAUGAGUAGAAUAAGUUUUAUACCUAUGACUAAGUCCAAUUUAACCGGGAAAGGCUCCAAUUUCACUCAAACCGCCGAAAACCCUAAGAUAGGUAUUCUUCGAUUCGACUUCCUCCAUGUUCCAACACCCCUACAACUUCUUGGGUCUUGUUCCUGGGUCCAAGAGGAGUUGAUUAAGGGUGGUGGUGGGUGGCGAAACUCGUCAGAUCGAAGGAAUCACCGCCGAACACCUCCGGUUCUCCGGUGAUGUUCUUUGCGUUUUUUGGCCUAAAACUCUUCAAUCUUGAGCGAAGAUGGAAGAAGAAAGUUUGGGGAAGAUGUUGCAGGUGGUGAAUAUGGUGUUCCACGAAACAAAAUGGCAGAAAUUGGCUGGAUUUUGACCGGUUUGGUUGUGCGGGUGCACUGCCCGACGGGAAGAUUUCUUCUUUUUUUUUUUUCCUUCUCCCUUCCUGAUUGGUUCUCAUUUUCCUCUCUUAAAAUUGAUUGGUUACCACUCCCACACGGUGGGAGUUUGAAUUAAUUUAUAACUAAACUUUAAAUAACCAAUUUCAAAUGUCUAUAACUAUACCGAUAUAAUCCGAACUCGCAAACGGCUUUCGCCUAUGCAUUCGUACCAACGAGUACUACACAAAUGCGCUAAGUGAAUAAGUCAUACGUUUCUCUACACGUUGGUCAAUGAAAGUCAAAACCUUCACCUCUAGGGUAUUUUCGUAAAUUCAUUAUUUUAAAACUUAUAAAAUCGUAGAACUAGGGACGAGUUGUCACAAUAUACCCACCUUAAAAAAAUUUCGUCCCCGAAAUUUGAAAUCAUUAGCUAAAGAUAAUGUACUUCAGAAGAUAGGAAAAAGUAUAUAUAUAUAUACACACACACAUAUAUACACACAUAUAUGGACGGAGGAAAUCAAGAUAGAGCGGUUGCAUAACAGAGAAUGUCAUUCUGUCGCGAUUAGAGUGCAGUAAUUCCUCUUUCGUGCCUCCAAACUUAAACUUCCUUCUCCUUUAGUACAGUACUAAAAUAUACAGUCCUUUAUAAAACAUAAGGUAGAAAACUAGAUGAAUAACAACGUAAUGUCGAAGCACGUAUAUAAUAAAGUGAAGUUAAAAUAGUUGUACUGAAAACCACACCAAAAGUAGAAAACUUCACCUACACACCCACAUGGGUCACGUGCCUCAAAGAUGAGUGUGUGCUAUCUUUGGGUCAAGCCCAAACAAUAAUUAAAUAACUAAACGUAGACGGACCUAGAUGUCUACUUGUUCAACAAAUUCAACACUUAAGUUUUCAAUAUUACGGUCAGUAGCUCGUAAUACCAACAAUUCACUAUUGUCCUGAUAAGUAAGUAACAGAUUCCUGAGGGUGCAAUAUUACCAUCAUGCCCCCCAAUGGGAAAAUACGCAUAAAUCAUCUGAUCCAAGUCUUGAUCGUGUUCACAUACUACCCUUACGGGUAACAUCAACAAAUAUCAUAAUUUUCUAUAUCAUAUUCUCGAUCAUUCAACUAUGGAUAAAAUUUUCGGUCAUGUGCCAUAGAUAAAAUUUUCAUAGUACGCUUUAACAAUGCCAUACUCGAAACCAAAAAUUGUAACCGUAGUUACAACCAACUAAAAAAAAAACUAUUUAUUACAACAUACAUACCACAUAACUCAACAAUGCAAUUCAUAACACCAUAAUGAGCAGAUUCCUAUUGAAUUUCUUUCGAAUUUAGCGAAAAUUAUGUCAAGAAGGCUAACAUAAUACUCGAGAAUUUGAGGGUCAAAUAAGUCCAUCAAAUUUUAAAUACAAGGUAAUUGAAAUUAAUGUAUAACAUCUCGUUACAACGGUAACUUCUGGAACAUUUAAUCACCAAUGGUUAAGAUUCAUUUAGUAGAGUGUUUGUUGGGUGAUUGAGAAUUUAAUGUUCACGACUAAAUGUCAAUGUCCUAUCAAUCCUCUAGACAAUUUGCUUAAUUCAAAAAUAAUACCAAGUGGUCAAAAUUGUAGUCCCUCUGGACCAAUGAAAAAAAAAAGUUGACUUGUCAAGUCGAUUUGACUUGUCAAGUCGAUCUAUAAACAUCGAAACAUCAUCAUCAUCAUCACUACAUGUACAAGAUACCUCGUUCCAAAGGUGUAUGAUGAUAUUUCUCAACUCCCUUCAUAUACAAGAAGUGAUUAUGACCAUUCAAACCCUUUCUUGAUAUUUCGCAAGUAACAUCAAAACAAUACAUGUGAAUUCCAACUGAGGCAGAAUAGGACAGGCCGAAAGUGUUCAAGUAUACAUAAAUCUUUUGCUGCAUUUAAUAGUAAUACAUUUGCAUAAUCGUGAUAAUCAUAAAAUUUGAUUUAGUUCUUCCACUACCGUUGUUUGAAUUUAACUUAUUUCAAAUGAGAAUAUAUUUGAGAAGUCCAAGAUUGAUAAAGGUCUCUAACACAUUUCUCCACCAGGAAGUAUCAUUCAGUUUUUCAAAUAAAGAUAAUAACACCUUACUCUAGUCAUGAAUAAGAUGGUUCAUUUCGAACGAUUUUAACCGUUGGAAAGUCUAAGCGAUUCAUUGUCAUGUUACCUCCCCCACAAUUAAAAUACCUAAAGAACACGUCAUUAUGGAUUUCCAAAUGAUCAAUGUCAUCAAAAGAUGUAAAGAAAAGGUAUGGUGAGACAACAGUUCUUUGUUAGAAACUUUAUUAAUAUUCAACAUCUCAACUAAAUUGACCUUCCUCGGUUGGUAUGUGAAGAAAAACACCACAGCUGAGAAAUUGCUAACAAUUUGUCGAUAAAAUCGACAAGACGAAAGAUAUCUUGAAAUUCACAAUACCUUAUGAGAAUUCCAACUUUCUUCCGCAACUACCCUUGGAGAAAAGAAAAGAAUAUCAUUGAGAAUCACAUCUCCUAAGAGAAGUACCAAUUUACACAAAGGUAAUAUUUGAGGAAUAUUAUGUGAAGCUAACUGUUGAUAAUUGGAGAAUUUAAUCUCGUUAAUAGAAUAUGUAAGAUAGUCAUCUACAAGACUAUUAUGAAUUUAUCAAACUACACAAGGAAACUUGAGUUACAAAGAUUGGUUGAUAAGAAAUAAGGAGAAUAAAUGUGAUGUUAACAAGGUGGAUCAAUGGUGUAUUCUACUUCUCGCAUUUGGUAGAAUUCCAAAUAAAAAUUUGAGAAUUGAUGCCAAAGGUAAACCUCCUCCAAAUGUACUAGGAACUGAUUCCAUAAUUCUAGGGAAAAAAAACCUUACCACUUCGGGAAUUUCUACUGACCUUAGAUAUAACGAUUCUUACUCAUGUGCCAAUGCUCAUCAAAAUGACGAGUAUAGCACCAAAAGUAAUGUGGAAUUUAACAUUGGUUGGAGUGUUCUAAAGUCAAAAAAAUAAAAUUUUCUAGUAAUCUACUUUAGAACGGACUUAAACAAAAGUCGAUCUUCCCCCUGAAGAUCCAGAAUGAUCACUUGCGUGUUUGGAAAAAAUUGUGCUAUCAUAGACCAAAGUGAUUAUCCCAAAAUUGUGCUAACCACAACAACAACAACAACAACAAAGCCUUUUCCCACUAAGUGGGGUCGGCUAUAUGAAUCCUAGAACGCCAUUGCGCUCGGUUUUGUGUCAUGUCCUCCGUUAGAUCCAAGUACUCUAAGUCUUUUCUUAGAGUCUCUUCCAAAGUUUUCCUAGGUCUUCCUCUACCCCUUCGGCCCUGAACCUCUGUCCCGUAGUCACAUCUUCGAACCGGAGCGUCAGUAGGCCUUCUUUGCACAUGUCCAAAUCACCGGAACCGAUUUUCUCUCAUCUUUCCUUCAAUUUCGGCUACUCCUACUUUACCUCGGAUAUCCUCAUUCCCAAUCUUAUCCUUUCUCGUGUGCCCACACAUCCCACGAAGCAUCCUCCUCUCCGCUACACCCAUUUUGUGUACGUGUUGAUGCUUCACCGCCCAACAUUCUGUGCCAUACAACAUCGCUGGCCUUAUUGCUGUCCUAUAAAAUUUUCCCUUGAGCUUCAGUGGCCUACGACGGUCACACAACACGCCGGAUGCACUCUUACACUUCAUCCAUCCAGCUCGUAUUCUAUGGUUGAGAUCUCCUUCUAAUUCUCCGUUCUCUUGCAAGAUAGAUCCUAGGUAGCGAAAACGGUCGCUUUUUAUGAUCUUCGCUAGAUUGCUCCAGUCAUUAGUGUGGAUAAGUAUAUAAAUGGAUAGAGAUAGGAAAGCAAACACAAGAUGUACGUGGUUCACCCAUAUUGGCUACGUCCACGGAAUAGAGGAGUUCUCAUUAAUUGUGAAGGGUUUACACAAGUACAUAGGUUCAAGCUCUCCUUUAGUAAGUACAAGUGAAUGAUUUAGCACAAAUGACAUUAGGAAAUAUUGUGGGAGAAUGAUCUCGUAAUCACGAAACUUCUAAGUAUCGGAGUGUGGUAUCGUCUUGACUUGCCUUAUCUGUCUCAUAGGUAGAUGUGGCAUCUUCUCUGGAAGUACUCUUCCUCCAUCCAGGGGGUGGUAUCUUUAACUGGUGGAGAUGCACAAGGUAAUGUAUCAAUUUCACUUGAAGCUUACUUGUAGUUUCAGGCUUGGUCAAGCGCGAUACAAACCAUGUAGUAGGAGUCCCCCAAGUCGUCGAGCUAGGGGAUCUGCUGAAAGAGGUGACAGACAAGGUAAGCAAUCAGAGCUCCGGCUGAUUGUUCACCUCUCCCCCAUCUUGCAGCAGCAUGAAGGAUAAAGAGAAGAAAAAUGAGAAGAGAUGAUAUGGGAUACUUUUGCUUUUGAAGAAGUAACUUUCCACAGGCUUAUUCUUGAACUGAGCUGGAGGGUUUUCUGGUUUCCUCCAGAGUAUAAGACCUGCUGAUAUGGGAUACUUUUGCUUUUGACAGAGUAAUGGAUGUAUCGGCACGUGUGCUGUUACGCUUGUCUCCACAUGCUUCCUUGUAUCCUUCGCACUUGCCCUAUCUGUUCCUCAAGCAAAUGCGGUAUCUUCCCUGGAAGCAUAAGAUGUUGAAGAUGAGUACUCGAGAGCAAUGCCAGGUAAGUAAUCAGGUAAGGGGUUCCAGGCAGUCAGUUCCUGGUUGGAAGCUUGAUUCCAAGUGCUGACUGAUUGCUCUCUUUCUCCUUGUCUUGCAGGUAAGAACAAGGCCAAAUGAAAAGACAGGGAAAAAGCAUGAUAUGGGAUACUCUUGCUUUUAACCCUGAUGAUAUGAGAUAUUCUUGCUCUAGUAUAGCUUGUUUGCAGAGGUAUUAUCGGGGGGAAAGAAAGCUGAAUAUUUCGAAAGGCUUCGUUGGGAGUGCCCUCUCAGAUAUGAGGAAGGGUUGAGCAUUUUUGCAGGUCUGCCUGUCCGUUGGGGAUGAAGGUCAACAUAUAUAGGAGUCUCCCUAACAACAAGUAGUAAUGCUAUUCCUUUACCCUGCUUGGUCAUAGCACGGUAGUGGGAGCUACCAGCUUCACAUGUUUUAACUCUGUCAGAGCACUUUGAAAAAGUGGUCUGUGGUAUCUGGCUCUCGAGAUUCGGAGAACGAUGCCUCUUCGAUUUUUGAGAAAGCAAUCAUGCUGGGGGUCUGGCUCUCGAGAUUCGGAGAGCAGUGUCUCUUCGAUUUUUGAGAGAGUAAUCAUGUUGGGAGUCUGGCUCUCGAGAUUCGGAAGGCGGUGCCUCUUCGAUUUUGGAGCAAGCAAUCUUGUUGGGAGUGUUUUUUCGAAUGUGAGUAAAGGUUGGGCAUGUUUGCUAGUCUACCUUGCCACGAAGCACAGAGGUUGACACACAGGGACUUUCCAAUUAUCCAGCAAUGGUACUGUUCCUUUACCCUCUCUUCGAUUUUGAGAAACUAGUCAUGUUGGAAGUCUGGCUCUCGAGAUUUGGAGGACGGUGCCUCUUCGAUUUUGGAGCAAGCAAUCUUGUUGGGAGUGUUUUCUCGAAUGUGAGUAAAGGUUGGGCAUGUUUGCUAGUCUACCUUGCCACGAAGCACAUAGGUUGACACACAGGGACUUUCCAAUUAUCCAACAGUGGUACUGUUCCUUUACCCUUGUGGGUAAUAAUAUGGUAGCUAGACCUUCAAAAUUUAUGUGUCUAAACUUUGUUAGUGCUGUUUCUUUACUAUUCUUUUACCUUUCUUGGUCAGAGCGAUGUAGUGGGAGCUGCAGCUUCACGUGCUCAACUUUGGCAGAGAACUUUGGCAAAGUUAUCUGUGGUACCCAUGAGCUAUUGUUGCGUGUGGGAAGUGGGUGAUUGAACAGUAAGAUUUAUGUGCUUUCUACUUCACCAGAAGUCUUCGACAGAAUGCCCAUAAUUUCCGCAAAGCUGAGUGUGCAUGUGACAGGUGCUGACAAGGCUAGAAAAGUAAGGGCCUCUUCGAUUUCUGAGAUCGGCCCUCGUGGUCUCUGAGCAGCCCAGCUUUUGAGAAAGCGAGCGUCUCUUCGAUUGAUUCGGAGAACGAUGCCUCUUCGAUUUUUGAGAAAGCAAUCAUGCUGGGGGUCUGGCUCUCGAGAUUCGGGGAGCGGUGUCUCUUUGAUUUUUGAGAAAGUAAUCAUGUUGGGAGUCUGGCUCUCGAGAUUCGGAGGGCGGUGCCUUUUCGAUUUUAGAGCAAGCAAUCUUGUUGGGAGUGUUUUCUCGAAUGUGAGUAAAGGUUGGGCAUGUUUGCUAGUCUACCUUGCCACGAAGCACAGAGGUUGACACACAGGGACUUUCCAAUUAUCCAGCAAUGGUACUAUUCCUUUACCCUCUCUUUGAUUUUUGAGAAAGUAGUCAUGUUGGGAGUCUGGCUCUCGAGAUUCGGAGGACGGUGCCUCUUCGAUUUUGGAGCAAGCAAUCUGAUUGGGAGUGUUUUCUCGAAUGUGAGUAAAGGUUGGGCAUGUUUGCUAGUCUACCUUGCCACGAAGCACAGAGAUUGACACACAGGGACUUUCCAAUUAUCCAGCAGUGGUACUGUUCCUUUACCCUUGUGGGUAAUAAUAUGGUAGCUAGACCUUCAAAAUUUAUGGGUCUAAACUUUGUUAGUGCUGUUUCUUUGCUAUUCUUUUACCCUUCUUGGUCAGAGCGAUGUAGUGGGAGCUGCAAGCUUCACGUGCUCAACAUUGGUAGAGAACUUUGGCAAAGUUAUCUGUGGUAACAAUGAGCUAUUGUUGCGUGUGGGAAGUGGGUGAUUGAACAGUAAGAUUCAUGUGUUUUCUACUUCCCCAGAAGUCUUCGACAGAAUGCCCAUAAUUUCCGCAAAGCUGAGUGUGCGUGUGACAGGUGCUGACAAGGCUGGAAAAGUAGGUGCCUCUUCGAUUUCUGAGAUCGGCCCUCAUGUUCUCUGAGGAGCCCAGCUUUUGAGAAAGCGAGCGCCUCUCUAAGCAGCCCAGCUUUUAAGAAAGCAAACGCCUCUUCGAUUUCUGAGCAGGCGCCUCUUCGAUUUCUGAAGCUUCGUCGAGUGCAGAUUUUUAUAGGGGCUGGCAUUAAGUUCCAAAGCACACUUGAAUCUCCACCAGUAGAAGCUUCAUUCUUGCACUUCUAAGAUCUUGAUUUGUCCGACCUCUUCUCUCUUCAACACCUUUGAAAAUGUCUGGCCCCUCCGACCGUCGUUUUGACUUGAACCUUGUUGAAGAGGCAGCCCCGCCUUCUCCAGACAACAUAUGGCGCCCAUCUUUCGUCUCCCCUACUGGUCCUCUUACCGUUGGGGAUUCCGUAAUGAAGAAUGAUAUGACCGCUGCGGUGGUGGCCAGGAACCUUCUCACUCCCAAAGAUAACAGACUACUUUCCAAACGGUCUGAUGAGUUAGCUGUUAAGGAUUCGCUGGCUCUCAGUGUUCAGUGUGCAGGUUCUGUGUCUAAUAUGGCCCAACGCCUAUUUGCUCGAACCCGCCAAGUUGAAUCAUUGGCGGCUGAAGUGAUGAGUCUGAAACAGGAGAUUAGAGGGCUCAAGCAUGAGAAUAAACAGUUGCACCGGCUCGCACAUGACUAUGCUACAAACAUGAAGAGGAAGCUUGACCAGAUGAAGGAAACUGAUGGUCAGGUUUUACUUGAUCAUCAGAGAUUUGUGGGUUUGUUCCAAAGGCAUUUAUUGCCUUCGUCUUCUAGGGCUGUACCGCGUAAUAAAGCUCCAAAUGAUCAACCUCUGAUGCCUCAUCCUUCUAGGGUUCUGUCCAGUACUGGGGCUCCGAAUGAUCCCCCUCCGGUGCCUUCUCUUUCUGGGGCUCUACCGACUGCUGAGACUUCUCCUAAGCAACCUUUGUGAAGGCUCCUUCUAGUUUGUUUAUUUUGACUCAUGUAUAUGUACAUAUUUGUAGCUUAUCGGGGAUAUCAAUAAAUAAGCUUUCCUGCAUUUCAACAUAUUGUGUUAAAUACACCAAAGCCUUCUUCGCUAAGUUCUUUGAAUUUUCUUUUGUUGAAGCUUGUAUGUUGAAGCUUUCUGAGUGGAGCAUGUAGGUUGGGGCAAUGUUCCCUUAAUUUCCCGAGUGAGGAAAACUUCUCGGUUGGAGACUUGGAAAAUCCAAGUCACUGAGUGGGAUCGGCUAUAUGAAUCUUAGAACGCCAUUGUGCUCGGUCCUGUGUCAUGUCCUUUGUUAGAUCCAAGUACUCUAAGUCUUUUCUUAGAGUCUCUUCCAAAGUUUUCCUAGGUCUUCCUCUACCCCUUCGGCCCUGAACCUCUGUCCCAUAGUCGCAUCUUCUAAUCGGAGCGUCAGUAGGCCUUCUUUGCACAUGUCCAAACCACCGUAACCGAUUUUCUCUCAUCUUUUCGUCAAUUUCGGCUACUCCUACUUUACCCCGGAUAUCCUCAUUCCUAAUCUUAUCCUUUCUCGUGUGCCCACACAUCCAACGAAGCAUCCUCAUCUCCGCUACACCCAUUUUGUGUACGUGUUGAUGCUUCACCGCCCAACAUUCUGUGCCAUACAGCAUCGCCGGCCUUAUUGUCGUCCUAUAAAAUUUUCCCUUGAGCUUCAGUGGCAUACGGCGAUCACACAACACGCCGGAUGCACUCUUCCACUUCAUCCAUCCAGCUUGUAUUCUAUGGUUGAGAUCUCCAUCUAAUUCUCCGUUCUUUUGCAAGAUAGAUCAUAGGUAACGAAAACGAUCGCUCUUUGGUAGUUCUUGAUCUCCGAUCCUCACCCCUAACUCGUUUUGGCCUCCAUUUGCACUGAACUUGCACUCCAUAUAUUCUGUCUUUGAUCGGCUUAGGCGAAGACCUUUAGAUUCCAACACUUCUCUCCAAAGGUUAAGCUUUGCAUUUACCCCUUCCUGAGUUUCAUCUAUCAACACUAUAUCGUCUGCGAAAAGCAUACACCAAGGAAUAUCAUCUUGAAUAUGUCAUGUUAACUCAUCCAUUACCAACGCAAAAAGGUAAGGACUUAAGGAUGAGCCUUGAUGUAAUCCUACAGUUAUGGGAAAGCUUUCGGUUUGUCCUUCAUGAGUUCUUACGGCAGUCUUUGCUCCUUCAUACAUAUCCUUUAUAGCUUGGAUAUAUGCUACUCGUACUCCUUUCUUCUCUAAAAUCCUCCAAAGAAUGUCUCUUGGGAUCCUAUCAUACGUUUUUUCCAAAUCUAUAAAGACCAUGUGUAAAUCCUUUUUCCCAUCUUUAUAUCUUUCCAUCAAUCUUCGUAAGAGAUAGAUUGCCUCCAUGGUUGAGCGUCCUGGCAUGAACCCGAAUUGGUUGUCCGAAACCCGUGUCUCUUGCCUCAAUCUAUGCUCAAUGACUCUCUCCCAGAGCUUCAUUGUAUGACUCAUUAGCUUAAUACCCCUAUAGUUCAUGCAAUUUUGUACGUCGCCCUUAUUCUUGUAGAUAGGCACACCAAAGUGCUCGUUCGCCACUCAUUUGGCAUCUUCUUCGUUUUCAAAAUCCUAUUGAAAAGGUCAGUGAGCCAUGUUAUACCUGUCUCUCUCCCAAAACUUUCCACACUUCGAUUGGUAUAUCGUCUGGGCCUAUUGCUUUUCUAUGCUUCAUCUUCUUCAAAGCUACAACCACUUCUUCCUUCCGGAUUCGACGAUAAAAAGAGUAGUUUCUACACUCUUCUGAGUUACUCAACUCCCCUAAAGAAGCACUCCUUUCAUGUCCUUCAUUGAAAAGAUUAUGAAAAUAACCUCUCCAUCUGUCUUUAACUGCGUUCUCUGUAGCAAGAACCUUUCCAUCCUCAUCCUUGAUGCACCUCACUUGGUUUAGGUCUCUUGUCUUCUUUUCCCUUGCUCUAGCUAGUUUAUAGAUAUCCAACUCUCCUUCUUUGGUAUCUAGUCGUUUAUACAUAUCGUCGUAAGCCGCUAACUUAGCUUCUCUGACAGCUUUCUUCGCCUCUUGCUUCGCUUUUCUAUAUCUUUCACCAUUUUCAUCGGUCAUCUCCUUGUAUAGGCUUUACAACAUUCCUUCUUAGCCUUCACCUUUGUUUGUACCUCCUCAUUCCACCACCAAGAUUCCUUUUGGUGUGGGGCAAAGCCCUUGGACUCUCCCUAAUACCUCUUUUGCUACUUUUCGGAUACAACUAGCCAUGGAAUCCCACAUUUGGCUAGCUUCCCCCUCUCUAUCCCACACACAUUGGGUGAUUACCUUCUCUUUGAAAAUGGCUUGUUUUUCUUCUUUUAGAUUCCACCAUCUAGUCCUUGGGCACUUCCAAGUCUUGUUCUUUUGUCUCACUCUUUUGAUAUGUACAUCCAUCACCAACAAGCGAUGUUGAUUAGCCACGCUCUCUCCUGGUAUAAAGUUUGCAAUCCUUACAAGUUAUACGAUCCCCUUUCCUCAUUAGAAGAAAAUCUAUUUGUGUUUUUGACGACCCACUCUUGUAGGUGAUCACAUGUUCUUCUCUCUUCUUAAAGAAGGUGUUAGCUAAGAAAGAGAUCAUAUGCCAUUGCAAAAAUCCAAGAUAGCUUCCCCAUCCUCGUUUCUCUCCCCAAAACCAUGGCCACCAUGAAAACCUCCAUAGUUGCCUGUCUCCCUGCCCACGUGUCCAUUUAAAUCUCCUCCUAUAAAUAACUUCUCCGUCUGAGCAAUUCCUUGCACCAAGUCUCCAAGGUCUUCCCAAAAUUUCUCCUUCGAACUCGUAUCCAACCCUACUUGAGGUGCGUACGCACUAAUCACAUUGAUAAGUUCUUGUCCUAUUACAAUCUUGAUUGCCAUGAUUCUAUCUCCUACCUUCUUGACAUCUACAACAUCUUGUGUCAAGGUCUUGUCCACGAUGAUGCCAACACCGUUUCUCGUUCUAUUUGUGCCCGAAUACCAAAGUUUAAACCCUGAGUUUUCUAGAUCCUUCGCCUUACGACCAACCCACUUAGUUUCUUGUAGGCACAUAAUAUUUAUCCUUCUCCUCACCAUAACUUCCACUACUUCCAUAGAUUUUCCCGUUAAGGUUCCUAUAUUCCACGUUCCUAAACGUAUUUUGCUCUCUUGAACUCUACCCUUCUGUCCUAGCUUCUUCACCCUUACAUUAGAAUAUGAUACUUCGGACUGCUGCUUUCGUAGGACUUGUUUGCUUUCCAAUUCAAAUUGUCUUCUCAGCUUCUCUAUCUACAACAAAAAUUAGAACUUAUACCAUUACAUGCAAUAUUUCUAGUUUAUAUCAUUAAGUGCAACACAUAUAUAAGAACACAUAUCUCAAUUGCACUGCAGUUGAUUAGGGAAAGCAGACAACGUAUAAAAGUCUCAUGAGUUUAUUAAACACUACGAGAUCAAAAAUAAAAUUCAAACUUUCUCACCUAUGACCAAGUAUAGUAGCUUCUGUGGCCUAACAAUUUUGAAAAGUAUAUCAAUAUAUUCAAAAAUAUUGAUGAACACCUCUUCAAAAUUUGCUGGUGGUAGAAGCUGAACACAGAAUGUAGAAAUUAUAUUAUGUAACCACAUAUAUGGAUAAAAAAAAUUCGGAUCAUAAAGAUAAAGAAAAUAUCAAAAAUUGUUACCUAGACAAUAAUCAAAAUAAAUAGUAUAUUAUAGAAUGUUUAUCUUAUUGCGAGUGAAGAAUACAUGUAUAUAUAUAUAUAUAUAGAGAGAGAGAGAGAGAGAGCGAGAGAGAGAGAGAGAGAGAGAGAGAUUAAGAGAAAGAGAUGAAUGAAUAAGGUCGUACUCCAUCAUCAUCGUCUAAAAAGAAAUCUAUUUACAGUUAAACUUUAAACCCAAAAUAUUUAAAAAAAAACCUUUAUGUUAUAAUUCUAGUUGAACUUUAAAUGUUUAUUUUCAUUAUCUUUAAGUCUAGUUGGAAUAUUUAUGUUAUGAUUGUGUUGGAUAUGUUAAAAUUUAAGAUUUCAAAUUUUUUCAUUUUUUGAAAAAAAAACCGAAACCGAACCGAAACCGAACCGAAAAAAAACUGAACCGAAAAAAACCGAAAAAAAUUGAACCGAACCAAAAUUUCGGUUUAGUUUCGGUUUUGGCAAAAAACCGAACCGAUUUGAACCGAACCCACCCCUACCUGGGAUACACAACUAUCAAUAUAGUAGUCUUGCUUCAAGGCCAUCAACUUAUCCCCAAAUCUACAUCCUUCCUUGGCAGGAAAAUUUUUCCCUUAUAAUUUAGAGGCGUUCACCAAAAUGAUCUUCUAAAACGUCGACAAGUCGACAAAACUGCCCAAAACUUAGGAAAAACUAACACAUUUUUCUUAUUCGACGAGGUGGACGAGGUGGCAAGAUUCGGAAAUUAGGUUCAAGAAUAAAAAAUGCUCACAUCACGCGUGUGAUGAAUGCAAUACUGCCCAACUUAUGCUCUCAUACCAGAUUGUCACAUCCCGGCCUGGGCCCCCACCACAUCCCCGGCUCGACUCCGCCAUAGCACGAUAUUGUCUGCUUUAAGCCCCGAUCACGCCCUCACAGUUUUUUUCUAGGAACUGACACGAGAACUUCCCAGUGGGUCACCCAUCAUGGGAAUGCUCUCGCCCGAACUCGCUUAAUUUUGGAGUUCCAAUGGAAUCUGAAGCCAGUGAGCUUCCAAAAGGCCUCAUGCUAAGUAGAGAUAGGAAUACACAUAUAAGGCUUAAAGGAUCCAUUCCCCUAGGCGAUGUGGAUGUAACAAUUCACCCCCUUAGGGGCCCGAUGUAUUUAUCGGCACACCUCCAGCCAGGGAUUGGCUCUGAUACCCAACUAACACACCCUAACCCGGAAUGUCCACCAGGACUUCGAAUCGAGUUGUGCUGGCCGACACCUGGAAGGUGACGAAGCCAUAAAGUGUGAUGAUGUGGAAAAAUAUGAAUAAAUUUGAACCUAAGAGUGCCUAAAUACCAGAGUGCGCUGGUGAGCGAGAAUGAACCCACUUCACACGUGACGUUAGAGCAUAAGUAAGUAUAGUAGAGUAGAUAAGGAUUAUACCCUCAAAAGUAGCCACAGAUCCUGAGAUUUGUCAAGAAUCUUUGUCGAUAUGGACAUUCAGCAAUUAAAACCUAGAGGGGCGAAAAACCAUUUCACUAUCAAAAGUAAUAAUCCCUCGCCGUAAAGCCUGAAUAAUUUCCUAGAAAAUAGAAUACAUAUCUAUAUCCAAACCAUACUCAUGAAAUAAGUAAUCCAGGUGAAAUAAAUCCAUGAAAAGUAAUAUGUCAGCCGGAUCCACCUAUCGUGGCAUGUACGAUUAAACCUUUAGCUCAACUAAUAUCCAAGUAAUAUGUCAGCAUGCUCCACCUUUUGUGGCAUGUACGACUGAACCCAUAGCUCAUCACAUAUCCAAGUAAUAUGCCAGCCGGAUCCACCUUUUGUGGCCUAUACGACUAAACCUAUAACUCAACCAAUAUCCAAGUAAUAUGUCAGCCAGAUCCACCUUUUGUGGCCUAUACGACUAAACCUAUAGCUUAACCAAUAUCCAAGUAAUAUGUCAGCCAGAUCCACCUCUUACGGCCUGUACGGCUGAACCCAUAACUCAUCACAUAUCCAAGUAAUAUGUCAGCCGGAUCCACCUCUUGUGGAAUGUACGACUGGACCUAUAACUCAACCAAUAUCCAAGUAAUAUGUCAUCCAAAUCCACCUCUUGUGACCUGUAUGGCUGAACCCAUAGCUCAUCAUAUAUCCAAGAAAUAUGUCAGCCGGAUCCACCUCUUGUAGCCUGUACGGCUGAACCCAUAGCUCAUCACAUAUCCAAGUAAUAUGUCAGUCGGAUCCACCUCUUGUGGCCUGUACAACAGGACUGGGUGUAAAUAAGUACACUCAAGUGCUACGAUCACAUGAAGAUUGUACGAAUAAUCGCGGGUCACCUACGAGUCGGAACCACCUAUAAUGGUCUGUACGACAGGACUGUGCACCUACAUUGGAUCCAAGGUGAGCGUAAUGUGCGGGAGGUGAACAUCACGUGAAGGACUGUGCCCUGGCCAUGGGCGGGGGCACUAACAUCAGGGUGCAGGUUUAUGAGCUCUAACUGCAUCUAUUAUAACCUGUACGACUCAUGGACAGCCAGUACGACAGUGUCGAAGUUGCCUAUUAAUGCAACCUCUACGACAAGGUCGGAGUUGCCUAAAACAUACAUGUGGUCAUGCCAAAACUUCAUUAUUUCAACUAAUACCAUAAACUCACCUGAAGUUACUUGGGUCUCCUGCGUUCUCCUUUGCACUUCAAAGUGUUCACAAUAAUUAUGUGCAAGUAAUAUACAUAUGGAUAUACCAUGAUGUAAUCUAAUACUCAACCAUGUCAUAGCAUUUUCAAUUAUAUACAUAUAUAUUAGACUUGGCAAUUUUUGACACGACACGGUGACACGACACGAAAACGACACGAAAAUAACGGGUUUCGGGUCAACACGAUAACUUAUCGGGUCACUAUCGGGUGACCCGUUAAGAACCCAUUAAUAACGGGUUCUUAAAAGGUAUACACGCGGGUAACACGUGGGUAACCCGUUUCGACCCGUUAAGAAAAAAAAUAUUUUAAUAAUUUUAAAGUUUAAUUACUAAAAGAUUUAUUAUAAAAUACAAUAGUCAUAUUAAUAUAUACAAUAUAUUCUAUAUUAAAUAUAUAGUUUUGUAUUAUCGUUCUAUAUAAAUUAUAAAAAAAAUUAAAAAAAAAGUUUUUGUCAUUAUUUAUUUUUAUUAUGAGAGUUCCCUAUUAUCAUUACUAGGAUAAAUUUUACAUAACAUAUUCUUGUCCAAAAUGAAAAUAUACUAGUAUAGUAUUUGUAUAUGCAAGAACUAAGAAGACAUACAUACAAGUAUGAAAAAUGUGAAAGAAUAUAUAAACACUUGUGAUUUAUCAUUAUUCCUCUACGAAUAGAUAAUUGUUACACUUAUAUUAUUGUUUAGAUUUUUAAAAUCCUUCAAACCCUCAUGAAUAAUGUUUUUUAUUUGAGGGAAAAAUUAAUAAAAUUAAUAAUAAUUAUUGUAGAAGUGUAAAAAAUGUAAAAAUAUAUAUAUACAAUCACUCAUAUAUAUAAAAAAUGUAAAUGCUUUAAAUUAAAGAUCAAAUUUAUUCAUUACAUUCUUAUAGGGUCGAAGAGUGUAUAUGUACAAAAUCAUCAAAAUCGAAGCUAAAAUAACCGUUAAAUUGUAAUUUUUCGUUUAUAACCGUCGAAAACUUUUGUUCCGUUACGUAAUAUCUGAAUGUUUGUUUUUUACAAUUUUUUAAGUUUGCAAUCUCGGAAUGUGUACAAAUAAGUUUGACAGUUGGAUCGUUGAAAAAAGUUUCGUAGAAUGCAUAUUGCAUCAAAACGGUAUAUUAAACAAACACUUAGAGUUAAUAUUAUACUUCUAUUAAGUAUAAAAUAAGUUUUUGUGGUAUCCACUAGUGUAAAUACUUUAAAUUAAAGAUCAAAUUUAUUCAUUACAUUCUUAUAGGGUCGAGGAGUGUAUCUGUAAAAAAUCAUCAAAAUCGGAGUUAAAAUAACCGUUAAAUUGUGAUUUUUCGUUUAUAACCGUCGAAAACUUUUGUUCCAUGAGGUAAUCUCUGAAUGUUUGUUUUUUACGAUUUUUUACAUAUGCGAUCUUCGAAUGUGUACAAAUAAGUUUGACGGUUGGAUCGUUGAAAAGUUUUUUGUAGAAUCCAUAUUGCGUCAAAACGAUACAUUAAACAAACACUUGGAGUUAAUAUUAUACUUUUAUUAAGUAUAAAAUACGUUUUUGUGGUAUCCACUAGUGUAAAUACUUUAAAUUAAAGAUCAAAUUUAUUCAUUACAUUCUUAUAGGGUCGAGGAGUGUAUCUGUAAAAAAUCAUCAAAAUCGGAGCUAAAAUAAUAGUUAAAUUGUGAUUUUUCGUUUAUAAUCGUUCAAAAGUUUUGUUCCAUUACGUAAUCUCUGAAUGUUUGUUUUUUAUGAAUUUUUACAUAUGCGAUCUCGGAAUGUGUACAAAUAAGUUUGACGGUUGAAUCAUUGAAAAAAGUUUUGUAGAAUGCAUAUUGCGUCAAAAUAGUAGAUUAAACAAACACUUAGAGUUAAUAUUAUACUUCUAUUAAGUAUAAAAUAAGUUUUUGUGGUAUCCACUAGUGUAAAUACUUUAAAUUAAAUAUCAAAUUUAUUCAUUACAUUCUUAUAGGUCAAGGAGUCUAUCUGUAAAAAAUCAUCAAAAUCAGAGAUAAAAUAAUCGUUAAAUUGUGAUUUUUCGUUUAUAACCAUCGAAAACUUUUGUUCCAUUACGCAAUCUCUGAAUGUUUUUUUUUUUAAGAUUUUUUACGUAUGCGAUCUUGGAAUGUGUACAAAUAAGUUUGACGGUUUGAUCGUUGAAAAAAGUUUCAUAGAAUGCAUAAUGCGUCAAAACGGUAGAUUAAACAAACACUUAGAGUUAAUAUUAUACUUCUAUUAAGUAUAAAAUAAGUUUUUGUAGUAUCCACUAGUGUAAAUACUUUAAAUUAAAGAUCAAAUUUAUUCAUUACAUUCUUAUAGGAUCGAGGAGUGUAUCUAUAAAAAAUCAUCAAAAUCGGAGAUAAAAUAACCGUUAAAUUGUGAUUUUUCGUUUAUAACCGUCGAAAUGUUUUGUUCCAUUUCGUAAUCUCUGAAUGUUUGUUUUUUAUGAUUUUUUACGUAUGCGAUCUCAGAAUGUGUACAAAUAAGUUUGAUGGUUUGAUCAUUGAAAAACGUUUUGUAGAAUGCAUAUUGCGUCAAAACAGUAGAUUAAACGAACACUUAGAGUUAAUAUUAUACUUCUAUUAAGUAUAAAAUAUGUUUUUGUGGUAUCCACUAGUGUAAAUACUUUAAAUUAAAGAUCAAAUUUAUUCAUUACAUUCUUAUAGGGUCGAGGAGUGUAUCUGUAAAAAAAUCAUCAAAAUCGAAGAUAAAACAACUGUUAAAUUGUGAUUUUUCGUUUAUAACCGUCGAAAACUUUUGUUCCAUUACGUAAUCUCUGAAUGUUUGUUUUUUUACGAUUUUUUACAUAUGCGAUCUUGGAAUGUGUACAAAUAAGUUUGACGGUUGGAUCGUUGAAAAAGGUUUCGUAGAAUGCAUAUUGCGUCAAAACGGUAGAUUAAACAAACAUUUGGAGUUAAUAUUAUACUUUUAUUAAGUAUAAAAUAAGUUUUUGUGGUAUCCACUAAUGUAAAUACUUUAAAUUAAGGAUCAAAUUUAUUCAUUACAUUCUUAUAGGGUCGAGGAGUGUAUUUGUAAAAAAUCAUCAAAAUCGGAGAUAAAAUAACCAUUAAAUUGUGAUUUUUCAUUUAUAACCGUUGAAAACUUUUGUUCAGUUACGUAAUCUCUGAAUGUUUGUUUUUUAUGAUUUUUUACGUAUGCGAUCUCGGAAUGUGUACAAAUAAGUUUGACGGUUGGAUCAUUGAAAAACAUUUUGUAGAAUGCAUAUUGCGUCAAAACAGUAGAUUAAACAAACACUUAGAGUUAAUAUUAUACUUCUAUUAAGUAUAAAAUAAGUUUUUGUGGUAUCCACUAGUGUAAAUACUUUAAAUUAAAGAUCAAAUUUAUUCAUUACAUUCUUAUAGGUCGAGGAGUCUAUCUGUAAAAAAUCAUCAAAAUUGGAGAUAAAAUAACCGUUAAAUUGUGAUUUUUCGUUUAUAACCGUCGAAAACUUUUGUUCCAUUACGUAAUCUCUGAAUGUUUUUUUUUUACAAUUUUUUACGUAUGCGAUCUCGGAAUUUGUACAAAUAAGUUUUACGGUUGGAUCGUUGAAAAAAGUUUCGUAGAAUGCAUAUUGCGUCAAAACGGUAGAUUAAACAAACACUUAGAGUUAAUAUUAUACUUCUAUUAAGUAUAAAAUAAGUUUUUGUAGUAUCCACUAGUGUAAAUACUUUAAAUUAAAGAUCAAAUUUAUUCAUUACAUUCUUAUAGGCUCGAGGGGUGUAUUUGUAAAAAAUCAUCAAAAUUGGAGAUAAAAUAACCGUUAAAUUGUGAUUUUUCGUUUAUAACCGUCAAAAAGUUUUGUUCCAUUACGUAAUCUCUGAAUGUUUGUUUUUUAUGUUUUUUUACGUAUGCGAUCUCAGAAUGUGUACAAAUAAGUUUGAUGAUUGGAUCGUUGAAAAAAGUUUUGUAGAAUGCAUAUUGCGUCAAAACAGUAGAUUAAACAAACAUUUAGAGUUAAUAUUAUACUUCUAUUAAGUAUAAAAUAAGUUUUUGUGGUAUCCACUUGUGAAAAUACUUUAAAUUAAAGAUCAAAUUUAUUCAUUACAUUCUUAUAGGGUCGAGGAGUGUAUCUGUAAAAAAGCAUCAAAAUCGGAGAUAAAAUAACCGUUAAAUUGUGAUUUUUCGUUUAUAACCGUCAAAAACUUUUGUUCCAUUACGUAAUCUCUGAAUGUUUGUUGUUUACGAUUUUUUACGUAUGCGAUCUCGGAAUGUGUAAAAAUAUGUUUGACGCUUGGAUCGUUGAAAAAAGUUUCGUAUAAUGCAUAUUGCGUCAAAACGGUAGAUGAAACAAACACUUAGAGUUAAUAUUAUACUUCUAUUAAGUAUAAAAUAAGUUUUUGUGGUAUCUACUAUUGUAAAUACUUUAAAUUAAAGAUCAAAUUUAUUCAUUACAUUCUUAUAGGGUCGAGGAGUGUAUAUGUAAAAAUUCAUCAAAAUCGGAGCUAAAAUAACCGUUAAAUUGUGAUUUUUUGUUUAUAAUCGUCGAAAACUUUUGUUCCAUUACAUUAUCUCUGAAUGUUUGUUUUUUACGAUUUUUUACGUAUGCAAUCUUGGAAUGUGUACAAAUAAGUUUGACAGUUGGAUCAUUGAAAAAAGUUUUUGGACCGCCAGCAAUAGAUAAUUUUGUAGUAGUGAAACCUUAAUUUUAUUUAACCGUCGAUUGUUAUUUACACUUUAUUCUUCUUACUGAAUUUCAUUUUUAAAAUUUUAUUUUUUGAAAACAUGAUCAUCUGGCGGAUGUAAGAAGAUGAUAUCACGUUUCGAUAUUUACGGUUAACUGAAAUAUGAGUCAAUGUCAUAUAAUUUGAAAAAACUUUAUAAACAUCAAGGAAUAUUUUCACUAACCGUAAAACUCUAAAUAUAAUAUCAACGAUCCAAACCGUUCAUCUACCUGCACCUUCUAAUAGAUCAUGUUUUCAAAAAAGAAAAUAUAAAAAAACGAAAUUUGAUGAGAACAAUGAAGCAUAAAUGUAAACAACAAUCAACGGUUAAAUUUUGAUAUAUGAAUUAUAUGAUUAUAGUGGCGAAUUUCAAAGUUAAGCUCUUUAUGAAAGUUAUAAAACUUGUCAUUACGAGUGUUUAUAUAUUUUUUUCUAUAUUUUUUUACACUUCUACAUUAAUUAAAAAACUAUUAAAGACUUUAGGUAAGCAAAAAUAUACUUAAAACAAAAUUGUGUUUUUAUGUUUUGUAUGUGAUAAUAUGGAAUGUAUAUACUUAUUUAGUAUUAUGUUUUUCAUUUGAUUAUUUAUUGGUUUAAAAUAUAAUUUCCUUAGUGGGUAACGGGUCGGGUCAUAUUACCUGUUAAUAUUAUCGGGUCGAUUUCGGGUCGGGUCAUUUUACCCGUUUAUUUUAACGGGUGUUACACGACACGACCCAUUAAGAUAUCAGGUAUAACACGAAAACGACACGAACACGGAAAACACAACACGAAUGCCAAGUCUAAUAUAUAUGUAUAAUAUGGCAUAAAAUGCAUAAGCUGUAACGCCCUACUCUCGAACUAUUUAUUUUCGGGAAUAAUUAUCGGUAAUAAGCCCAGUUAGACACUAGUUUAAUUAACUAUCAUUACUUACGUUUCCUUACUUCAAUUUCUUGAUUCUUCACACAUUGAUUUAUGAACAACAUUUAACCACCAAAUCAUAAGGUUAAAUCUAUCAUUUUCCACCAAUCUCCUUCACAUUGCUCAAUUCCCCAAACAAGGCUAUUGUCUCAAUUAUUUAGUCUCAUUUAUUGUACGGCUGCAUCUAACAUCUCGUUAGAUUGCCUACGUACCCUAAACAAGGAUCAAGCCAUUCGUAGUUCACACUAGUACUUCAAAGCAUUCACAGUAAUUAUAUGUAGGUAAUAUGCAUAAAUCAAUUUAAAAACGCUUGUGGAAUUAUCAAUCAUAUAUAUAUAAUAUACACGAUAGAAAGAAAAAGACCCACUCACCUGAGGUCCGCACUACGACUCCCUAGCAUGCAUAUCGAGACAUCACGAACCAAUGUCGCCUAGAACAAUUAUCAAAUCAUGUCUCAGAGUUCUUACUGAUAGAAUACAUAAUUUACUGAAAAAACACAUCCCUACGUAAUUCACUCCGGAAGAUCUGCAUCACAGAUUUCUGAUCCGUUACUUCCAAAGAUUCACAUUAUGUUCCUAGAACCACCUCCUAAUAUUUCAUUAUGAUCCAAUGGUCGGAUCUCUGCCAAUUGCCAAAACUAAGUGGCGGUCAACAUUUUAUUUUAUGAACUUACAAAUCCAAUUCGGGAAGAUCCGUACUUCGGAUUCCCGAUUCGUAAGUUUCUAUGGUCCUCAAAUAUUAUGUACUAUAAUGUAUUAAAGUUUGGUGGCAAUCCAACGGUCGGAUCGUCGAUUCACACUUUUACCAAAUAACGUGACAUUGAGAAUUUAGGUUCCAACCAUCAACCUAAGUCAUACAGUUACCAAGAUUGAAAUCAAGGCAUCUAAUUUAUCCUAAGAAUGACAUCGAUGGCCCCCUAGCCACGCGCCGCCAUGGGUGGCGAUCGGCCACCCUAACUCGCUGGAAAAUCCAACUAUUUCUAAAAAUUACCAAAUUUUACAGAAAUGAAGAUCUCAAUAAGUAGAACAAGUUUUAUACCUGUGGCUAAGUCCAAUUUAGUCGGGAAAUGCUCCAAUUUCACUCAAACCCGCCGGAAACCCUAAGAUGGGUGUUCUUCGAUUCGACUUCCUCAAUGUUCCAACACCCCUACAACUGCUUGGGUCUUGUUCCUAAGUCCAAGAGGAGUUGAUUAAGGGUGGUGGUGGGUGGUGAAACUCGUUGGAUCGAAGGAAUCACCGUCGAACACCUUUGGUGCUCCGGUGAUGUUCUCUGCAUUUUUGGGCCUAAAACUCUUCAAUCUUGAGCAAAGAUGGAAGAAGAAAGAUUGGGGAAGAUGUUGCAGGUGGUGGAUAUGGUGUUCCACGAAACAAAAUGGCAGAAAUUGGCCAGAUUUUGACCGGUUUGGGUGUGUGGGUGCACUGCCCUACGGCAAGGUUUCUUUUUUUUUUUUUCCUUCUCCUUCCUGAUUGGUUCUCCUUUUCCUCUCUUAAAAUUGAUUGAUUACCACUCCCACAUGGUGGGAGUUUGAUUAAUUUAUAACUAAACUUUUAAUAACCAAUUUCAAAUGUCUGUAACUAUACCGAUAUAAUCCGGACUCACAAACGGCUUUCGCCUAUGCGUUCGUACCAACGAGUACUACACAAAUGCGCUAAGUGAAUAAGUCAUACGUUUCUCUACACGUUGGUCAAUGAAAGUCAAAACCUUCACCUCUAGGGUAUUUUUAUAAAUUCAUUCUUUUAAAAUUUAUAAAAUCGUAGAACUAGGGACGAGUUGUCACAAUCAAGUACCAUAUUCAAGAUGAACCGUUCAUUUAUUUGAUAUGUUUGAAUGGAUUAAACAAUUUUUUAUUCGAUUGAUUUUUGCACGAAUGAUCUUCAAAUGAUAUUAAGAAAUUGAACGCUGUUGAUCAUUGAGUUUAUAUACUUAAGACACGUCAUUUGCAAAUGGGGAAGACGAAUCAAAGAUCUAUCCAAAAGCCAGUUGAACAGAUGUACAGUCAAACGUCUAGAGGUUAAUUAUACUGUUAAUUUCCAAUAAUCAUAAUAUAAGAUCAUCACAAACUAUCUUUAUUAAACUCAUUGGCAUGGCAUGCAAUCAGUUAGCAUGUUAAGGUAACCACCAGCUAUGACACUACACUUGAACUUGAUACAGAUCGAACAAUCCAGAAACUUACUAUACAAAUGAGAAUUUUACAAUCUUGUCGGCCAACUUCUGUCCCUCGAUUCGUUAUUUUCUUUAGUUAUCCAAACCGUGCAAGAAAAGCAAUACGAAAACACGUACGCAGACUAAUGCGGGGAUUUCAGAAAUAUAAGAGUGUACAAGCUUCCAUAUGCUGCACGAAACCUAUGCAGUGGUGUCAAGGAACGGAUAAUCAGCGUAGCCAAUAACCAAUUCAGGCACGUAGAAUGUGUUUCUGUUGUACUUGUGCAGAGGAGAAUUUAGCUCAAACCUCUUCCGCAAGUCUGGCUUAGCCAGGAACCAUCAACCAUAAGCAAUAAGAUCUGCACGGCCCUCAGCCACAGCAUUGUUCCCAUCUUCCCUGUCAUAACCACUAGCAGCAAUGAAGGUACCAUUAAAAGCCUUUCUCAUGGGUACAAAGACUCUGGGGGCUAUCACAUUUUUCUCCAGCUGUCUUCAUCCUAGGCUCAACCAUAUGGCAGUACGGGAUCCCAUAUUUGUUCAACAAAUUGGCCAGAUAAAGGCCCAACGCUUUCGGAUCUGAAUCCCCUGAUUCCAUAUAGCUGGCAAAUGGAGAUAAUCUAAUUCCAACUUUAUCCGCUCCUAUCUCAUUAACAACAGCUUCAACGACUUCCAGAGCAAAUCGACAACGAUUAUCCAAUGAUCCCCCAUAUUAGUCUGAUCGAUCAUUCACUUGAUCUUUUAGAAACUGAUCAAUAAGGUGUCCAUGGGCCCCAUGAAUUUAUACUCCAUCAAAGCCUUUAUAUCAGACAAAUAAUUUCAGUGCACCAAAUAUUAUUUGUAAUCUAGCAUGAAUCACACAUCUAGUUAAACUGCAAUUAACGCCCUUAACUACAUUUAUAAGAUUAGAGAUGGUUUGUUUACUUCUGUUGAAAGUAAUUUUGAGUUCUCGCCAAUGUUUUAAAAGGCUCACCUCAGGGCGGGUAUAGACGCCCUAUGAGGCUGGACUUGAGGAUUGCCGCCUAGGUGGCAGAAGGCGUGCCUCAGGGCUUUUUUUUUUUUUUAAUAAGUCCCAAACCUUUUGGAUAGGGUAUUAACUGUCUCAUACCUCUUCCUUGCACUAUCGUCUCUCUGCCUUUUUUUCUGAUUUUUAUUUUUUAUAUAAUGGAUGUAUGUGUUGUCUACAUGCAUUGUUAUAUGUGUGCUCAUUGUGUUUUUUAUCCUCAAUUAUUGUUCGAGCCCAAAAAUAUUGGUUUGGGCCGAGUUUAGAAUUGUUCUCGGCCCAGUAUUGGUUGGGCUGAGUUUAGAAUUGUUCUCGGCCCAGAGGUCGUGUUUAGGUGUCGUUGGGGGUUAUCCAACUCAUGGGCCGCGCAGUCGAAGCUGGCCAUAUCUCGUCAAGAACCUGUGGGAUAUGGGUGAGUUCUAUUACGAGAAGGAGUUUCGACAUGAUAAGGAUGUUAGAGUUUGAGAUUGAAUGCGGCCUGAUAACGAGUAAGUUCAAAGUCCUAGUAGGAGUAGGACUGGCUGAGAUAAGGUUGGAUCGGGGAAAGGAAUUCUAAUCCAAGAAUGAUUGGGAUUCAAUACAGGUUGGCUACUAUAAAUAAGGAGGGAGGACAUCGAACAAAGCCCCUCCAAUUCAACACACAAAUUGCCCUACGCAAACCCUUACUCUACUCAAAACCUCUCAACAAUCUUGAGAUUUUUGUUUUCCUUUUUCGCCAACACAUCUUCAGUUUGGAUAAACAGCACUGUGAAGGCAACCGACGAACAUCUUCAGUUUGGAUAAACAGCACUGUUGCCGUAGAAUCAGCCGACUGUGAAACACCUUCAGUUUGGAUAAAUAGCACUGCGACCUGGCCAACUGGUUAUCUAUCCAAGUCUCGGUCGAGAAAGAUUUUUGAAUCCUUAUUGGCAGAGGUUAUCUCGUUAGCCUUCUCGGCGAAGUGAGGUGUUACAAGUUACCAUACUCAGCAUACUGAACGUCGAGUUGUUUAUGAUUGGGUAUUUACAAGUAGGUUUUAGAGUUCGGCAUUCUGACGGCCAAACCACUUUCACAAUCAAGACGUACAUUUGUUUUGAGUACUUGUGCCCAUAUAGUCUGGUGUCGAUUCGGCGUGUUUAUACUUUAACAAAUAUAAUCACCAUGACCGAAUCCGGCACCGAUGAUUUAUGAACUUCGCAGAACUAGUAGCCUUGUCUUCAGGCUCUAGAACCCGAAGGCCGAGAGUGGUCCUUCCUCAGCCACAGUUGCAAGAUCAAAAAGUCAGUCGCGCGCUCAAUGCAACAUCACCAUAUUUUACUCCUCGACCAAGCUCGGCCGACAAGUUGGCAUGCCCUGCAUACAAUUGAAGGACGUAGUUAGCUUGUUAAUUACUCGGCCUGCAUGCCACGUAGGCAUAGUAGUUUUUUGGGUCAACAUUUUGGCAAAACCGGUGGGACCCAGUGCUAAAACUACGAAGUUCAUGACCAUCGAGACACGAUCGGUAAAAAAGAAAACAACCAUGGGAAAAUCAGCGACCAAUCUGCCGAUUCAGAGUCCUGGACAAGAGGUGUCACAUGCGUGAAAUCCUAUUGUCGCUGUGACCCCUGAGGCUGCAAGUGUAACACACCAAGAAAAGGAAGUGUGCCUCGGUACCUAGCCUCGAAAUGCAUAAGUACCCAACCGAACCGCAGGCGUUUUCAUUGAAAGAAUAGUGGAUGACUGCGACGAAGAAGAUGGCGAAGGCUUUGACCCUCCGACUAGGUCGUUUCUUCGAAGAUGACUUGAUAAGCAAUCUCGACAAGUUGAACAGACAGUUGGUCAAAAAAUGAACAGUUUGCUCGAAGUGAUAUGAAGCAAUAGUGAGACCCACACCAGAUUACUCGAACUAUUAGUUAGCAAAGUCUUCGAAUGAGGAUCGGUUGAUCAGGCUCAGCCCAAAAGUAGUGUCUACUCGGUCCAAAACGAUUGACUUAGAAAAAAAUGGAGGAUCAAGUAGUAGGUCAGAUGGAUCCGACCAGAGAGUGGAAGCAACAUCCGUCGAUGUGACCGAGAUCCAACGAAUGAUCGAUUCAGCCAUGAAAAAAAGGCCGAAGUUCCCGAAAUUCAUGCACCCAUAUCCAGCUUAUGUGGAAAAGUUCAAAUAUCCUAAAGGUUUCGAGAUUCCAGAUUUCAACCUUUUUGUUGGAGAAUCAUCCUUAUCCACGUUAUAACACGUGGCUCGUUUCACUGCGCAAUGUGGAGAUGUCAAUAGUGAUUUUCAUAAACUACCGUUGUUCAACUUUUCGUUGAUAGGCUCAACAUUCGCAUGGUAUAUCAACCUCCCAUCUAAUUCUAUCCAAAGCUGGAAGGAGUUGGUCGAGAAAUUUCACGAACAGUUUUAUCGCCCGGGGAUGGAAAUGUCAAUUUCUUCAUUGGCUAGGAUGGCUCAAGCAUCUGAUGAGUCACCAAUGGAUUAUCUUACAAGAUUUAAAUCGGCCAGGAAUUGGUGCCGAGUACCUCUUCCCGAAGUCGAAUUUGUUAAGCUUGCCCUGAAUGGGCUCAACGUUGAGUACAAAAAGAAAUUCUUGGGGGCAAACUUUCGGGAUAUGUAUGAAUUAGCCCAGCAUGUCGAGCAAUAUGAUUAUUUGCUCCAAGAAGAAAAGAUCUCGAAAUCCCCAUCCCAAGGAACGAUUUACAAAAAUCUUACGAUCAACUACGUAUCGACCGAAUGCGAAGAUUCCCAAUACGUCAGUGUGGAUGCGACCGAGAUAGUAAUAGAUAAACCAUAUGUUUGCAAGGCAUUGACUCAACUUAAUUCCAAGGAUGCCAAAACCCGCUCGGCCACUGAGGAGACGGCGAAAACAUCGAAAGUUUACACUUUUGAUAUCACAAAGGCAGAGGCAAUUUUCGAUCAAUUGUUAUUAGCAAAGAUCAUCAAACUUCGGCCAUGACAUAACAUUCCCAAAGCCAAAAAGCUUAAAGGAAAGACGUAUUGCAAGUAUCAUAAUUCGACCAAGCACAAACAACUGUGUCGUAUUCCGUGAUGAUAUCCAGAGCUGGAGUGAUGAAGGCAAGCUAAAGUUUCCCGAAAAACGGAUGACGGUCGACGUUGAUCCAUUCCCUUCGGCAACAGUCAACAUGGUAGACGCCCGUUUACCCAAGAGCAAAGGGAAAGGGAUGGCUAAGUUUGUCCCAGUACAACACGUCCCAAAGAAACAUUCCCAGUCACGACUCAAGAUCAACCUAUUUUCCAUUGAACCACCUACCAAGUUUUUAGGACCAGCUAUAGUUGAAUCCAUGUCAGAUUCCAGUGUAGAAGAAAGUGAUGGGCCGAUAAACAGUCAAGAGAGUGUCCUCAUUUUUUUUAAAAAACGGGGAUCCAUCUUGUUAAGGGAUUCCUUUGCGUAUGUACCUUGGUGUAGUUUCGAUCCUCGCAGAUUCGCUUCCUCCUAAACCCAAAACCACUUAGACUUUCUUAACUUUCUUAACUUUUGAAAUCUACUACAUAUGUUACCUUCCAUCUUUUUUUCUGUAAAAACAUGUUGCCACUCACGUGGAGGGAUAUUUUUCCGUCAAUCCACUUCCUAGAGCUCACUGCAAUCAAUUUGCACAAAGACAAAAUACAUUUUUUUUAGUAGCGUUAGAGUCGGGUCACGAAGAGACGGGUUUGAUUUUGACAAGGGUUGUUGAAGAAUUGAAGUGAAAAUGAUUGUUGGCAUCUACAUUUGUAGAAUUUGGUAGAUGGUGGCUGCUUGUGUUUUUAUUUGGGGGGGGGGGGGGGGGGUUUUGGUUCUUUAUUACUUAGACUGACUAAAAAUUCAAAUUAUUUAUUGUUUAACAUUGUAGUAUGUGUUUUGUGUCAGUUUUGUUGUGUUGGUGUAUAGGAUAAUUUGCUAAAGACAAUAGUCUUAGUCUAUUAGGUCCUUAUGCACAUUCAUUGUUUUAAAAAUCUCUGCCUAGCAUAGCACUGUCUAGGCGUUAGGAGGCUGACCACCAUUCUGAUUAAUUAAUAAAUAGCGCCUAGACUGCUUAGGCACCCGUCUAGGUCGCAACUCUUAUUUAGAUAGAAAAUAGAUAACUUUCAUUUUACAUUUUAUUUGUUUCAGUAUAUUGUAAGAGACUUAUUGGAUACUGAGAUGGACAUACAUUAUAUGUUUAUUCCUCAUGUUUUCAUUAUGUUCUAAUACUUUAUAAUUUAUGUCAUUCUAUUUUAUAAUUUAUGUAUUUCAGUGAAAUUAUCUAUUUUUUAAGUAUAAGCAGAUACUUAUUUAUACGAUAUAUCGUAGAUACUUAUUUAUACGAUAUAUCGUAAAUUUUAUUCACAUCCGCCUAGGCCCCCGCCUAGGUGCUAGACCACAGCCAUUGCCUGACUACUGCUAAACCUCAGCCCGCCAUCCGACUAACACCUGGCGUCUAUUAGAAUCUUGUGCAGAAUUUCAUGACCCCCAUUAUUUAGUUUAGCUUCACUCUUGGAGGUUAAAGUGAAAGCAUGCCUUAAAUAACCAAAAAGAGAUUUAUGCAAUUUCAACAUUGAUUGUAAUAGAGGAGCAGUUAGCAUCAUGCUAAUGUUGGAGUAGAAGAGAUUUGUAACAGAGAAAGCUCAACCAAAUAUCUUACAAAGUAAUUUGGUGGAUGUGGAUGUGCGAGAACAUGAAGCAUAGAAAAGAUUGACGAAGCUGAUGAUGUACGUAGAUUACGCGCAGAAUGUAGAAGAACCAGAGAGCCUGAUGGGUACAACUUGGAAGAACUUAGAAGCCUAUAUGGGAACUCAUCUAGUGAUGAAGAACCGGAUUCAAUGAGAAGGAAUAGGAGGAAGAAGAAACGACCUAAGUUUAAACAUCAUAGAAAAGAAACUGAUGUCAGUACCAUAGAGUUUGAUUUGGGGAUGUCUUUUCUUGUUAGACUAAACAUAAAAACCAAGUUCAUGUAACAUGAAUCACAGCCAUCCAAAAACAAACUGUAGUUCAUAACUAUUGUACAGAGUAGAAAUCUGCAGAUGCACCAGAAGAAGAAGCCAUAGUCAAUCUCAACAGCAAAACUAGUAAACCUUCUCCUCUUUCUAGAUUCAAAAUGCUCAAACUAAUAAUAGGUCUUAGUCCAAGACAGAGCGUAAUAUCUGACGAAUUACCAAUUCUCCAGACUCAUGCUCAUAUUCUUACAUUUCCAAGUUCCAAGGAAUUCAACGAAGCUGUAAAUAGACACUUUUAUAAUAUGCAGGUCUUACAAGUUAACCACAAAUGGUUGGUACAAGGUUAAGGCUCAAAUUCAUGCCCUUGGCAAGUUAUGCUUCUAAUGACCAAUCUGAUAGACAUUCUCCUUUAUAUGUAAAAACAUUUGUUCCAAAUCACACUUGUGGAAAAGAUGAAAACAAUACAAGUGUGACCAGUACUUGGUUGGCUGAUGAUAUGAAGAUCAAUCCCUUUUUCUUUUUUCUUUUUUUUUUUUUGAAUAAAGGACGGCAUAUAUAUAUGCAAAUCAAUCCUAAAAUGGAUGUUAAGACAAUGAAAGCUACAAUGAGGGAUUAUCCAUUCUAAUCCCUCUCCAAAUGAUAGGAUUGUGAGGGAUAAGUUUGUUUCAUUCCAAUCUAAACCUAGAGACGAAACGCGGCCAGAUAUUACAAAGACAAAGAUUCUAAAACAGCCUUCACUCAGAGAAUAAAAAAAGCCAUGCAGUGAGAACAUUUAAGGGAAACGAGUUGAUCCUCAAUAAAUGCCUCAAUAGAAUGACGUAUCUUUGUUAAAGCAUCUGCCACAAAAUUAGCUUCAUCUAAAACAUGAUAGAAGCUGAUAUGAUCAAGCAUCCCAUGUUUGCUGAAAAGAUGAAAGAAGGAUCUUUCCAAGUUUAGGAAGGUGGGAGUUGCCAAAGAGAAACCGAUUUGAGCCGCAUCUGCUCCAAAUAUCUCAGGCAAACGGUCAGCUGACAAAAUGCGGUCAAUGGCUUCAACAUCUUGAGAAUAAAAGGCACAACUAGGAUCAAUUGGUUGUACUUAGGGAUAAGAAUUGAGUUUCCUCUUUCACAAAUGUUACUUAUUCAUUCCGGCCAUUAUACGGUCAACAUUGAACAGAAAGUAUAACUUUUCCGGCCUCUAAGUCCGGAACCCUCCCAAACAUUGGACAUUACAAUACUAGAUAAUGCAAUAAGAUACAACAGUACAAUACAAUAUAGUUGAAAACAACCCAUCUAAGAUAGUACAGACUCAAUUGGAUGAAUCAAAGGAACCCUAGUGUUCAAGCUUCCAUCUUUGCGGUAAACUUAAGUGGUGGCUUCAAGAAAUGGAUAAUCAGUGUAGCCAAUCACGGGAUCAGGUAUGUAGAAUGUCUCUCUGUUGUACUUGUUUAGAGGAGCAUUAAGUUCAAAUCUCUUUGGCAAAUCCGGAUUCGCCAAGAAAAUACGGCCAUAAGCAAUAAGAUCUGCACGGCCCUCCGCCACAGCACUGUUUCCAUCUUCCCUGUCAUAACCACCACCAGCAAUGAAGGUACCAUGGAAAGCCUUUCUCAUGGGAAGAAGACUAUGGUGGGUUUCAGCUUUUUCUCCAACUGUCUUCAUCCUCGGCUCAACCAUGUGGCAGUACACAAUUCCAUAUUUGUUCAAGGCAUUGGCCAUAUAGAGGCCUAGUUCUUUUGGAUUUGAAUCCCCUGAGUCCAUAUAGUCAGCAAAUGGAGAUAAUCUAAUUCCAACUUUAUCUGCUCCUAUUUCGUUAGCGACAGCUUCAACAACUUCCAGAGGAAAGCGGCAACGAUUCUCUAGAGAUCCACCAUAUUGGUCUGUUCGAUCAUUCACAUGAUCUUUCAGAAACUGAUCAAGAAG